UAAUAUGUGAAUGCUUUUGCCUUUUUGAGUCCUUGGGCGUCAGCUGGUUGCUUGUGUUUCCUCUGCGCUUUAGUUCAUAUACCAGAGUGCAUACUUCCUUGAGUUCCAUAUCCCACUGCCAAGUGUGUUGUCCAUGAUGUGUAAAGCAGUUAAUUUGUAUACCUGGCCUUCAGUUCCUCUCUAGAUAACUUUGAACUCUCUUUAUGAAUGAAAUGUUGUGAGAAAAACUGGAGUUGAUUUUCACAUUUGAGGUCGUUAAUGGUGAUUUUUCUUAAUGUAAUUGUGAUGGAAAAGAAAUUUGAUCAAGGAGUCGAAACCAUAAGCAGAGUCGAUCUCAUUCAACAUUGCAUUAUAAUUUGGUACCCCUCACAGAUCGCUCCAAAUAGCAUUGGAAAGUACUUUCAUUUUCCUUCAGUGGAGGCUUCUUUUUCUUUGCUGGUUAAUAUUCAUAGCUUCAGUGCUUGAUAAAAUUUCGUUACUUGACAUUGUUCACUCUUGUCCCUCCUGCUCUAAUCACAAACAAAUGCCCCAAUAAAUAAGAAUGAUUUGUUCAAGAAAUUUGAAAAUACUUGAACAAUAAAAGAAAAGAAUAGGAGAGAAAGGAAAAGAAAUUCAGAAAGCAAAUACUUGGUAGUUUCCAUUUCAAUUAACCGAUCUUUGAAACUAAAAUGUAAUUCUUGCAGUAGAAUAAAAGAAGACACGCAACAUCUUGAGAAGAUUCAUCUAAUGGAACAUACCAUGCUACAAUUGGCAACUGAGACUAAAUAGUAGUUUUUGGUAGAAUAGAUAUCGCAUGCCAAAAAGAAUGUCUUGUAGCUCUGACUACUUCAAAAUUCUUGUACGUAUAGCCCACAAAGCUUUCGAGAUCAUACUUGUUUAUUCAGGCCUGUUUGAACAUACGACCCUAGCGGAAGAUCUUACAACUUUAGGAGUUCAUAGUGUCCAUGAAAUCACAGGAAAAGAAAAGGAUAUAUAGUCAAGUUCAUGAAAAAUAAAGAGAUGGCUUAUUAAAGUUCACAAAUCUGGACAUCUAAAACACUUUAAUUGUGUUUGGUUGAGUCUCCAUUUAUUUGGCAAUUCCCAUCAAGUCUAAUGAUUGACCACCGAUGACUUGAAAAUCGAAGCAUUGGAUGUGCCGCAUGUAGUUGAUGUUGCAUUAUUGAGGGUGGUUAUAUUAUAAAUUAAAUAGACAUGAUAAGAGCAUGAGUUAUAGAUUACCCGAUCCUGACUUGUCUCAUUUAUAUUAAUCUAUUCUCAUUCCUAUCCUAACAAAAAAUUUUAAAUGAGGAUGGAUGGAUAUGAGAAUUUCUCAUCUUAUACCAUUUAUUUAUUUAUUUUAGUUUUUUAACAAUUAAAAAUAAAAAUAUUUUAUAAAUAAAUAAAAUUUAUAAAUUUUAUAACUUAUUUUAUUUAAAUAUAUAAUUAUUUCAUGUGUUCAAAAGAAGAAAAUGAAAAACAAUAAAUUAAAUUAAUUUUAAAUUUAAUUAUACGGCUUGGAAAGUAGUGGGUUAGUACAAGGCAUAUCUUGAACCCUGCCCCUAACCAACCCUAGUUUUAAAACAAAAAAAAAUGUUGAAUUUGUAUCUAAUCAAUUUAUUUUCAUUUAAACUUGUCUUCUUGAAGUAAGUAUUUGAAAAAACUAGUCUCAUUAUCAUCUUUAAUCAUAAUUUUUUUUAAUUUAAAUUUAGAUACCAACAAACAUUUAAAUUAAAUUAAAAAUUCUUAUGCAAACAAGGGCUUUUUAGUUGCAGAAAAAUUGUGUACCUUCUUUGACAUUCUAGAUCCAGUUAUUGCAUUUUUUGGAGGAUCCACAUGAGGAACAAUUUAAAUUUAUUCACAUAUACAAUUAUUCAAAAAGGCAUCAUACUGAACACAAGCAAAAUAACUACAAAUGUUAAUAGAAAUGGAUGGAAGCAUACAGGAAGAAUAUAAAAAAGGAUUUUGAAGCCAAAAAAAUAAAAAAAAAUCAAAAUAAAUAAAAGUAUAUGGUGGCUUAUUAUUGCUCAGGCCUAAUAAUUGAUUGUACAUGUCAAUGGGCCUAAUAUUAUUGCUCCGGCCUUUAUUCUAGAUGUCCAGGCCCUGUCAUUGCCUGAGUGUGAGGUCAUGGCUCGUUCUCUGUAUAGGUAGGUUCAUCCCUUGUCCAUUUGUAUACUUUUGAUCCAUGUGGUCAAGCCAACUUGGCUAUUGGGUACUUCAGGUGCGAUACCUUCUAUCUUACUUCUUACCCAAUUGAGUGAUUUAUCUUAGACGUCAUGGGGUCAUACACCUCUAAAACUUGAGUUGGUGUACUACUACCUUUCCCAGUGCUGAUCUCUCAGAUUCUUUCAUGGGCUUGAGUUCUAGCAUUAGCUUCCUGUUCUCCCCUACCCUGGUCCUAUAGUACUAUUUAUUUUUCAAACUUGGCCCUAGAUUUUUUUUAGUGUAAAAAGUACUAUUUUGUUGAAUUUAAAAAAACUAAUAGGGAACAUAACCUUUCAAUAAGCUUAAACCUCUAUCUCUCAAAACUUUCAAAAUCCUUCUUGAAAGUCUCUUUUGGCUAAAACAAAUAUUUGAGACUCGCAUUGUAUAUGCUUUAAUAAGGGCUUUGAGGGACUCGCUAAAGAUAUAGGUGACAAUUUUGAUAUGAUACUAACACGACUUGAAAAUGAUAUAAAUUUUAAUAGAUUCAGAUUAGGUAUAACAUAUUCAUGUUGUAAACAUAUCAACUCAUAUGACCCGUUUAAUAAAAAUGUACAAUUAUCCAACCCCAUAUAGCUUGUUUACUAAUUCAUGCCAAACAAACCAAUUUAUUUAAUCAUAUCAAAAUGAUGUUUAACUCAUAUAAAAUUAUUAAUAUUAUAUUUCAAAAUUAUAAAAAAAAAAAUACUUAUUAGUUAUAAAUAUGAUAUAGUUAAAAAAUGAAGUAACUAAGUAAAAUUUUAUACAUUUCAUUGUAAAUAUUAAAAUUAUUUUAUCAUUAGAACAUUAGAUAGAAUUAUAAACAAGCGUAAAAUUCAAAUUUUAAUGUAUUUUUAUGUUAUAAACAUUUUCUAAUUUAAAUUUUAUAAUUAAAUUAGUUAAAAUUUAAAAAAUUAAAAUGCAUUUCGAAUAAUACAUUUAUAAAUUUUAAAUAGGUUAAACAUGCUAAAAUUGUAUUAACAUGUUAAACGAGUUAAAAUGGGCUAACCAUGUUAGAAUUGUAUUAGUAUGUUACACAAGUUCAAAUUGUGAUAACAUAUUAAACGGAUUAGAAUCAUGUUAAUGGGUUCAACGGCUAUUAAUAUGUUUCUUAUGUUAGAAUUGUAAUAAUAAGUUAUCUAUGUCAAUUUAUACAAAGGUUAACUUAACCCGUCUAUUAAAUCAGUUUUGUUUGAAUUAGGUCAUUUUAACACAAUUCUUAAAUAAACUGUAUUCCUAUUGAGUAAAUUUUCACUAUUUUUUAUCUUAACAUUAUACAAAUCCAACACGUACGAUAUCACUUAUUGUCACCCCUAACUAAGGAGCAUAUGAGUGUUGCAUUGAGGAACCAGAAGAAGAGUGUAAAUACUAUUUAUAAAAAACUUUAGGAAGUGGAAGCAUUCUAUCAAGUAAAGUUGUGUUAACUUUUUUUCAUAGUUAGUGGAUUAUUCAAUGGUCAAGAGACCAACUAUGGUUUUUUACGCCUAAGGAUUUCUAGGUAGGUUCCACAUUAAAUUCUAUAUCUAAUUGUAUAAUUAGAAAUAUCGUGCAUGAGAUUGAUAACAUAUUAAUCAUAAUUGAAUCAUAAUAAAAUAAUUUAACUUUGGGGUUAAUUAAUUGAACUACGUAUGUAUGGAUAUUUUAUAUUUUUUAACUUUAAAUUAAUUAUUAUGUUGGGAAAUGGAAUAAGGGAAUAGUUGGCUCCAUUUUCAAUCUUGGUAACAUAAUUUGUUGUUGACAUGUUAUUUUAUCUUAUUUUAUAUAUUUUGUAGGAUAAAAAUAUAUAAUCAAGUGCUCUUGCAUGAUUGAUUUAGAUGUUAGAAAAGGUUACAAAACAUUAAUUCUAUUUGACUGAUGACAAAAACUUUUAAUUGCCAACAAUUUUUUUUUUUAUAAACUUUAAGUUGCUAGCAUUCAUAUGUUAUCCUAAAGUUAUUAAUUAUAAUUUUAUCUAAGUUGAACCACAAUUUUUGGGUAAAUGAAGAAGUAUUUAUUGACAAGAUACUUGUUUAUAUUGGAAGUUUUUAGUUUGAUUUGUUGUUGAAUUCAAAUUCUUAGUAGCUAGCUUUGAAUACUAUCUAGUUGCAUUGGUUUUUGUUGUAAGUUCGGUUUUUAUAUUGUUUCCAGACAUGAUGUUUAUUAAUUGAGAAUGCUAAUGAUUCGAGGUUGGAAUCGAUCACUCCUUACUAAACUUAUUCUUUUAGGCUAUGUUUAGUUGGCCGAAUAUAAUAUAUAAUAGAAUAAGAGAAAUGAUAUUAUAUCAUAUUCCAUCUUUAGUUGAUGAUGAGAUAUGAUAAAUUAUUUCAUUGCUUAUUAUAUACUAUGUUUAACUAAAUAUGAGAUAUGAUAAGUGAUGAGAUAUAUUACCCACCUUUUUUAUUUUUAUUUUUAUCUCUUAUACAUGAAAUAUGUUAAUCUCAUGCUAAGAUAUAAGAAAUGCAUAUUUCAUAUAUCAUAAAUUUAUUUUUUAUCAAUUUUUUUAUAUAUUUAUUUUGUAAAAUAAUUUUUUUAUUAUAAAAUUAAAUUUAUAGUUAAAAAAGAAAAACUAAAAAAAUAUUUAUAAAUAACAUUAAUAUAUGAUAUAUAGAUUACUUUUAUGUAUUAAAUAACAUAACAUAAACAUUUUUUAUUUGUAAAAUUUAAAUAUUUUAAUCAUGACUAAUUUUAAACAUAAAAGAAAUUUCAUUUUUUUAAAUGGAAAAUAUUAGAAUGUGAUAUAAUUUUUAUUUUAAACAUUGAAAAUAAUAUAUAUAUAUAUAUAUAUAUAUAUAUAUAUAUAUAUAUAUAUAUAUAUAUAUAUAUAUAUAUAUAUAUAUCAUAUUAUUUUUAUUCAUUUCAUAAAUUAAAUAUAAAUAUAAUAUAAUAUAUCUAAUUAGAUAUGUCACAUUAGAAUAUCAUAUUCAUAUGAUAUAUAUAUUUAAGAAUAUCAUAUCCUAUUAGAAAUUAUAUUUUUAGGAUAUCAUUCUUUUUACCACAAGAGAGCAACAAUUGCUUUUAAUCGGUAAAAUUUGUAUGUGUACUAAAGUUGCACUGCCUAAUGUAAAGUGUUGGCUCCGCCACUGUGUUGCACCUCAAGCCACCACCAAGUCUCCACAUGAUGCUCUUGUAAGCCUUGAUUAUCACAUUACCUUGGUCAAUAGGCACUUAUGGGUACAAGGUGCAACCCCAUGAGACCUUAGUGCCACAUUCUCCAAGUCAAGGUGUUAAUACUCUUCUAUGCUCACAAACUUAAUUUGGUCACCAUUUAUUAACUUAUAAGUCUCUAUAACCAUAAAUAAAAUUUUAAACAUACUAUUAGAACAAGACUCUAUAUUUUGGGUUUUGAUAUCCAAUAAGAUAUGAUAUUUUAAGAAAUACAUAUUUUAUUAAAUUCUAUCCCGUCAAUGAAAUAUAACCUUAAAUGUAUUCUCAUUUUUGUUUCGCAUCUUUAUCCGAAAUCCAGGAAUUUACUUUUUUUUGUUUUAAGGUAAUUCAUUUUUAAUUUUAUUUUAUGUGUAUUAAAAAAAUAAAAGAAAAAAUAAGGAGUGACAUCAAUCAUUAUAAAGCCUGAAUCAAUCCCAAACAUACAUAAGAAGACGAUUUAAGUCUUAAAAUAAAAUCCCAAACCUACUUCUGAUUAGACUACGCGUUUUGAUGACAUUUCACUUGAAAAUAAUGCAGAGUUUUCACUUAUAUUAUAUACUGUCUGAAUUUUAUUUUUGAUUCAUUUCGAUCUAUAAACAGAAACGGAAUUCCCAGUUUUGAAGUAUCAACUUCAUUCCAACUUAUAUUUCAAGUUAAAUAAUAGAUGUUCCAUUCAGAAUUCUUGCAUUGUAUGAUGUGUAAUUCUCUUGUUCAGUUGGCUCUGAUCAGUUUUUCCUUUUGUCCUUUUAUUGCAUUUAGAGUUGGGGCUUGUUCUAGCAGUUCUGGCAACAGCCGGGUUGAUCUUCUUCAUAUAGAUUGGGGUGCUUCUGUUUUUGCUGAUUGGAGAUGUGCUGCUCUUUCUCCUUGUACUUGGUAUUCGGGUGAGAGGUGGAUUAUGUUUGCUUGCUUGCUGGUCUGAGUUUCUGAUAUGUUUUGUCACGGUGGCAUGAGUGCUGAUUCUCAGAGCAUUGAUAUUUUCAUGGUGCUGAGACUGCUGGGAAGGUUGCAGCAUCCUUUUCGUUUCUGGCUGGAAUUGGAUUCUCUGUGUUGGCUUUGCUCUCUGGUUUCUUCACCUAAUUCAACAGAGCCACAUGCUUUGGUCCAUAUACCAGACUGCUGCAUACUUCCUUGGGUUUGAUAUCCCACUGCCAAGGGUGUUGUCCAUAAUGUUAUGUUAUGUUAUGUAAACAAGUUUCAACUUUCACCCAUUGUGGAUUGAAAUGUUUAAUUUGGGAGAAAAACUGGUUGAUUUUAACAUUUGAGGUUGUUAAUGGUGAUUUUUCUUAUAAUGACUGACUGAAAAGAAUGUUGAUGAACAAGGUGGAAGUAUAAGCAGGGUUCUGAGGACUCAAAUAAAAGGGAAAACUUGGGUUCACUUCUGCAAUGGUUUUGGCACUUGGCACUAACUGAUGAAUGGAAAAGAGGUUCAGGGAUGAUGAAGUGAUCUUAUUCAACGUUGCAUUCUAAUUCCUCUCAUUUUCAUAUCUAUUUUCUACCAUGCUAUAUUCAAUAUCCAUUCUGUGAGUUGAAUGACCCAUGUUUUUAUUUUUCUAAGAAAUUCUCUAUCAUUUCAUCAUAACAUCCAGAGGAAACAUAGACAAGAAUUUCUCAUUUUUCAUUCGGGAGCAUUUAGAUCUUCCAACACCAACCUCACUGAACAUGACCGCAAAAUUCCUUCGAUUUUGGACUUAAAAUUAUGUUAGUACCCAUUGGACAAUCCAUUAGGUCACAGUUUGACCUAACUUGAUUCUUUCUUACCCAUGUCUUUUCCUUUGAAUUUUGGGGUGCCCUAUAAUUCAAGUCAAUGAAUUUGGACAAAUCAAAUCAAUUUUUUUCCCAAUUGAUGCCAAGGAAUAUCCAUAUGAUUCAAACAAUAUUUACAUUGUUUGUUUGAAUUUUGCCUAAAGUAUUCAUGAUUGUGUCCAAACAAAAUGCUUAUUAAUGACAUUAGUAAUGACACAAGUGCGUGUGUAGACCCCCAUAUGGGGCUUGGUUUUCAUGCAGCCUGUUUUGCCAAGUGUCACAAUUCCAUAAGGCCAUGUGUUGAUUUCUAGUUGGCUGCUGGGAAUCAGAGUAGUGGAAUUGGAGGACCAAUGAGAGGUCGACACGUGGCAAGAAGAUUCCAAGGAAUCUGCAGAAGCCGUUAUGGAGGAGCGUUUCUGGCAGCUGGAGAGGAGGGUGCUUUUCAGAGUUGGUUAGGAUAUACAAUCAGAGAGGCUGCAAAAAGAAAGGGAGGAAAAAUCAGACAGGAGAGUUGCAGAGAGGGAGUUUUGGAGAGCUUAGAGAGAGACAUUUCUUGGGGAGCAAGCUGGAUAUUCAGAGACUGGAGAGAAAAACGAAAGGAAAAAUCAGAAGAGAGAGGUACCUGGGCUGCUGAAGGGAUUGCCAAGGGAGUCCAGAGGGAGUUUCCAUUAGAGAGGGAGUUGAGAGCUGUUAUCGAGAUAACAGAGGAGGGUUUUUGACCAAGGGUAGAGGAAGCUGCCAGCUGCAAGAGAGAGUGAUUGCUGUUAGAGAGAGAAAGGUUCAUCUUUCUGAGGCUGGUUCCAGGAAGGAUUUGGGCAGGGAGGAGCGGAUUCCGUUAGGGGGAGCAAGCUGUGUAGAGGAGAGCUGGAGAGAGAAAAACAGAGCAUGUUUCGGGAGAGAGAGGACAGAGCAUUUUUUUAGAGUGAAACCAGAGAGAGAAACCAGAGGAGUGGGGAGGUGUUUGUGGAGAGGUAUGGGAGGAUUUGCAGGGGGCAGGCUGGUGACAGAGGGGAGAGCUUGAAGGUGAAGUUUCGUUGAAGGGGAGGCAAACUAGCAGGAGAGGAGGUUUUUCUGGAGUUUUGAGAGGAAGACAGGCGCAGAAAGGCGCAGAGGAGUCAUUUUGGAAGAAGACGUUUUAGCGCGUUACGGCUCGUGGCCCAGGUACGCACUCUCUAUACCUAUUCUGUUUUUUAUAAGUGCAAGAUUGAUUUGAGUAUCCAUUGUUUUUCCCAUUGAUUGUCAUGUCAGCUUCAUUUUAUUAGUAGAGACCCGACUUUAGGGAUUUAGAGGGGUGCUACGGUCUUUACCGUACCUUCCCGAUAAGUAACCUGACCCCCGAACCCGAUCCGGUUUUUCACAGACCGCCUUUUCCAAAAUAAGGAGUCACACUUAGGGUUUUUCUUUCUUAUUUUGUUUACCUUUUAAAAAUAAAACAAAAAUAAGUGGCGACUCCAAAUCAUUUUCAAAUAAUCAAUAAAAAUCAAUUUUUCAAAUAAAAAUCAAGCUCGACAUCGAGUGGGAAACGCAUCGAGCAAUCGAAAUGCGGGGUCCACAGCGUGGUUUUGACAUUUUCAAUAUUUGCAUUCCCAUUACUAAUUUUUGUUUCCCCAUUUUUUUUUUUUUCAUUUUUUGUUUGUUUUGGACUGGUGCUUCCUUCCUCAUUCAUUCUACUUUCGUUUUUUGAAAAACAUUUGUCUCUUUUGCACACAUCCUAAAAAGCCCAAAAGCAUUUUUUUUAACUUAAGCUUUUUUUUCAAUUUAUCUUAAAAUGAAAAUAAAAAAUACAAUUUUCUUAUUGAAGUGUUAUUUUGAUUUAUAGAUAAAGUUAUUUCAUAUUUUAUAAAUCUUUUACUCUAUUUAUUUUGUUCUUUGCAAAUUAUAAUUUGGCUCACUUCAACUUUGAAACAAAAUCAGAAUAAAAAAAAUUAUAGCAAAUUAUGUUUUAAUCUGCUUUCCAAGUGGAAAAUACAAAUAAUGCAACCCGUAUCUGCAUAAAAUUAGUGCAUGUAACAUUACUUUUCAAUGGACUUGAAAAAAUAUUUUAAAACCAACAACUCCAAAAGUCAAUGGUCUCAAUAAUCUAGUGUAAUAGGUUUCCAAAAGAUGAAGGGUGUGAAGAUCCCUAAAAUGUUUUUGAGUGUAAGUGUUUCCAAAAGAUAUAAGCAAGUACGAAUUUCUUUAAAAUGUUUUUCAAUUGUUUUUUUACAUGGUUAUUUAAGUUGCUUAAUAAUAAAUCGUUUUCUAAUUUCUGUAUGAAUUAAAUAUUAUUAUUUUUCUAAAAUAAGAAGUAUGUUUAAUAAUUAAUUUAUCUAAGUAAUAAUAAUGACCAACAACCUUUUAGACCUAGUCUUUCAAUCGACUGAUUUAUUUUCUAGGUAUAAAUUAUCGGGAAGUAAAAUACAUGUAUUGAUGGAUUAAUUAAAGGGAGAGUUAAACCUUCUAAGACACUACCCAUCUCACUUGAGAAUGGAAAAUUGAAUGGCUACAAAUACAUCCUUAUUUCCCUCUUUCCACAAAAAUGGUCUUCCAUAUCCUCUUAUCAAUUUCACUUCAAUUAUCCUUAAAAAAAUCACUUCACAACUUCAAAGAUUUGUUAGUAAAAUUAUAAAAGUACUAACAUGUCACUUGAGUAAAAAAGACAUGAUUAAUAUCCAAAAAAUGAAACAUAUACCAUAUUUAUCAUCUAAAUUAUGUACUUCUUAAAUAGUAAUUACAUGUUACAUAAGAUAGAAUCAUGUUAACAUAUUAAACGGAUUAGAAUCAUGCUAUCUGGUUUAACGAAUGUUAAUAGGUAUAAUAGGUUAGAAUCGAAUUAACGGGGGUUACCUAUGUUAAUUCAUAUAAAGGUCAACUUAACCUAUUUAUUAAAUUAGUUAUGUUUAUAUCAAGUUAUUUUAACAUGAUGUUUAAACAAAUCAUAUUCCAUUUGAGUAAAUUUUCACUAGUUUUUAUCUUGACGCAAUACAAAUCCAACAUAAUAUGACCCAUUAUCACCCUAAUUAAGGAGCAUACGAGUGUUGCAUUAAGGAAGUGGAAGAAGAGCAUAGAUACUAAUGAUAUCAAAUUUUAGGGAGUGGAAGCAUUUAAUCAAGUAAAGUUGUGUAACUUUUUUUUCAUAAGUAGUGAAUUAUUCAAUUGUCAAGAGACCAACCAUAGUUUUUUUUACACCUAGGGAUUUCUAGGUGGUUUCCACAUUAAAUUCUAUGUCGAAUUGUGUAAUUGGAAAUCUCAUGCAUGAGAUUGAUAAGAUAUUGAUGAUAAUUGAGUUGGAAUAAAAUAAUUUAACUUUGAGGGGUUAAUUGCUUGGACUACCUAUUUACCCCUCCCGUAAGAAGUUCCAUAUCAACAAAAAAGUUCUUUCAAUAUGUAUAUAGAUAUUUUAUAUUUUCUAAUUUUAAAUUUAUUUUUAUAUUGGGAAAUUGAAUAAUUGAAUGGGGAAAUAGUUGGUUCAAUUUUCAAGCUUGGAAACAAAAUUUGUUGUUAACAUGUUAUUUUACCUUAUUUUAUACAUUUUUUUUUGAAUACAAAUAUAUAAUCAAGUGCUCUUGUAUGAUUGAUUUAGAUGUUAGCAAAGGUUACAAUCAUUAAUUCUAUUAAUUGACCAACAAUUUUUUAUAAACUUUAAGUUGCUAGCAUUCAUAUAUCAUCCUAAAAUUAUUAAUUAUAAUUUUAUUUAAGUUGAACCACAAAUCUUGGGUAAAUGAAGAAGAAUUUGUUAACAAGAUACUUGUUUAUAUCGGAAGUUUUUAGUUUGAUUUGUUGUUGUUGAAUUCAAAUUCCUAGAAGCUAGCUUUGAGGACUAGCUAGUUGCCUUGGUUUUUGUUAUAUGUUUGAUUUUUAUAUUGUUUUCAGACAUGAUGUGUAAAAUGGAUUAAUGGUAAUGAUGUUGAAACAUGGCUAAUACUAUUAGACCAAUGUUGAAGAGAGUGCCUUUGCUGAGCUGCAUCUGGAGCAAGCUCCAUGACAAGCUCCAUUUACUCCGAAGUAUUGCUUCACAACCUCUCUUUGUGUAUUAUAAAGUUGUGAGUAGAAUUAUUAAAGUUGUUUAAACAAGUGGCAAUCUUGAUAUGCCAGAAUGACACCAUUAGAAAAUUAUAUAAAUUUUAGUAGGUUCAGGUAAGUUGUAAUUAUAUCAGAGUAAUAAUCUUGUCAACUUGCAUAACUCAUUUAAAUGAUUUAAAUAUAUUUAUGAGUGGCAUUUGCAUUGCCUAAUUAUAGUUCUUAUUAGAGAAUGAGUUACUAUCAAUUUUAUGGAAUGAAACUAUAAUUAGUCGGUAUUACUUCAAAGUGAAAUCUUACUCAUAAAAUUUUUCAAUUAAAUUCAAAAGUUAAAAUUAUAAAGUAGAGAAUUAAAAGAACCAUUGAGCAUAGUUUAAAAUUUGAAUAUUAUACGUUUAUUAUUGUAAUGCAAGCCCAAUAUUUAUUAUUUAUUAUUAAAAAUAUAAUUUUAUAUCUAAUUUUUAUAUUUAAGAUAAUUUAGCACAUUUGAACAAUGCUUUGAGAAUAAGAUUGAAGCAUCUAAUUUGACUAAUUGGAUACAAAUCAAACUAAUCCAGUCUUAUUUUUCGUAUUUAUCCACCUUCAAUUAUAAGAUAAACAUAAACAAAAGUCUUUAUAUGAUUAUAACAAUAUAAACACUAAAAUAAUGAGUUUAACAUUAAAUAACAAAAAAUUUAUUUCAAUCUUUGACAUAUUGUUAUAUAAGUUAUAUAUAUGUUAGUAAAAUAAGAAAUAUUAAUAUAUUUAAAAUAUUAAUUAAUAAAAUCACAAUUUUUUGUUAUUGUUAAUAUUUAAUUAAUAAAUUCUAAUUAAAUCUAAAAUAAAAACUUUACACAAAUUAGUAUAAAACCAAAUAUGAUCGCCAUAUUUGUAUUUUAAAUGAGAAACAAAUGUUAAAAGAUAUAAAAAAGAAAAAAAACUCAUUGUCUAGUAUUUUAAUUAUUUAUAUAAUUUUAACUUCUUGUAUUAUUUUAAAUUUUAAUAAUAUAUGAAUUAUAUAUGCAUAUUGCCAUGCUGAUAUCAUGUUUCAAUUACUUGAAUCACCAGUUCAAUUAAGAAACUCUAAUGCAAUAAUUUUUCAAUUCAAUAACUAAUUAAUAAGAUUUUCAAAAUAUUGUAUUUAAAAACUCGUCACAAAAAAUGAAUAUAAAAGAUCAUGAAAUUCUUGCAAAGAAAACUAACCUCAUGAAAAUAUAGAAACCCCAAACCUUAAUUUUUUCAAUAAUACUAAUCAAAGUUCUUCUUGUGUUUAGGCAUAUUAGGAGAGAACCAAUAAUCUCAUCCGCAAAUCAAGCAUAGUCAAUAGUCAAUUCUUAUGUUUAGGAGUAAUAUAUAUAUAUAUAGAAAGUCAUUUAUAUAUUUAAAUGUUGUAAUGUAUAUCUUGAAACUCAAUAAGAAAGGGCUUCUUUUCUUUCCUAGUUCUUAUAGUUUAUAGAUUACCUCGGCAAAAAGGAAAAUGAGAGCUAGAGCUUGAAUCAAACAGUCCAAUCGCAAUCAUUCCUAUUAUUGUCUGACGCACUCCUGCUUUGAACCUUAACGUAUUGAUAAAAAAUCCCUUUCUCAUUUUAGACUAGGGCUUCUCUCUAUAAAUAAGGGAAUUUCUCCGCUUCAGAUGAUGUCUCAUUGGGCCCUUCGAAUGCAUUGUUUUCAUGGUCGGUAGGAGAGAGCCUUCUAUACUUUUGGUCAUUCAUUCAUUCAUCCAUUCAUCUUAUACUCUUGUUAAGAAAAGUGACUUCAUGAAAAUAUAUAUGGAAACCUCAAACCUUAACUUCUUCAAUAAUGCCUAUUAAAAUUUUUGCAAUUGAAGGUUGUGUAAUCGAGGAUGAUAAUGAUGCAAGGUUUAGAACUAGUCACUUCUAACCAAACUUAUUCUUAUACGUAUUCCCCUCUUCAUCUCAAGUCUGGGAGUUUACUUUUCUAUUUUAAGAAAAUUAAUCAUUAUUUUUAUUUUACAUGUAUUGAAAAAGGCAAAAAAAAAAAAAUUAAGAUUGAGCGAUAUGAAUCUCCGUAAAACCAGAAUCAAUCACAACAUAUAUGUGAGAAGAAAAUUUAAAAGUGUGUUUGACAAUAUUUCAUUUUGAAGUGUUUUUAAUUUUAAUGAAAAUAUUUUUUUUAAAAGUGAUUUUGAGAGAAUCAUCUAUUAAAUGUUUUUUUAAAAAGCACCAUAAAUAAUUUUUUAUUUGUUUAAAACUAUUUAAUAAAUUUGAUUAAAUACUUGAUUUUUCUUCAAAAAUAUUUUUUAAAGCUAGAAGUUCUUUUUGAAAAACAACAUCAAAUGGACGUAAGUCUUAAAAUAAAAUCCCAAAUCUACCAUUGAUUUAAUUAUACUUUUCAAAUCCAUCCUAUGGGCCUAGGCAACCUUGAAAUACCCAUCCCUAUUAUAAUACAAAAGCAAACCACCACUAAGGAUAUUUAAACAACAUUUUAAAGACAAUCGAAACCUAUCAAUGAGUCUUUGUCUUAUAAUACAAAUUUCGUUAUGUUCACAUGUAGAAAGGGACAAGUAAUACAUAAAAACUAAAAAUCAUAUACAAUAGAAAGCUUGGAAUCAAGAGGGAAGAGAGUAGAAAGUUACGAAGUGGUGGAGCCUUGGGUAAAAUAAAAUUAACAAUGGCAUUAUCAUGUGCGUGUCUCAUCGCUUGAUGGGUUAUAACUAGAGCCCACUUGAUGCUUAGAAAAAUAUAUUUGCAGGUGGUCUCCAUCUGUCAAUUGAUUAAUCUAUACAAUAUUAAAAAUCCACUUGAUGUUAAUUUAGGAAAAUUAUUUUAUUUUGUUGGUGAUGGCCUGUCUCCCAUCUUCUUCAAGUUUCAACUCUGGACUUCUCAAAUUUGCAAAGUGCAGUGCAGUGAUUCAUCUUUCUUAUUUGUUCCAUCUUUGGCCGAAUUCUAGUCAUUUUUUCUGUUACUUCCGGAAAGCAAUCUUGGGUCUUGUCCCAUCAAAAAUCAAAGCAACCAGCUACUAGGCAUUUGAAUUCAAGAACAACAAAUCAAACUAAAAAACUUUAUGUACAAAUAAGUAUCUUAUUAACAAAUACUUCUUCGUUUAUCGACGAUUUGUGGUUCAACUUAAAUAAAAUUAUUAUUAAUAAUUUUAAGAUAAUAUAUGAAUGCUAGAAUUGUUGGUCAAUUAAUAUAAUUAAUGUGUGAUGAGGUAUAGCACUAUAAAAAUAACUAAAAGAAUAAUCAAAUUUACCCCAUUUCAAUUGGGAAGAGCAAAAUAAACUUUAUUUCACAUUAGAAGACAUUUUGCAAAAAAGUUCAAUAUUUACUAAUAACAAAAUAUAAAAGUCAAUAUAGUUGAGAAACAAGGAAAUUUAAGGAUUUUAGUGUUAAAUCCUUUAUAUGAUGAUAAGAUAUUCUUAGAAAAAGCAAAAUGUAAUAGCAUCUCCUUUAUUUAUUUAUUUUCUUUCAAAAAAAUGUUAUAAAUUGUACAAGUUAUAUGAAUAAUUCAAAUUUUGGCAAUAAAAAUACAAUUCAAUGCCACCGUGACCAAUCAGAAUUGUUUAAAAAAUAAUGUAAAGCAUAAUGUAGUGGUGAUGAAUGCAAGCAUAAAACCAUUGUGGAGCCAAGAUUCAAGGGGCAUCAAUGGAGGAAAAAUAUUAAAGAAAUGGAGGAGGGUGUAUGCAUAGAAUUAUCAUGGACACAGUGCGGGGGGCCCAUCUCUUUCCUAAAAGGAAGACAGAAUAAUUAAGCGACCCAGCUUCUCUUAUGAUGGGAUAUUGCAUCAGGUUAACUUCACCCCAGUCUCAGUCUCUUUGAAUUACCAAACCCUAGUCUCUUCUCUCUUUACUGCUAAUCCUCAUCUCUUUUCCUCUUUCUGUGCUCUCCGGAAACUUUUGUAGAUGGUGGCAUAGCUGCCUAUACUGAAGUUUUAACUCCGGAGUUUUUGAUUGAUAAGGGCAGUGAUUCAUCUGCUCCCUGUAUUGCAAACUAUCCCCUCUUUCUUCUAUCUUUGGCUCAACUUCAGUCCUUUUUUCCUUUGAUUUCCCGAAAGCUAUGGAGUUCCUGAGCUCAAUCGUGGGUCUGAUCCCCUGCUUCUAUGAUCACACCUCCAAGCAUACGGUCUACAUUCGUGAUCUAAACAAAAAUCUCCAAGCCUUGAGGAAGGAAAUGGCGAAGCUCAACAACUUGUAUGAAGAUGUGAAGGCAAAGGUUGAACGUGCAGAGGAACGACAGAUGAUGCGCACAAAGGAAGUGGGUGGCUGGAUCUGUGAAGUAGAAGUCACAGUGACAGAAGUUAAAGAAACUCUGCAAAAGGGCGAUCAAGAAAUCCGGAAGAGAUGUCUCGGAUGCUGUCCCAGGAAUUGUUGGUCUAGCUACAAGAUUGGAAAGGCAGUAAGCGAAAAGCUGGUUGCUGUAUCUGGUCAAAUCGGCAACGGACAUUUCGAUGUUGUAGCCGAGAUGUUGCCUCGUCCUCCAGUUGAUGAUCUGCCCAUGGAGGCGACUGUGGGCCCACAAUUGGCGUAUGAAAAGAGCUGUAGGUUUCUCAAAGAUCCACAAGUGGGAAUUAUGGGAUUGUAUGGAAAGGGGGGUGUUGGCAAAACCACCCUCUUGAAGAAAAUCAACAAUGAAUUCCUUGCAACAUCCAAUGACUUUGAGGUUGUGAUUUGGGCUGUGGUGUCAAAAUCGCCCGACAUUGAAAAAAUUCAGCAAGUUAUUUGGAAUAAAUUGGAAAUCCCACGUGAUAAAUGGGAAACUAGAAGCAGUAGGGAGGAGAAGGCUGCAGAAAUUUUGAGAGUUUUGAAAAGAAAAAGGUUCAUCUUGUUGUUGGAUGACAUUUGGGAGGGACUUGAUCUCCUAGAAAUGGGGGUCCCGCGUCCAGAUACUGAAAAUCAGUCCAAGAUAGUUUUGACGACCCGAUCACAGGAUGUCUGCCACCAAAUGAAAGCUCAGAAGAGUAUAGAAGUGGAAUGUUUGGAGUCAGAAGAUGCCUGGACUUUGUUCCGGAAGGAGGUAGGAGAAGAAAUAUUAAAUUCUCAUCCGGAUAUACCGAUGCUUGCAAAGGUUGUUGCUGAAGAGUGCAGAGGUUUACCUCUCGCUCUUGUCACUCUUGGGCGGGCCAUGGCAGCUGAGAAAGAUCCCUCAAACUGGGACAAGGCAAUACAAAAUCUACGCAAAUCUCCAGCUGAAAUCACAGGUAUGGAAGAUAAAUUGUUUCAUCGAUUGAAACUCAGUUAUGAUAGGUUGCCUGACAAUGCCAGCAAAUCUUGUUUUAUAUAUCAUUCCAUGUUCCGAGAGGACUUGGAGGUUUAUAAUUAUCAACUUGUAGACCUUUGGAUAGGGGAGGGGUUCUUAGGUGAAGUUCAUGACAUACAUGAAGCACGUGAUCAAGGGAGGAAAAUUAUUAAAACUUUAAAGCAUGCAUGUUUACUGGAGGGUUGUGGUUCAAGAGAAAGAAGGGUUAAGAUACAUGAUGUGAUCCGCGACAUGGCCUUAUGGUUAUACGGUGAACAUGGGGUGAAAAAGAACAAAAUUCUAGUAUACAAUAAAGUUGCUAGGCUUGAUGAAGUUCAAGAAACUUCCAAGUUGAAAGAAACAGAGAGGAUAUCAUUGUGGGAUAUGAACUUUGAGAAAUUCUCUGAAACAUUGGUGUGUCCCAAUAUCCAGACUUUAUUUGUGCAAAAAUGUUGUAAUUUGAAGAAAUUUCCAAGUAGAUUCUUUCAAUUCAUGCUUCUACUAAGAGUUCUGGAUUUAUCAGACAAUUAUAAUUUAAGCGAGUUGCCUUCUGAGAUUGGUAAAUUGGGUGCCUUGAGAUAUCUUAAUUUGUCAUUCACAAGAAUAAGGGAGUUACCCAUUGAACUAAAGAAUUUGAAAAAUCUGAUGAUUUUGCUUAUGGAUGGUAUGAAAUCCCUUGAAAUUAUUCCACAAGAUGUGAUAUCAAGCCUUAUAUCCUUGAAGUUGUUCUCCAUGGACGAAUCCAAUAUCACAAGUGGAGUUGAAGAAACCUUACUGGAGGAGUUGGAGUCCUUGAAUGAUAUCAGUGAGAUAUCAACCACCAUAUCCAAUGCUCUUUCAUUCAACAAACAAAAGAGUAGUCACAAAUUACAAAGGUGCAUAAGUCAUCUACAUUUACAUAAAUGGGGGGAUGUGAUCUCACUUGAACUAUCAUCUUCAUUUUUUAAAAGAGUGGAGCAUUUGCAGGGGCUUGGAAUAAGCCAUUGCAAUAAGUUGGAAGAUGUAAAAAUUGAUGUGGAAAGAGAAGGCACAAACAAUGAUAUGAUUCUUCCAAACAAAAUUGUAGCAAGGGAAAAAUACUUCCACACCCUUGUUAGGGCAGGUAUAAGAUGUUGUUCAAAAUUGUUAGACUUAACAUGGCUUGUUUAUGCUCCAUAUCUUGAAGGACUUAUCGUUGAAGAUUGUGAAUCAAUAGAAGAAGUGAUACAUGAUGAUAGUGAAGUCUGUGAAAUUAAGGAAAAAUUGGACAUAUUCUCAAGGCUCAAAUACCUCAAGCUUAAUGGGCUGCCAAGAUUGAAGAGCAUCUACCAACAUCCACUACUCUUUCCCUCUCUUGAAAUCAUCAAGGUGUGUGAAUGCAAAGGUUUGAGGAGCCUCCCAUUUGAUUCCAACACUUCAAGUAAAAGUCUAAAGAAAAUUAAAGGAGAGACAAGUUGGUGGAAUCAGUUGAAGUGGGAAGAUGAAACUAUCAAGCACUCUUUUACUCCGUAUUUCCAAAUCUGUGAAGCUGAAGCAUAUUCAACAGACACUGAGGAGUCUGAAAUUGGCAGCAUAGAUGAUAUGAAGGAACAACUAGUAUCAAAUUAACUUCUAUCAAUCUUUCAGGUAUUAAUUAACUUUUAUACUAUAUUUGGAAAAUCAUUUUCUUUCCUUAAUCCCAUUCUUUUGUGGAAUUUUUUACUCUAUCUAUGCCAAAGUGCAUCAAAGUCUCGACAUCAAAAUAACUUUCAAUGUUUGAUCUAUCAAGUUUGCCCCUUUUGAAGUAACUGUUAUAAAGUUUGCCCAGAAGGGACUUUGGAGGAGGUCUUUUAUUUAAACAUCUAAUGACAUUUCCUUUUGGUUACUUAAGAACUUGAAAAUAUGCAGAGUUCUCAACUAUGUUAUUUAUUGUGUCUUAAUUUUUUCGAUUCAUUUCAAUCUAUAAGUAGAAAGAGAGAAUACCUAAUUUCAACUUAUUUCUUUAUAUUUCAAGUUGAAACAACAGGUGUUUCGCAACAACUGUAGGUAAAGAUAUUCCAUUAAGAAUUCUCGCUUUGUUUAAUGUAUUUACCAGGACCAACUAUAUGUAAUUUCUCUUCUUUUGUUCAGUUGCCUCUAUCUGGUUGACUCUCAGUUGUUUUUUUUUUUUUUUUUUUCUAUUGCAUUCAGAGUUGGGGCUUGUUCUAGAGGUUCUGACAACAGCUGGGAUUCAAUUAGCUCUAUGUAGUGGGGCCUUGAGUUUUUUGAUUGGAUGCAGAGUAGGGUCUUGUUCUACCUGUUCUUACUCAGUUGGGAUCUGAGCUUCUUCGGCUGCUUCCGUUUCAUCCUGCUCUUUUUCCUUCUAAUUGGUAUAGAUGUGAGCUGGAUUAUGUUUGCUUGCUGGUCUGAGUUUCUGAUAUGUCUAGUGGCGGUGUGCUGAUUCUCAGAGUAUCGUUAUUCAUGGUGCUCGGUCUGCUGGGAAAGUUGGUUAAUGUCCAGAUGCAGGGGCUCAUCUCGGCAGGCUUUGGUUGGGAUCCAUGUGUUUGCUGGAAUUGGAUUCUGUGGGUUGCCUUUGGCUUUUGAUGUAGGCCGGGUUUGUUUUCUUUGUUGAGGCUGGUGGAGUAUGGUGGCUCAGAAGCUGCUAGUAAUCUGUCUGUUGUAUGCUGACGCUGGAAUCUUCAUGGAGGUUGCUCUGGUGGGUCAAUAUGAUAUGGGAAUGCUUUUGCCUUUUGAGUCCUUGGGCGUCAGCUGGUUGCUUGUGUUUCCUCUGCGCUUUAGUUCAUAUACCAGAGUGCAUACUUCCUUGAGUUCCAUAUCCCACUGCCAAGUGUGUUGUCCAUGAUGUAAUGUAAAGCAGUUAAUUUGUAUACCUGGCCUUAAGUUCCUCUCUAGAAAACUUUGAACGCCCUUUAUGAAUGAAAUGUUGUGAGAAAAACUGGAGUUGAUUUUCACAUUUGAGGUCGUUAAUGGUGAUUUUUCUUAAUGUAAUUGUGAUCGAAAAGAAAUUUGAUCAAGUAGUCGAAACUAUAAGCAGAGUUGAUCUUAUUCAACAUUGCAUUAUAAUUUGGUACCCCUCACAGAUCGCUCCAAAUAGCAUUGAAAAGUACUUUCAUUUUCCUUCAGUGGAGGCUUCUUUUUCUUUGCUGGUUAAUAUUCAUAGCUUCAGUGCUUGAUGAAAUUUCGUUACUUGACAUUGUUCACUCUUGUCCCUCCUGCUCUGAUCACAAACAAAUGCCCCAAUAAAUAAGAAUGAUUUGUUCAAGGAAUUUGAAAAUACUUGAACAAUAAAAGAAAAGAAUAGGGGAGAAAGGAAAAGAAAUUGAGAAAGCAAACACUUGGUAGUUUCCAUUUCAAUUAACCGAUCUUUGAAACUAAAAUGUAAUUCUUGGUAGAAUAAAAGAAGACAUGCAACAUCUUAAGAAGAUUCAUCUAAUGGAACAUACCAUGCUACAAUUGGAAACUGAGACCAAAUAGUAGUUUUUGGUAGAAUAGAUAUCGCAUGCCAAAAAGAAAGUCUUGUAGCUUUGACUACUUCAUAAUUCUUGUACGUAUAGCCCACAAAGCUUUCGAGAUCAUACUUGUUUAUUCAGACCUGUUUGAACAUACGGCUCUAGCGGAAGAUCUUACAACUUUAGGAGUUCAUAAUGUCCAUGAAAUCACAGGAAAAGAAAAGGAUGUAUAUCAAGUUCAUGAAAAAUAAAGAGAUGGUUUAUUAAAUUUUGCUAGUGAGUUGGAUCACUAGCAAGCUCCAUGAUAAGCUCCAUUAACUACCGAGGAUUGCUUCACAACCUCUUUGUAUAUUAUUAAGUUGAAAGUAAAAUUAUUAAAGUUAUAUAAAUAGGUGGCAAUUUUGAUAAGCCAAAAUAACACCAUUCGAAAAUUAUAUGAAUUUUAGCAGGUUUGAAUAAGGUGUAAUCAUAUCCGUAUAAUAAUUAUGUCAACUCAUUUGCUAAAUGGAUUGUAUUGGAACUUGAUCACUCAACUUAUCUAACUCACUUAACUUGUUUAAAUACAUGUAUGAAAUGUAUUUGCAUUGUCUAAUUAUAGUUCAUAUUGGAGAAUGAACUACUAUCAAUUUCACAUGAUGAAAUUAUAAUUAGUCAAUAUUACUCGAAAGUGAAAUCUCUUAUUCAAAAAUAUCUCAUUAAAUUCGAAAAGCUAAAAUUAUCAAGUAGAUGGUUAAAGGAACCAUUGAGCAUGGUUUAAAAUUCGAAUAUAAUGUAUUUAUUGUUGUAAUUCAAGCCCAAUAUUUAUUAUUUAUUAUUAAAAAUAUAAUUUUAUGUCUAAUUUUUAUAUUUAAGAUAAUUUAGCACAUUUGAACAAUAUUUUGAGAAUUGGAUUGAAGCAUCUAAUUUGACUAAUUGGAUAACAAAUUGGACUAAUCCGAUCUUAUUUUUCAUAUUUAUCCACCUUCAAUUCUAGGAUAAACAUGAACAAAAGUCUUCAUACAAUUAUAACAAUAUAACAAAAUAAUGAGUAUAAUAUUAAAUCUAAAAUAAAAACUCUACACAAAUUGGUAUAAAACCAAGUAUGACAAUCAUAAACCAAUCCCCUCCCCCAUACUAAAUAAAUGAGAAAUGAUGUUACAAGAUAUAUAUUUAAAAAAAAAUAAUCUUUUAAUCUUUUAAUUAUUUUUAUAAUUUUAACUUCUUAUAUUAUUUUAAAUUGAAUAAUAUAUGAAUUAGAUAUCCAUAUUGUCAUGCGGAUAUCAUGUUUCAAUCACUUGAAUCAUCAAUUCAAUCAAGAAAUUGUAAUGCAAUAAUUUGUCAAUUCAAUGACUAAUAAAAUUUUGAGAACAUUGUAUUUGAAAGCUCUGCACAUAAGAUGAAUAUAAAAGAUUAUGAACUCUUGCAAAAAAAAAAAUGACAUCAUGAAAAUAUGGAAACCCUAAACCUUAAUUUCUUCAAUAAUGCCUAUCAAAAUUUAAGGUUGUGUAAUUGAGAAUGCUAAUGACCCAAGGUUAGAACUAGUCGCUCAUAACUAGACUUGUUCUUAUUUUUUUUAAACAUAUUCCCAUCUUCAUCUCAAAUCUAUGGAAAUUUACUUUCCUAUUUUAAGAAAAUUAAUUUUUAUUUUUAUUUUACAUGUAUUGGAAAAAGCAAAAGAGAAAUUAAGGUGACACAACAAGAAUAACUAUAAAACCAUAAUGACUAUAUAUAUAUAUAUAUAUAUAUAUAUAUAAAAUAAGACAAUUUAAAAUAUGUGUUUGGCCGGUUUUUUUAAGUGUUUUUAGUAGAAACAUUUUUUCUAAAAGUAUUUUUGAGAGAGUUACCUAUCAAAUGUUUUUUUAAGAGGCAUUACAAGUGAUUUUUCAGUUGAGUUUGGUAAUGACUUUAAAAAACAAUUUUAUUUUAUCUAACAUUUAAAUGAUAAAAAUUUUUAAAUAUAAAAAAAUUUAAAAACACUUCCUAAAAUUAUUACUAAACGGACUCCUCAUUUAUUUAAAAGUGUUUUCAAAAUUUUACCACUUAAUUUUUUUUCAAAAACAUUUUUUAAACUAAAAAUAUUUUUUAAAAGUAUUAUCGAACGGAAUCAAAGUCUUAAAACAAAAUCUCAAAUCUACCCUUGAUUUAAUUAUAUUUUUCCAACCCAUCUGAUUGGGCCCAGGCUUCCUUUAAAUACCCACCCCGAUAAUAAUACAAAAGCAAACCACCACCAAAGAUAUUUAAACGACAAUUGAAACCUAUUAAUGAGACUUUGUCUCAUAAUACAAAUUUCGUUAUGUUCACAUGUAGAAAGGGACAAAUAAUUUACAAAAUUAAAAAUCAUAUACAACAGAAAGCGUGGAAUCAAGAGGGAAGAGAGUAGAAAGUUAACGAAGUGGUGGAGCCUCGGCUAAAACUAACAAUGGCAUAUUAUCAUGUGCGUGUCUCAUCGCUGGAUGGACCAAAAUUUGCUUCUCCCAAAGCUCUUUGAAUAUUAUAUUUAGAGCCCACUUGGUGCCUAGAAAAAUACAUUUGCAAGUGAUCUCCAUCUGUCAAUCAAUUAAUCUAUACAAUAAAAAUCCACUUGGUGUUAAUUAAGGAAAAUCAUUUUGUUGGUGGUGGCCUGUCUCCCAUGUUACUCAAGUUUCAAAUCUGAACUUUUCAAAUUCACAAAGUGCAGUGAUUCAUCUUUGUUCCAUCUUUGGCUGAAUUCUAAUCCUUUUUUCUGUUACUUCCGGAAAGCCAUGGAGUUCCUGAGCUCAAUCGUGGGUCUGGUCCCCUGCUUCUAUGAUCACAUCUCCAAGCAUACCGUCUACAUUCGUGAUCUGAAGAAAAAUCUCCAAGCCUUGAGCAAGGAAAUGGUGGAUCUCAACAACUUGUAUGAAGAUGUGAAGGAAAGGGUUGAAGGUGCAGAGCAACGACAGAUGAGGCGCAGAAAGGAAGUGGGUGGCUGGAUCUGUGAAGUAGAAGACAUGGUGAAAGAAGUUCAAGAAAUUCUGCAGAAGGGUGAUCAAGAAAUCCAGAAGAGAUGUCUCGGAUGCUGUCCCAGGAAUUGUUGGUCUAGCUACAAGAUUGGGAAGGCAGUAAGCGAAAAGCUGGUUGCUGUAUCUGGUCAAAUCGGCAAAGGACAUUUCGAUGUUGUAGCCGAGAUGCUGCCUCGUCCUCUAGUAGAUGAACUGCCCAUGGAGGAGACUGUGGGCUCAGAAUUGGCGUAUGGCAGAAUCUGUGGGUUUCUCAAAGAUCCACAAGUGGGAAUUAUGGGAUUAUAUGGAAUGGGGGUUGUGGUGUCAAAAUCGUCCAACAUUGAAAAAAUUCAGGAAGUUAUUUGGAAUAAAUUACAAAUCCCACGUGAUAUAUGGGAAAGUAGAAGCAGUAAGGAGGAGAAGGCUGUCGAAAUACUGAGAGUUCCGAAAACAAAGAAGUUCGUGUUGUUGUUGGAUGACAUCUGAGAGCGACUUGAUCUCCUAGAAAUGGGGGUUCCACAUCCCGAUGCUCAAAAUAAGUCCAAGAUAGUUUUCACGACCCGAUCACAGGAUGUGUGCCACCAAAUGAAAGCUCAGAAGAGUAUAGGAGUGGCAUGUUUGUCGUCAGAAGCGGCUUGGACUUUGUUUCAGAAGGAGGUAGGAGAAGAAACAUUAAAGUCUCAUCCACAUAUACCGAGGCUUGCAAAGAUUGUUGUUGAAGAGUGCAAAGGUUUACCUCUCGCUUUGGUUACUGUUGGGCGAGCCAUGGUGGGUGAGAAAGAUCCCUCAAAUUGGGACAAGGUAAUACAAGAUUUGAGCAAAUUUCCAGCUGAAAUUUCAGGUGUGGAAGAUGAAUUGUUUAAUAGAUUAAAAGUUAGUUAUGAUAAAUUGUCUGACAAUGCCAUCAAAUCUUGUUUUACAUAUUGUUCUUUGUUCUCUGAGGAUUGGGAGAUUUAUAUUGAAAGCCUUAUAGAAUGUUGGAUAGGAGAGGGAUUUUUGGGUGAAGUUCAUGACAUACAUGAAGCGCGUAAUCAAGGGUAUAAAAUUAUUAAAAAACUAAGGCAUACAUGUUUGUUGGAGAGUUGCGGUUCAAGAGAAAAAAGGGUUAAGACACAUGAUGUGGUCUGCGACAUGGCUUUAUGGUUAUAUGGUGAAUGUGGGAAGAAAAAGAACAAAAUUGUAGUAUACGAUGAUGUUUUUAGGCUGAAGGAAGCUACAGAAAUUUUAGAACUGAAAGAGACGGAGAAGAUGUCAUUUUGGUAUCCGAAUGUUGAGAAGUUCCUUGAAACAUUGGUGUGUCCCAAUCUCAAGACUUUAUUUGUGGAGGGAUGUCAUAAGUUGACGAAAUUUUCGAGUGGAUUCUUUCAAUUUAUGCCUCUAAUAAGAGUUUUGAAUUUGGCAGGGAAUGAUAAUUUAAGUGAGUUACCUACUGGGAUUGGUGAAUUGAAUGGCUUGAGAUAUCUUAAUUUGGAACCCACAAGAAUAAGAGAGUUGCCCAUUGAGCUAAAAAAUUUGAAAAAUUUGAUGAUUCUACGUUUGAAUUCUAUGCAAUUCUCUGUAACUAUCCCACAAGACUUGAUAUCAAAUCUCAUAUCUUUACAGUUGUUCGACAUUUGGAACACCAAUAUUUUAAGUGGAGUUGAAACCUUGCUUGAGGAGUUGGAGUCCUUGAAUGACAUCAAUGAGAUAGGAAUCACCAUAUCUAGUGCUCUUUCAUUGAACAAAUUAAAGAGAAGCCACAAAUUACAGAGGUGUAUAAGGCUUCUACAGUUACAUAAAUGGGGGGAUGUAAUCACACUUGAACUAUCAUCUUUGUUUUUAAAAAGAAUGGAGCAUUUGAUUCAGCUUGAAGUAGACCAUUGUGAUGAUGUGAAAGUAAGUAUGGAAAGAGAAAUGAAACAAAAUGAUGUUAUUGGUCUCUCAAACUACAAUGUUGCAAGGGAGCAAUACAUUUACAGCCUCCGUUACAUAAGAAUAAAAAAUUGUUCAAAAUUGUUAGACUUAACAUGGGUUGUUUAUGCUUCAUGUCUAGAAGAACUUUAUGUUGAAGAUUGUGAAUCAAUAGAACUAGUACUACACCAUGAUCACGGAGCUUAUGAUAUUGUGGAAAAAUUGGACAUAUUCUCAAGGCUCAAAUGCCUCAAGCUCAAUAGACUGCCAAGAUUGAAGAGCAUCUACCAGCAUCCUCUGCUCUUUCCCUCGCUUGAAAUCAUCAAGGUGUAUGAUUGCAAAAGCUUAAGGAGCCUCCCAUUCGAUUCCAACACUUUGAACAACAAUCUUAAGAAAAUUAAAGGAGAGACAAGUUGGUGGAAUCAGUUGAAGUGGAAAGAUGAAACCAUCAAGGACUGUUUUACUCCAUACUUCCAAGUCCAUGAGGCUGAAGCAUAUUUUGCAGAGGAGUCUGAAACUGGCAGCAUAGAUGAUGAUAUGCAGGAACAGUUGGUAUCAAAUUAAUUUCUAUCCAUCUUUCAGGUAUUAAUUAAUUUUUAUGUUAUAUAGAUUACUUCCAUAAUUUUCUGCCUAGUCCUAAUAACUUUCAAUCUAUUUUUUUCCCUUUUAUUUUCAUUCUCUUCUAUAUUGCUUUGAGUCUUUCGAGAUCCAAACAAAGCCAAAUCUACACCCCUUUCUAUAUCAUGGUCCUGCCCCCAAGAUCUUGGAUGGGUAAUUCAAUUCUAGUUGUCCCUUGUGAAAUAAUUGUUAUAAAAGGUUCGCCCAGAUGGCACUUUGAAGGAGGUCUAUUGUUUAAAAAUGGGAUGACAUUCCCUGUUGGUUACUUGAGAACAUGAAAAUAAUGCAGAGUUUUAAACUAUAUUAUUUAUUUGUCUUAAUUUUUGUGAUGGAUUUCAAUCUAUAAAUAGAAACAGAUCAACUUCGUUUCAACUUAGCUCCAUAUAUUUCAAGCUGAAAAACAGGGUUUCACAACUACUAUAGUUGUAGAUAUUCCAUUAAAGAAUUUUUGCCUUGUUUGAUGUGUUUACCAGGACCAACUUCACUUACAAGGGUAAUAUCUCUUCUAUUGUUAAGUUACCUCUAUCUGGUUGGCUCUGAUCACUUUUUGCUUUUCUAUUUUCGUUUUUUCAUUUCUCUUUUUGUUGCAUUCAGGGUUGGGGCUUGUUCUAGAAGUUCUGGCAACAGCCGGGUUUUCAUCUUCUUUAUAUAGACUGUGUUGCUGAUUGGAGAUGUCCUGCUCUUUUUCCUUCUACUUGGAAUCUGGGUUUGGUCUGAGGUCUCUGGUAUGUUUCAUCAGGGAGGCGCAAAUGCUGAUUCUCAGAGCAUUGAUAUUUCAUGGUGCUGAGACUGCUGAAAAGGUUGGUGUACUUAUGAUGGUUGCAGCAUCCUCUUUGUUUCUGGAUCUCAGGGACUGGAUUCUGUGGGCAGCCUUUGGCUUUUGAUGUUGGGUGGAUUUUGUUUUGUUAAUUUGUUGAGGCCGGUGCAGUGUGGUGGGUCUGAAGCUGCUAGUAUGCUGCUGCUGGGUCAAUGCGGAUGUGAUAUGGGAAUGCUUUUGGAUCUUAGGGCUUCAGCAGGUUGAUUAUGUUUCCUCUGCUUACAAAUAUUUUAUCACCAGAUCCUACGUGGAGAUGGGAUGGAUUGUUGUAAUAGUGAUGGUGUGUGUAUGUGAUAUAAUCCUAUGAACAUAGCCACAUGCUUUGGUUCAUAUACCAGAGCACCGCUUACUUCCUUGAGUUUGAUAUCCCACUGUCAAGUGUUAUGUUACGAAAACAAGUUUCACCGGUCGUGGAUUGAAAUGUUUUGUGAGAAAAACUGGUUGAUUUUAACAUUUGAGGUUGUUAAUGGUGGAAGUAUAAGCAGAGUUCUGAGGACUCAAAAUGUGAUCACUUUUUCUCAAGCAUAUUUCUUCCCCAAUAAAAAGGUUUAUUUGUGCAAUGGUUUUGGCACCAACUGAUGAAUGAAAGAGAGCUUUCAUUCCGGAGCAUUUAGAUCUCCAAACAGCAACCUGACUGAACAUGACCACAAAAUUCCUCCGGCGCCACCAAUUUCCUCCACCUGCGACUCUUCAAAUCCAACAUGUACGCCACAUGGGCUUCACCAAAGCUUCUGCACCCAAUCACUAACAGCUUCCCCUCCCAUGUUGUCAUGUAAGCUGUGUGGCGAAUCUCAGCUGGCAAUCUGUCUACUGUCUGCCAUCUGGAGUCCUGCAGUGUCACCACCUCACCCGCAUGACACAUGUACAUCCCCAUGUCACCACCGUCCACGCAGGUCCUCGGGCACGUGCUGUCUUCCAGGAAAUCCUCCUCUGCCUUGUCCCACUCCCAGUUGGCAAAAUCGAAGGCUUCCGCGCUCCUCUCGAACCUGCCUUGCAUCUCUGUGCAGUACCCGCCCAUGACAUGAAACUUACCACGGUGGAAUACUCCUUUGCAUUCAUCGCUCUCCCUUGCCAUGUCAGGCAGUGGGGCCCACUAAUCCUUUGCCACGUCAUACACUAGCGCUGACUUCAAUGCAUUCUUCCAAACCCUACAAACCGCGGCGAUGGUGGAGAAGUUUUCAUAAGAAACGCGAAUUAAACAUUGGCGGGCAACGUCGUCCGGGAGACCCGGAAUAAAGUCCAUGAACAAAAAAAAAACAGCAAGACUGUGGUGCUAUUAAUGGAGAGAAACCCAACCAGAGAGCAAAGAUGGGGGAUUGAAAUAAAUUGAGAGAGCAGCUAGCUACAGAGGAAGAAGAAGGAAGAAGAAGAUGAUGAAGAGAGAAACAGUUGAAUAUAAGAUGAUGAUGAUGAGGAGGAGGAUUGGCUUUUAUAGAGCUUGCCAAGAAGACUGUAAUACAGGUUUAAAAAAGGUUAGUUUCUAUGUCUUGUUAUUUAUUUGCCAACAAGACUGUAAUACAGGUUUAAAAAACGCUAAAUUCAAAAAUUAAAACAAAAAUUGAUACCUAAUCUAUUAAAAUUUUAUUUUAAAAUUUUUGUUACUUGUUUUGUUAGAACUAUCUAAUAUAUUUUUUCAAUUUUUAAAAAUUAAAAUUAAAUUUAUUUUUUAAAUUUUCUUUUUGCUAUAUUCUACAUUCGAAUGCCAAAAUAAUAAUAAUAAUAAAGAAAGAAAAAUGAUAUGAAAUUCAUAAAACCUUAUCAACUCAAAUAAGAGCAUUAUCGUUCCUAAGGUCAGAUUUUUAUUGAAAACUUAUAGGAGAAAAAUAAUAUGAAAAAUAGUUUUUUUUUUUUUUUUGUAUUUGAUUUUAUGAUAGAAAAUUAUGAAGAAAAUUAAAUAUAAUUAAAAUUAGUUAUAUUUAUAUAUUUUAAAUUAUUUAAUCAUUAAACUAAGGGAAAUGAGUUUAAAUAAUAAUAAUAAUAAUAUAUAAAUUAUUUAUUAAUUGAAUUUUUUUUUAAUUUUCAUUCACUUUUUAUCUUCUUUUUUUUUUCUAUUUUUUUUCUAUUAUAUUUUUCCUCAAUUUUCUCUAAAAGCAAACACAGCCGACAAAAAAUGUUUUGACUUUCAUUAAAAUUUGAAGUCUUAGUAAUACUUUCACAUUUAUUUUAAUUCAAAUUAGAAGCCAAUACAAGCAUAAUUGGAGUGUGUUUGGAAUAUUUUCCUAUUUUUUACUUUAAUUAGAAGUUAAAAUUGAAUCAAACUCACAAUUUUUAAAGGAUAAUAUAUGUAAAAUAAAGUUUUCACAAUCGAACAACAUUUUUCUAAUUUCUAUAUUAAGCUUUUUUAAAAAAUAAUCAUAAGAUUUUUGAACAAAAAUAGUUAAAAAAAAAACCUCUUAUUGAAGUUAAAAAAAGAAACUGUUAUCUUCAUAGAAAUCCUACCAAAUAAGACUUUAAUCUUAUGGGAAAAGAAAAAAAAAAAAAAAAGAAGUGGGUCAGUGGCCACUAGAUAAUGCAUUAUGCCACCAUUUGACCCAACUUGAUUCUACCUUCAUGAUUUAUCCUUUGAAUUGUAGGAAGAUGAGUUUGGACAAAUCAAAUCAAUUUAUGUCCUAAUUGAUGCCAAAAAUAUCCAUAUAAUUCAAAUAAAUAUAAGUUUGAUAGUGAGACAAAAGGGUAUGGCGUUUUUUAUGGGUGUUGCCAGCAUUAUUAUAAUUUAUAGCUUUUUUUAAAGAAAAACUAAAUUAAAAUUAUCAAAAUAUAUUUUAUAUUUACAAAAGCUAAAAACAUAACCAAGAAAAAAUCUUUAUGCUUUAUAUUUUAAAAUUUAGUAAAAGCAAAAGCAUAUCCAAAUCAGCCCCACACAUAAAAGAAAGCUAAAAUUGAAAUUGACUAAUCAUUUUUUUACUGAGCUGGCAAACCUUUUUGACUUUUUUCUUUUACUGUGCCAAUGAGAAAAAUGAUUCAUAUUAAAAGUGAUAAAAUUAAUUAAUUAAUUUUAUAGCAUCCUUGCCCAGGAGUAGGAGUUUAUCGCAGGAGGCUUUGUUUCUUGGCUUGAAGCAUGCGUUGCUCACCACUUCCUUCAUGCGAUUCUCUGGCCUUUUAUGCUGGAGGUUGACUGGUACACAUCAGCCUGCCGCUUGCUACCUGAUUGGUGAUUGUGAAUGCUUUUGGGUCUUGCUGGUUGCUUGUGUUUCCUCUGGUUUUAUUGUAUUCCUCUGCUUACAAAUGAAAUAUCACUAUAUAUUCUGGGAAGAUAGGAUGGAACUGCAUUUUCAAAGUAUGGAACAUAGUUUACAAACUUGGAUUUUGUUCUUCCCUUGAAAUUUGAUCACUCAUUAAUGAAAUUUUUUCGUUCAUUUUUUUGGGAGAAAAAAUGGGGUUGAUUUCAACAUUUUAGACCAAUUUAUGCAUAGAACUAAUUUGUUAAUGGCAAUUUGCUGCUAAUUUUGCUGGGUUUGAAAUGUUCUGCUCUCUUUCUAUCCUGUUGGUGCUGUUGGUGUUGGCGUUUGCUUAAUUGGUGCUUGGUCUUGGUGCUUCUCAGAAUUUUUUUAGUAAUAUUAUUUGUAGGAUAUUCUUAGAAAAAGGUAAAUGGUAAUAGCAUCUGAUUUAUUUAUUUAUUAAAAAAAUAUUAUAAAUUGUAGAAGUUACAUGAAUAAUUCAAAAUUUGGCAAUAAAAAUACAAUUCAAUCCCACCAUGACCAAUCAGAAUUGUUUAAAGAAUAAUGUAAAGUAUAAUGUAGUGGUGAUGAAUGCAAGCAUAAAACCAUUGUGGAGCCAAGAUUCAAGGGGCAUAAAACCAUUGUGGAGCCAGGAUUCAAGCAUAAAACCAUUGUUGGUCUAGCUACAAGAUUGGGAAGGCAGUAAGCGAAAAGCUGGUUGCUGUACCUGGUCAAAUCGGCAAAGGACAUUUCAAUGAUGUAGCCGAGAUGCUGCCUCGUCCUCUAGUAGAUGAACUGCCCGUGGAGGAGACUGUUGGCCUAGAAUUGGCGUAUGGCAGAAGCUGUGGGUUUCUCAAAGAUCCACAAGUGGGAAUUAUGGGAUUAUAUGGAAUGGGGGGUGUGGGCAAAACCACCCUCUUGUGGAAAAUCCACAAUAACUUCCUCCCUACAUCCAGCGAUUUUGAUGUUGUGAUUUGGGAUGUGGUGUCAAAAAUUUAAAAAAUUCAGAAAGUUGUUUGGAAUAAAUUGCAACUCUCACGUGAUGGAUGGGAAAGUAGAAGCACUAAGGAGGAGAAGGCUGCCGAAAUAUUGAGAGUUUUGAAAACAAAGAAGUUCGUGUUUUUGGAUGACAUCUGGGAGCAACUUGAUCUCCUAGAAAUAGGGGUCCCCCAUCCCGACGCUCAAAAUAAGUCCAAGAUAGUUUUCACGACCCGAUCACAGGAUGUGUGCCACCAAAUGAAAGCACACAAGAGUAUAGGAGUGGCAUGUUUGUCGCCAGAAGUGGCUUGGACUUUGUUUCAGAAGGAAGUAGGAGAAGAAACAUUAAAGUCUCAUCCACAUAUACUGAGUCUUGCAAAGACUGUUGCUGAAGAGUGCAAAGGUUUACCUCUUACUUUGAUUACUCUUAGGCGAGCCUUGGCGGGUGAGAGAGAUCCCUCAAGUUGGGACAAGGUAAUACAAGAUUUGAGCAAAUUUCCAGCUGCAACUUCAGGUAUGGAAGAUGAAUUGUUUCAUAGAUUAAAAGUCAGUUAUGAUAGAUUGUUUGACAAUGCCAUCAAAUCUUGUUUUACAUAUUGUUCCUUAUUCUCUAAAGGUUGGUGGAUUUCAAAUGAAACCCUUGUGGAAUAUUGGAUGAUUGAGGGAUUUUUGGGUGAAGUUCAUGACAUACAUGAAGUGCAUAAUCAAGGGCAUAAAAUUAUUAAAAAAUUAAAGCAUGCAUGUUUAUUGGAGAGUUGCGGUUCAAGAAAACAAAACAUUAUGAUGCAUGAUGUGAUCCACGACAUGGCUUUAUGGUUAUCUUGUGAAUGUGGGGAGGAGAAGAACAAAAUUUUAGUAUACAAUGAUGUUUCUAAGUUGAAGGAACCUUAAGAAAUUCCAAAAUUGAAAGAGACAAAGAAGAUGUCAUUAUGGGAUGAGAAUGUUGAGGAGUUCCCUAAAACAUUGGUGUGUCCCAAUCUCAAGAUUAGUGGCUUGUGAUAAGUUGAAGAAAUUUCCAAGUGGAUUUUUUCAAUUUAUGCCUUCAAUAAGAGCUUUUGAUUUGUCAAAUAAUUAUAAUUUAAGCGAGUUACCUACUGGGAUCGGUAAAUUGGGUGCCUUGAGAUAUCUUAAUUUGUUAGCCACAAAAAUAAGAGAGUUUCCUAUUGAACUUACAAAUUUGAAAAACCUAAUGACUUUGCUUUUGGAGAAUAGGAAAUUCCUGGAAUUAAUUAUUCCACAAGAACUGAUAUCAAGUCUCAUAUCUUUAAAGUUGUUCAGCACAAUCGAUACCAAUAUUUCAAGUAGAGUUUCAGAAAGCUUGUUGGAUGAGUUGGAGUCCUUGAAUGGCAUCAGUGAGAUAUGUAUCACCAUAUGUACUACUCAUUCAUUCAACAAAUUAAAGAGUAGUCACAAAUUGCAAAUGUACAUAAGUCAAUUCGAGUUGGAUAAAUGUGGGGAUAUGAUCUCACUUGAACUACCGUCUUCAUUUUUUAAAAGAAUGGAGCAUUUGCGAUGGCUUUGUAUAUCUAAUUGCGAUGAAUUAAAGGACAUAAAAAUUGAAGGGGAAGGAGAAGGGACACAAAGGGAUGCGACUCUCCGAAACUACAUUGCUGUAAGGGAGAACUACUUUCGUGCCCUUUGUAACCUAUAUAUUUUUCAUUGUUCAAAAUUGUUGAACAUUACAUGGCUUGUUAGUGCUCCAUAUCUUGAGGAACUUACCGUUGGAGAUUGUGAAUCAAUAGGACAAUUGAUAUGUUAUGGAGUAGAGGAAAACUUGGACAUAUUCUCAAGGCUCAAAUACCUUAAGCUCAACGAGCUGCCAAAAUUGAAGAGCAUCUACCAAUAUUUGCUGCUCUUUUCCUCACUUGAAAUCUUGAAGGUGUAUGAUUGCAAAAGCUUAAGGAGCCUCCCAUUCGAUUCCAAUACUUAACAAUAAUCUAAAGAAAAUUAAAGGAGAGACAAGUUGGUGGAAUCAAUUGGAGUGAAUCGAUGAAACUAUCAAGUACUCUUUUACUCCAUAUUUCCGAAUCGACCAAGUUGAAGCGUACUUAACUGAGGAGUCCGAAACUGGUGGCAUAGAUGAUAUACAAGAGCAAUUGAUAUCAAAUUAAUUUCUUUCAGGUAUUAAUUAACUUUUAUGCUAUAUUUGAAAAAUAAUAUUUUUCCACACUCCCAUUCAUUUGUGGAAAUUUUUACUUUACCGAUGUCAAAGUGCAUCAAAGUCUCAACAUCAUAGUAACUUUCAAUGUUUGAUGUAUAUGGACUACUUCCAUAAUUUUCGGCCUAAUCUUAAUAAUUUUGGUGUGGUUAUAAUUUUUUUCUUUUUUAUUUUUCUUUUUCGUCCUUCUAAUCUUAAGCCUUCAUUUUGAUGACAGACAUAAUUUAGAAAGGAAAAAAAAUGUAAGAAAUCCAAAUCUAAAUCUAUAUAUAUAUUUUUUAUCUCUAUCUGAUUGGCUCUGAUCAGUUUUUGCCUUCUUUUUUUUUCAUUUCUCUUUUUGUUGCAUUCAAGGUUGGGGCUUGUUCUAGCAGUUCUAGCAACAGCCGGGUUUUGAUCGUUUUUAUAUAGACUGUGUUGUUGGAACUCCAUUUUGCUUGUAUCCAAUUAUUAGACAGGAAUCACAUGUUGAAUCAUAUGAAGAAAUUAUGCCAAACAUUUCUAUAGAAAGGGAACAUACAGAAUCUGAACUAACCUGAUUCCAUUUUGAGUGUUGAAUGAACAAGGUAUGGAUCUUCUAAGGCUGUGGAGGGCACCACCUCUUUCUGGAUUCUCUCUGACGAUGGGAGCAGGAGAGAAAACAAGUCUAUUAUUAUUUCAAAUGAUGUGAUUAGACUGAACAGACACUUAGCCUUUGGUUUUAUACCCUCUUGCCUUAGGGACCAUACCCUUUGGCUAUUGGGCCUCACGAGUCUUAGGCCCAUCAUCUAAGGCCCGUGAUGGCAAUGGGCUCUACACAUAAGGUGACCCAUACUAUGGAAAAUUGAUACAAAAUAAAUAUUAAAAGGCGAAUAGCUUAGUCAUGUAUCAUUGUUAAAUAUGUGUGAGUCCAUAUCUUAACAUGUGUUGCUGUUGUUUUUGCUGAUGGUUGAUGUCCUGCUCUUUUUCCUUCUACUUAGUAUUUGGGUUUGGUCUGAGGUCGAUCUAGGUAUGUUUGAUCAGAGAGGCAUAAAUGCUGAUUCUCGGAGCAUUGAUAUUUCAUGGUGCUGAGACUGCUGGGAAGGUUGGUGUACUUAUGAUGGUUGCAGCAUCCUUUUUGUUUCUAGAUCUCAGGAAUUGGAUUCUGUGGGCUGCUUUUGGCUUUUGAUGUUGGGUGGGUUUUGUUUUGUUAAUUUGUUGAGGCUGGUGCAGUGUGGUGGAUCUGAAGCUGCUAGUAUGCUGCUACUGGGUCAAUGUCAAUGUGAUAUGGGAAUGCUUUUGGGUCUUUGGGCUUCAGCUGGUUGCUUGUGUUUCCUCUGCUUACAAAUGUUUUAUCAUCAGAUCCUAUGUGGAGAUGGGAUGGAUUGUUUUAAUAGUGAGGGUGUGAGGGUGUGAUAUAAUCCUGUCAACAGAGCCACAUGCUUUGGUUCAUAUACCAGAGCACUGCAUUCUUGAGUUUGAUAUCAUAUCCCACUCCCAAAGUGUGUCGUGCAUAAUGUAAUGUAAACAAGUUUCAACUUUCACCCAUUGUGGAUUGAAAUGUUUAAUUUGGGAGAAAACUGGUUGAUUUGUAACAUUUGAGGGUGUUAAUGGUGAUUUUUCUUAUUAUUAAUUGUGAUUGAAAAGAAAGUUGAUGAACAAGGUGGAAGUAUAAGCAGAGAGUUCUGAGGACUCCUAAUGUGGUACAUUUUCUCAAGCAUAUUUCUUCCCCAAUAAAAAGGAAAACUUGGGUUCACUUGUGCGAUGGUUUUGGCACUUGGCACUAACUGAUGAAUGAAAGAGAGAUCCAGGUUUAUCACUGAUGAAUUGAAAUGUUUUGUUAUUGUUGCUUAGUUAAAAAAGUUGCGGUUCAGUUUGCUAAUCUAUUGAUAUCUGCUGCAGUGAUUCUGCUGCUGAUGAAUAUAAAAGACAAUCAGUAGGUGCAGGUGAUGCCAUCUCAUCUGCUCAAUCAUCUCAAGUAUUACAGCCUGCUCGCUCAGGGGCCAGGGGACGUGCUUCAAUGGCUGAUAUUGUGAGGAGGGGCAGGCCAGGGACCAGGAGACAUGUUUCAAUGGCUGAUGUUGUAGGGAUGGGCGGACCUGGUGCCAAUACUUCCAGCCUGCCAAUUACGUCAACUGGAACUUCUCCCCCUCUUGUUGGGGCAGUACCAGAACAAUGUGGUGUGCCCAAUACUUCCAGCCCGCUAAUUACAUUAGAUGAAACUUGUUUCCCACUUCUUGGAAGAACACCAAAACGAUCCUCUUACCGUGUCACUACUCCCUUUGUUCUGCCACCAGUGGAGGCAGAACCACACCAAGAUUUGCAUUCUCCAAAUCCUUGGUAUGUGUUGGAGGUAAGUCAUGAGCCUUGCACUACUGAUGAAUGGCCCACCACUGAUUAGCCAACAGCACAUAAUGGCUUAUCUGUUUUAGGUGGCUCACCUGCCUUAGAAACAGAGAUAUUCUAACGAGUUUUGGGUCAAAAUGGCCUAUUUAAAAAAAAAAAUGUAACAUCUAGCCAUUUUUUGAAACUUAUGUUCAAAGUGGUUUCUUUGGUGCUACGUAGGCGCCAUAUCAUUAAAAAAUAUUUUUUUUUUCAUCAUUUUAGUUAAAGCCACAGUUGACAAAUACGGCUUUAUAUUUGAACUAAAACCGCAGUUGGCAACUGCGGUUUUAGUUAAUUUUUUUUAAUUUAAAAUUUAAUAAAAAAUUAUUAAAUUACAAUUUAUGAUUGAAAUUUUAAAAAUAUACUUAAAUAAUAAAUUAUUUGUAUUUAAAUUUAAAAAUCUAGUUACACAUAGGUUCCCUGUGAGAUUAUAUAUGUUUUUUAUUUUCCACUAUAUUAAUGUUUAGUGAAUAUUUUUUGUGACUUUAAUUAAAUGAUUAAAAAUUAUAUUUUGUAGUAGACUUUUUGUAAUUAAUUUCAUUAACUAAUUUUGUAAAAAAAUCUAUACAUGACAACUAAUAUAUGAUUUCGAGUAAAUUUUAAAUUAAUUUUAUCAAACAACCUUAAUAUUUAAAGUAAAAAUUAAGUAAUAAGUUUUAAGUUAAUAAAUUAAAUAUAAUUUAAUUUAAAAUAAACUUAAAUCAUUAAGUAAUAAGUAUUAAGUUUUAUCAAACAUUAAAAAAAAAAAUUAUUAUCGUAAAACAAUUAGGUAUUCAAUUAAAAAACCCAAAAAAAAGAAAAAGAAAUUGUAAUCUUGAUGAAUUUUGUAGACUGUUUCAUAGUUGAUGGUGAUUCAAAUACAAAAGUACAGUAUCAAAAUCAAAAGAAAGUUGUGAGUUGUGAGCUGUGAGUGAGAUAUGCAUCUGAACCGCCAGCAAAAGAAAUUUAAAAUUGUUAAUAUAAAAAGAAAAAUGGACGCAGUGAUCAUGGGCGGUGUUUAUGUACUGGGUUUGAAAGUGUUGAACCUGAACCAAGAACCAACCAUUUAUAGUUGGAAAUUUUGAAUACUACAUCACCAAUCACCAUGCAUACGCUCCUCCUCCCUUCAAAGUCAUCAACUCGCUAACUUUUUCUAAUCUCAAAUUUAAACUUAUAUGUUAUAUAAGUUUAUUAUUUUAAGAUUAUUAAUUUAUUAAUAAAUAAAACAUUCAUUUAUAAUAUCUUAUAUUUAUUAAUUUAUGUUUAUUGAACUAAUACUAAAUUCUUAAGUUUAAAUAUAAAUAAUUUAUUAUUAAAGUAUAUAUUUUUAAUUUUAAUAAUAAAUUAUAAUUUAAUAGUUUUUAAUUAAAUUUGAAAGUAAAAAAAAUUAUAAUUGAAAUCUCAGUUACCAACUACGACUUAAAAGUAUAUUAUUAAUUCGAUAAAGAUAAAUUUAUCAUAAUACAAAUAAAUUAAUAUCUUAAAAAACAACAAAUUAAAUAUCUUAAAUUAAUAAAUUAUACAAUUUUAUAUAUUAUUUAUAUGUUAUAUAAAUUUAUUAUUUUAGGAUUAUUAAUUUAUUAAUAAAUAAAAUAUUCAUUUAUAAUAUCUUCUAUUUAUCAAUUUAUGUUUGUUGAAGUAAUACUAGAUUUUGAAGUUUAAAUAUAAAUAAUUUAUUAUUUAAGUAUAUUUUUUAAAUUGUAAUUUAAUAGUUUUUAAUUAAAUUUGAAAGUAAAAAAAAAAAUUAUAAUUGAAAUCUCAGUUAUCAACUAUGACUUAAAAGUAUAUUAUUAUUUCGAUAAAGAUAAAUUUAUCAUAAUAUGAAAUAAAUUAAUAUCUUAAAAAACAACAAAUUAAAUAUCUUAAAUUAAUAAAUUAUAUAAUUUUAUAUAUUAUGCAUAUGUUAUAUAAGUUUAUUAUUUUAAGAUUAUUAAUUUAUUAACAAAUAAAAUAUUUAUUUAUAAUAUCUUUUAUUUAUCAAUUUAUAUUUGUUGAAGUAAUAUUAGAUUUUUAAAUUUAAAUAUAAAUAAUUUAUUAUUUAAGUAUAUUUUUUAAAUUUCAAUCAUAAAUUUUAAUUUAAUAAUUUUUAAUUAAAUUUUUAAUUAAAAAAAAUUAACUAAAGCCGCAGUUGUCAACUGCGGCUUUAGUUCAAAAAUGAAACCACAGUUACCAAUUACAGCUUUAGUUCAAAUAUGAAGCCGCAUUUGUCAAUUACGACUUUAACUAAAAUGAUGAAAAAAAAUAUUUUUUAAUGAUAUGACGUUUACGUGGCAUCAAAGAUGCCACUUUGAACAUAAGUUUCAAAAAGUGAUUAGAUAUUACAUUUUUUUUUUUUUUAAAUGGGCCAUUUUGACCCAAAACUCUAUUCUAACCCAUCUAACUUGUACAGUGAUACUGCUGAAAUGUCCCAGGACUGCCGGCCAGAUGAGGUCCAAGCAUCUGUAUCCAGUGAACAGUGGGCAGAGUAUAGCGCUGCAGGUGCGUCUUAUAGAGCUUGCCAACGAGACUGUAGUACAGGUUUAAAAAAGGUCAGGCGGUCUAGAAAGUUAAAAUGAAGGCGACCAUAGGUUGUGUCAAUACACAAGACCAUACAAACCGCCAUUGUUUCUAUAUUUUGUUAUUUAUUUUUAAUGUGAUUGGUUCCCUAGAAAAUCUGAUGUGACCCUGGUUCAUGAUGCCGAAAAUGGAAAUCAUGGGACUCCAUGUGGAUGGGUCUAUAUUUAUCACUCUUUUGAAAAUUCAUCACCCAUCAAAAUGAUCAAAUUUCAUAAUCUAAGCUUGAAAAUACAUCUUAUCAUUUGCCUUCUCACUCUCAAAAAUUCAAAAUAAAAAAUUCCACAUAAUCAAUACAUUUUGGAUUUUAAUUAUUUUAAUCCAUUCUAUCUUCAUUAUCUAAGUCCAACUUCUACUGUCAGUAAAAGUAAAACUUCAUUUCAGGAAGAGAGGAAUUGAUAAGUUUUAACAAAUAAGUGUAAAUACAUUUUCUAUUUUUAUUUAAUUUAAAAUUUUAUAUAACAUACCAAAAUUUUAAAAUGUUUAUAUUAAAAAUAUAAUGAUUUAAAACUAUUUAAAAAAUGAGAUAUCAAAAAAAUUAUUAUCUUAAAUUUAAAAAAUUAAUGUAAUUUUUUUUUAAAAAAAAACAUAAUAUAAAAAAAAUAUAUUGGAGGAGCAGAAUAAUUGAGAGAGAAGCAACAAAACGUUAAGUACAAAGUGGAGAAAUGCAACUAAUGAAAUUGGAAGUAACAAUGUCGUUUUGCAGGCACAUGAGGGUGGCCCAUUUCUCCCCUCUUUUUAUUUCUUUUCACACGCCAACUUGACUCAGCCCACAAUAAAUCCUUACUUAUCCCUUGUGUAAAUUGGAAGUAACGUUUUUCAAUUAUUUUUAUUUUUACUAAAUUCAUCAAGACAUUUGACAAAAUUUAGAAAUGAUUUUUGAAAUAUUAAAAAAUUACCUAAACUAUUUCCUAAAAAAAUUUAAUCAGUAAUUAUCCUAAAAAUAUUUUCAAAAACCAUUUUUAUUAAAGUAUUUCGAAUAAAAAGGUUGUCGAUCACAUGUAAAUUAAUAUUUAGAAGCCUUAUAAUAGAUGGUGUUGAAAUUUUCUCUCUUUUAAAAUUGACGUAUAAGAAUAAGAAAGUAUGACUGAAAGAAGAGAUUAGCUAAGUGACAUCAAGAAGCAUAACUCUUAGAAUAUCUUAAUUUUUUCGGCAAAAAAGCAAUUGAAUAUGAUAUAAUAUUGGUAGAAAUUAAUCAACCUUACUUGCCUAUUCAAGAAGUCAACUAUAUAUCAUUUAAAAAAUUAUCGCUCCCUUUGUAUUUAACAUGCUUAAACAUUAUAAAAAAUUAUCAAUUUAUUUAGAAAAUAUCAAUGCAUACAAGUGAACACUAAAUUGUUAUUAUAUAUUACUUCAAAGUCGUUUAAUUUAUUUUAAUUUUUAUAUAAAGAUUAAUUAAUUUGAAAACACGUAAAUUUCUAACCAAUCUUCUUUAUAUUUUACCUUCCUCACUAUUUUUUACUUUCCUAAUUUGGGGAAAGCCUUUUCUUAAAAAAUUUGGUUUUCCAAAUUUCAAAUUGAACCCACUUCAUUUGGGCAACAUUAAGUUAAUUGAUCCUAAUCAAUGCCAAAUACUAUGAAUCUAAAGUUCAAAUCAUAGCAACAUAGAGAGGGAGUUCAAUUUCAAUACAAAAUACAAAAAGUGUAAAACUAGAUAUUAAUAUUAAGACAUCAUACUAAUUAAACAAGUUUCAUUUUUGUCAAAAAAAAUAUAUCUAGUUCCCAAAAAUAUCAAGGAAAAAAAUAUAAAAAAUAUUUUUCUUCAUAUUUGGUUUUACUAUGAUAAAUUCGAGAUAAAAUCAAAUAUAAGAAAUUUUAAAUAUUUUAAAUUAUUUAAUCUUUAUAUAAAAAUAAAGUUAAAAUAAGUGAAAUGACUUCAAAAUAAUAUAUAAAAAAUAAAAUUAAUUUAUUAGUUUUAAUCCUAUUUUUUAUUUUCAUUGGUUUUUUGUCUUUCGAUUUUUUUCUUCUUUAUUUUCUUUUUCUCAUAUUUUUCCUCAUUCAAACAUACCAAAAAAAAAAAUUGUUUUAACUUUCAUUCAAAUUCAAAGUCUUAAUAAUACUUUCACAUUUAUUUUUAUUCAAAUUAGAAGAAAAUACAAAUAUUUGGAAUGCCUUUGAAAUAGUUUCCUAUUUUUCACUUUAACUAAAAGUUAAAAUUGAAUCAAAAUCAUAAUUUUUAAAAGAUAAUAUAUGAAAGAGUUCUUAGCAUAAAUCAAAAUAAAGUUUUUACAAGGAACAACAAUUUUUUUAAUUUCUAUAUUAAAUUUCUUGUUAAGUGGUCAUAAGUUUUUUAAACGAAAAUAGUAAAAAAAAAAAAAAAACAUAUGAUUGAUACCAAGAUAAAUUAUGAAUCCUUUAAAGUGAUCCACUACACUUUUUUGGGGUGGAAAUUCAGUCAUUAAUACAUGUACUUGAUCUGGGGGUGCCCUACAAUUCAAGUCAAUGAAUUUGGACAAAUCAAAUCAAUUUUUUUCCCAAUUGAUACCAAGGAAUAUCCAUAUGAUUCAAACAAUAUUUAUAUUGUUUGUUUGGAUUUUGCCUAAAGUAUUCAUGAAUGUGUCCAAAUAAUAUGCUUAUCAAUGGCACUACUAAUUUUUGCUUCCCCCUUUUCUUUUUUUUUUCAUUUUUUGUUUGUUUUGAAUUGGUACUUCCUUUCUCAUUCAUUCUACAUUCUUUUUUUAAAAAACAUUUGUCUCUUUUGCAUACAUCCUAAAAAGCCCAAAGUGUCUUUUUUUUAUUUAUUAUUAUUAUUAUUAUUUUUUAAAAAAGAACUUAAUAAAAUCUUUCGCUUCUAUAUAUCUUAAAAUGAAAAUAAAAAAUAAAAUUUUAUUAUUAAAGUUUUAUUUUGAUUUAUAGAUAAAGUUAUUUCAUAUUUUAUAAAUCUCUUCCUAUAUUCAUUUUGUUCUUUGCAAAUUAUAAUUUCACUCACUUCAACUUUGAAAUAAAAUCAAAAUAAAAAUAAAAAAUUAUAGCAAAUUAUGUUUAAUUUAAUCCGCUUUUCAAUUGGAAAAUACUAAUAGUGCAACCCAUAUCUGUCUAAACUUAGUGCAUAUAAUAUUACUUUUCAAUGGACUUGAAAACUAUUUAAAAACCGACAACUCCAAAGUCAAUUAUCUCAAUUAUGGAGUGUCAUGGUUCCAAAAGAUAAAAGCAAGUGUGAAGAUCCUUAAAAUGUUUUUGAGUGUAAUGGUGUUUCCAAAAGAUAUAAGCAAAAAUGAAAAUAUCGGAAUCACGGAUAUAUCAAUAUUUCGAUUUUACGAAUAUGUCAGAUAUAUCGGAGAUAUAUUGGUAAAUAUUUUGACAUAAAAUAUCGAUAGACCUAAAAUUAACCAAAAUUUAUAAAAAUAUAAAAUAAAACUUUUAGAAAUGAAAUUAAAAGUACAAUAGACAUUUUAAAAUUAUUUUGUUAAAUAAAUUAAUGUGUGUAUAUAUAUAUAUAUAUACGUGUCAACAAAAAAUAUAAAUUUGAUAAGUGUAUAUUGAUUAUUAAAUUAUAUCAAAUAUUAUUUGAUGAUUAUAUUGUGAUAUUUGAUUAUAAUAUAUUUCGGUGGAUAUUUUGACACAAAAUGUCUGUAAACCUAAAAUUGAUCAAAACUUACAAAAAUAUAAAAUAAAACUCUUAGAAAUGAAAUUAAAAGCAUAAUAAACAUUUUAAAGUUAUUUUUUUUUAAUAAAUUGAUAUAUAUAUAAUAUUGUACAUGUUAAUAAAAAAUAUAAAUUUGAUAAGUGUACAUUGAUUAUUAAAUUAUAUAAAAUAAUAUUUGAUGAUAAUAUUGUGAUGUAUGAUUAUAAUAUGUUUAAUUUUAAAAUCUAUUUAAUAUUAAAAUUAUGAUAUAUUAUAAAAUAAAUGAUGAUAAAUGUAUAAAUUUUUAAUAUAUUAAUAAUAUUAAAAAUACUCUGAAUAAAAUUAUGUUAUAUUUUUACUAAUCAAUUAAAUGAAAAAAUUUCAUUCAAUUAUAAAAUAGUGAUAAUUAAUUGUUAUUUAAAGUGUUUUUUUUUUAAUAUUUUAUUUAUAUCCGAACUUUCGAUAUAUAUUUCUUUAGUGCAUAUUAUAUAUCAAAGGGCAAGUUUGCUCUAGUGGAGCUAGGAGUUGGGGAUGCAUGUUGAACCUUCGAAUCCCCCAACAGCAACAAAAAAAAAAAAAACUCAAUUUUGAGCUUUGACCGCGUUGACCGCCCACGUUGACCAAUCGUUGACCACCGAUAAAUCCAUGCUAUAUAUCGUUUCACCACCCGCCGACACACCGAUAUUUCAACGAUAUUUUCUUCCCUAGAUAUAAGCAAGUAUGAUUUUCCUUAAAAUGUUUUUCACAUUUUUUUUGACAUAAUUAUUUAAGUUGCCUACCAAUAAAUCUUUUUCUGAUUUUUGUAUGAAUUGAAUAUUAUUAUUUUUCUAAAAUAAGAAGUAUGUUUAAUAAUUAAUUUUUCUAAGUAAUAAUAAUGACCAACAACCUUUUAGACCUAGUUUUUCAAUCAACUUAUUUAUUUCCUAGGUAUAAAACAUGGAGAAGUAAAAUACAUGUAUUGAUGGAUCAAUUAGAGGGAGGGUUAAACCUACUAAGACACUACCCACCUCACUGGAGAAUGGAAAAUUAAAUGGUUAUAAAUACAUCAUCAUUUCCCUUUUUCCAUAAAAAUGUUGCUCCAUGUCCUCUUAUCAAUUUCACUUCAAUUAUCCUCAAAAAAAUCACUUCACAACUUCAAAGAUUUGUUAGUAAAAUUGUAAAAGUACUAACAUGUCACUUGAGUAAAAAAGACAUGAUUACUAUGCAAAAAAUGAAACAUAUGCCAUAUUUAUCAUCUAAAUUAUGUACUUUUUGAAUAGUAAUUACAUGUUACACUAGGUAGAAUCAUGUUAACAUAUUAAAUGGAUUAGAAUCGUGUUAUCUUGUUUAAUGAAUGUUAAUAGGUUUAAUAGGUUAGAAUCAAAUUAAUGGGGGUUACCUAUAUCAAUUCAUAUAGAGGUCAACUUAACCUAUUUAUUAAAUUAGUUAUGUCUAUAUCAAGUCAUUUUAACAUGAUGUUUAAACAAAUCAUAUUCCAAUUAAGUAAACUUUCACUAGUUUUUAUCUUGACACAAUACAAAUCCAACAUAAUAUGACCCAUUGUCACCCUAGUUAAGGAGCAUAAGAGUGUUGCAUCAAGGAAGUGGAAGAAGAGCAUAGUGAUAUAAAACUUUAGGGAGUGGAAGCAUUUAAUCAAGUAAAGUUGUGUAACUUUUAUUUUCAUAAGUAGUGAAUUAUUCAAUUGUCAAGAGACCAACCAUAGUUUUUUUUUUUUAUACCUAGGGAUUUCUAGGUGCUUUCCACAUAAAAUUCUAUGUUGAAAUGUGUAAUUGGAAAUCUCAUGCAUGAGAUUGAUAAGAUAUUGAUGAUAAUUGAGUUGGAAUAAAACAAUUUAACUUUGAGGGGUUAAUUGCUUGGACUACCUAUUUACCCCUCCUUCAAGAAGUUCCAUAUAAGGGUCUCCAAUGGGCGGGCCGGGCCAUGGAAAAAUGUUAGGCCCGCGGCCCGGCCUAUGAGUCCGCGGGCUAGCGGGCUGGGGGCGGGCUGGGCCAACGGGCCGGGCUGGGGGCGGGCUGGGCGGGCCGGGCCGCGGGCCGAGCCUUGGGCUUUUUUAAAUAAGCCAAAAUGGCUUUAGAAAGGAAGAGAGAGGGAGGGAUUCGAACCCCUCCCCUCAUGCUUUAAUAUAAAGGCUCUAACCAACUGAGCCACAUUUAUUUUGUGUUAACUAAAUGAGUUAGUUAUAUAUAUAUAAAAUAAAGUAUAUUAUUUUUUUAAAAAAAAUUAACGGCUCCAACGGUCAUGUGACCGUUGGAGCUCCAGCCCAGCUCCCAGCUGCCAUGUGACCGUUGGGCAACGGUCACAUGGCCAAUUUUUUUUUUUUUUUUUUUUCUAAAGCCUUCCUAUAAAUACAUCUUCUCCCUUUUCAUUUUUUCAUCAAAUUCUCUCUAUUUCUCUCACAUUCUACAAUAUUUCAAAUUCUUUUAUUUUUCCCUCAAAUUAUACAAUAUUGUUGGUGGUGCAAAACAAGCAUUGGUGGCUCCAAGAGUUCAAAUUUGCUAGGAAUUUCUGCAUCGGUUCUCUAAUUGAGUAACAUACUUCACUCCUACUACUUUAUUUUUUUGUUACAUUUUUUUUAUAUUUAUUACUUUAUUAUUUUUGGCAUAAUAUUUUAUCAAUAAUUAUAAUAUGACAAGUGCUUCUUCUUCAUCUAGUCCAUGUGAUGAAAUAUCAUCAAACAAAAAAUUUACUUCAAAUAUAUGGAAUUUUUUUGAUAGAGUAGAAAUAAUUUUAGAAAAUAAUAAAAAAGAAAUAAAAGCAAAAUAUAAAAUUUGUAAUAAAUUUCUUACUGGUGGCUCAAAUGCAGGCACAAGUCAUUUAAAAAGACAUCACGAAAAUUGUAAAACUAAAAAUAAUGUAGAUAUUAAAAAUUAUAUGCAAUUAGGUAAAAAUGAAAGUGGAAAUUUAAAAACAUUUUCUUAUGAUGAAUCUAACUGUCGUGAAGAAAUGAUUGAUUAUAUAAUAAGAGCAGAACAACCUUUCAACAUGAUGAAAACUCAUGAUUUUGUAGGAACAAUUCAACGAGGUAUUAAUCCUCAAUUUAAAGGUUGGUCUGGAAAUACAGUUAAAAGAGAUAUUAUGAAAAAAUUUUAUACACAAAAAGAAAUUUAAAUUUUUUUUUUUUGCAAAUUUUGAAGGAAAUAUUUGUUUAACAUCUGAUAUUUGGACAUCUUUAACUCACACUGGUUUUUUAUGUAUAACUGCUCACUACAUUGAUAAUGAAUGAAAAUUAAAUAAAAGAAUAAUUUCAUUUAAAUUAAUAAAUGCUCCACAUAGUGGUAAAAAUAUAGCAUCUUUAAUAAAUGAUGAAAUUAUAGAUUUAGGCAUUCGUGAUAAAAUAUUGACAAUAACAUUAGAUAAUGCUGCUAAUAAUGAUACAACAAUACAUAGACUAAAACGAUAUUGGCAAGUAAAAGAAGAUCAUGCUAAAAUAUUUCAUGUGCGUUGUUGUGCACAUAUUUUAAAUUUAAUUGUAAAGGAUGGAUUAAAAAAUGUUGAUGAUACAUUGGAAAAAAUUAGAGGCAUUGCAUAUAGUAUUAAUAGUUCUCAAGCAAAACAUGAAUUAUUUUUUGAUUGUUGCAAAAUGUUAAAUAUGAAAAGAAAAAAUAUAAAUUUGGAUAUGGCCAUUAGAUGGAAUUCCACAUAUAAACUUUUACAAAAUAUUACAAAAUAUAGAAAAGUAGUCGAAUUAUAUGAAAUAUAAUUACUUAACAAUGAUUGUGAAGCAGAUAUUUAUGCAUUAAGUGAUUAUGAUUGGCAUGUUGCAGAUCUUUUAAGAGAUCUUUUUGAAAUUUUUGAUACUUCAACAAACAUUUUUUGUGGUGUAUAUUAUCCAACUUCAAAUCGAGUUAUUAUGCAAAUAACUAAUAUUUUUAUUGUACUUCAAAAAUAUUUAAGUUUUGAAAUAUUUAAUGAUACAAUAUUUGCAAUGAUAGAAAAAUUUAGAAAAUAUUGGGGGGAAAUACCUUUAAUUUUUUAUAUUGCUUUAAUUGUGGACCCUAGAUUGAAAUUUGAAGCUUUGGAUGAAUGGUUAACAAUUAUUUAUUUUAAUGACCAAAUAAAAAUUGAAGAAAUUAAAAAUGAAAUAAAUUCAUUAUUACAUAAUUUAUAUAACUAUUAUAAAGAAAAAUAUGGUAAUGAUAUUAAUACUAAUAAAUUACCACCUACAUCUACAAACUCCUCAUCUUUUUAUAAAGGAGCUCUAGAAAUGUUGAAAAGUCGAAAAAAGACAACAAAUAGUUCUCCAAAUAAUACAUCUGAUUUAGAUAAAUAUCUUAAUACUGAUAUAAUUCCAUUUGAAGAUCAAGAAGAUUUUGAUAUUUUAAUAUGGUGGAAAUCACAUCAACACAAAUAUCCUGUGCUUUCUAUAAUUGCUCGUGAUGUACUAACAGUUCCUGUGAGUACAGUUGCAUCAGAAGCUGCUUUUAGUGCAGGUGGAAGAGUUAUUAGUAAAAAACGAUGCAACUUAGCGCCAGACGUUAUUGAAGCAGGGAUAUGUGUAAAAGAUUGGGAAAUAGUAGAUAAAAGGAUGUACGAUUCCAUUUGAGAAACAGAGAUGUUUGCCAAUAUGGAAUCUUUAAAACUAUCAAGAUCUUCAUGGAUGCAUGAUAGUUCGCCAUCACCGCCAGAAAAUAAUGACUAAAUGUAUAUUAUAUUUUUAUUUUUAUUUUUUGUGGUUGAAAAAUACAGAUGAUUGACAAAUAAAUAGGUGCCAACCUAGUUGGGAUGUAUUUAUUUUAUAGUGAUGUAAACUUUUCCCACAUUUUUAAAUGUAAUUAUACAUUCAAUGAAUAAAAUUUUGAAAUGAAUAUUUUUUUUAAUACUUUUUAUUUUUGUAUUUUUUUUUUUAAAGGGGCGGGCCUAUGGGCCGAGCCUAAAUUUAGGCCCGCGGCCUGGCCCGGCCCGCCCAUAAACGGGCUCGGGCCUGCGCGGGCCGCGGGCCGCGGGCUUUUUGGAGACCCUUAGUUCCAUAUCAAGAAAAAAAUUAUUUCAACAUAUAUAUAGAUAUUUUAUAUUUUCUAAUUUUAAAUUAAUUUUUAUGUUGGGAAAUUGAAUGAGGGAAUAGUUGGCUCAAUUUUCAAGCUUGGCAACAAAAUUUGUUGUUAACAUGUUAUUUUACCUUAUUUUAUACAUUUUUUUUGGAAUAAAAAUAUAUAAUCAACUACUCUUGUAUGAUUGAUUUAGAUGUUAGAAAAGGUUAUAACCAUUAAUUCUAUUAAUUGACCAACAAUUUUUUAUAAACUUUAAGUUGCUAGCAUUCAUAUAUUAUCCUAAAAUUAUUAAUUAUAAUUUUAUUUAAGUUGAACCACAAAUCUUGGGUAAAUGAUGAAGUAUUUGUUAACAAGAUACUUGUUUAAUUAUAUUGGAAGUUUUUAGUUUGAGGAGUUGUUGUUGAAUUCAAAUUCCUAGAAGCUAGCUUUGAGGACUAGAUAGUUGUCUUGAUUUUUGUUAUAAGUUUGAUUUUUAUAUUGUUUUCAAACAUGAUGUGUAAAAUGUAUUAAUGGUAAUGAUGUUGAAACAUAGCUAAUGCUACUAGAAGAAUGUUGUAUAGAGUGCCUUUGGUGAGUUGGAUCAGGGGGACAAGCUCCAUGACAAGCUCAAUUUAUUACAAAGGAUUCCUUCACAACCUCUCUUUGUAUGUUAUUAAGUCGUAAGUAGAAUUAUUAAAGUUAUAUAAACAAGUGGCAAUCUUGAUACGUCAUAAUGACACCAUUCGAAAAUUAUAUAAAUCUUAGCAGGUCUAAAGGUAUUUGUAAAACACAUUUGUAUUGCCUAAUUAUGGUCUUAUUGGAGAAUGAGUUAUUAUCAAUUUCAUGGAACAAAACUUUCAUUAGUCAAUAUUAGUUGAAGGUGAAAUCUUACUCAUAAAAUUUUUCAUUUAAAUUUAAAAGUUAAAAUUAUAAAGUAGAAAGUUAAAAGAACCAUUGAGCAUAGUUUAAAAUUUGAAUAUAAUGUGUUUAUCAAGCCCAAUAUUUAUUAUUUAUUAUUAAAAAUAUAAUUUCAUAUUUAAGAUAAUUUAGCACAUUUGAACAAUGCUUUGAGAAUAAGAUCGGAGCAUCUAAUUUGACUAAUUGGAUAGCAAAUCAAACUAAUCCAAUCUUAUUUUUCAUAUUUUUUCCACCUUCAAUUCUAUGAUAAAUAUGAACAAAAGUCUUUAUAUGAUUAUAACAAUAUAAACACUAAAAUAAUGAGUUUAACAUUAAAUAACAAAAAUUUUAUUUUAGUCUUCGACAUAUUGUUAUAUAAGUUAUAUAUAUAUAUUUAUAUAUAUGUGUGUGUGUGUGUUAGUAAAAUAAGAAAUAUUAUUAUAUUUAAAAUAUUAAAUAAUAAAAUCACAAUAUUUUGUUAUUAAUAAUAUUUAAUUAAUACAUUCUAAUUAAAUCUAAAAUAAAAACUUUACACAAAUUAGUAUAAAACCAAAUAUGUUCACCAUAAACCAACCCCUGUAAAAAUACUUAAAUAUACAAAAGUCAAAGUAAAUAAAUGAGAAAUAAUGUUAAAAGAUAUAUAUAUAUAUAUAUAUAUAUAUAUAUAUAAAGAAUCAUUGUCUAGUAUUUUAAUUUUUUUUAUAUUUUUAACUCCAUAUAUUAUUUUAAAUUUUAAUAAUAUAUGAAUUAUAUCUGCAUAUUGCCAUGCUGAUAUCAUGUUUCAAUUACUUGAACCAUCAAUUCAAUUAAGAAAGUCUAAUGCAAUAAUUUUCAAUUCAAUAACUAAUUAAUAAGAUUUUCAAAAUAUUGUAUUUGAAAACUCACCACAAAAAAUGAAUAUAAAAGAUCAUGAAAUUCUUGCAAAGAAAACUUACUUCAUGAAAAUAUGGAAACCCCAAACCUUAAUUUCUUCAAUAAUACAAAUCAAAAUUCUUAUGUUUAGGCAUCUUAGGAGAGAACCAAUAAUCUCAUCCACAAAUCAAGCAUAGUCAAUAGUCAAUUCUUAUGUUUAGAAGUAAUAAUCUCAUCCACAAAUCAAGCAUAGUCAAUAGUCAAUUCUUAUGUUUAGAAGUAAUAUAUACAUACAUACAUAUAUACAUAUAUACAUACAUAUAUAUAUAUAUACACACCGUGUAUAGAUGAUGUAUCUUUUGGAAAGUCAUGUAUAUAUUUAAAUGUUGUAAUGUAAAUCUUGCAUAAUAUAGUUUGACCAUUCAUCCAUUCAUUCAUCCAUCUUAUACUCUUGCAAAGAAAAGUAACUUCAUGAAAAUAUGGAAACCUCAAACCUUAAUUUCUUCAAUAAUGCUUAUUAAAAUUUUUGUAGUAAAAAGUUGUGUAAUUGAGGACACUAAUGAUGCAAGGUUAUAACUAGUCACUCCUAACCAGACUUAUUCUUAUACAUAUUCCCAUCUUCAUCUCAAGUCUGGAAGUUUACCUUUCUAUUUUAAGAAAAUUAAUUAUUCUUUUUAUUUUACAUAUAUUGAAAAAGGUAAAAGAAAAAAUAAGAUUGAGCGAUAUGAACCACUAUAAAACUUGAAUCAAUCUCGACAUAUAUGUGAGAAGAUAAUUUAAAAGUGUAUUUAACAGUGUUUAAUUUUGAAGUGUUUUUAAUUUUAAUAAAAGUAUUUUUUUAGAAGUGAUUUUGAGAUAAUUACCUAUUAAAAGUGCGUUUGAUAAUGAUUUUAAAAUAGUGUUUUUAGUUUUUUAAUACUUGAAAAAUAAAAAUUUUCAAGUGUUAGAAAGAAUAAAAAUAUUUUUUAAAAUUAUUGUUAGACGCACUUUAAAACCCCGUUUAGUAGUGAUUUUAGGAAGUGUUUUUAAACUUUUUAACACUUUAAAAUUUGUAUUAUUUAAGUGUUAGAAAUGCUAGAAACGUUUUCUAAAAUCAUCAUAAAAUGUAUUCUAAGAGUGUGUGUGAUAGUGAUUCUUGGAAACGUUUUUAACAUUUUUAAUACUUAAAUGAUAAUAAUUUUCAAAUGUUAAAAGGUUAUAAACACUUCUUAGAAUCACUACCAAAUAGGUUUUAAGUGUUUUUUCAAAAAACACCACAAAUGAUUUUUUUUAUUUGUUUAAAAGUGUCUUCUAAAUUUUAUUAAAUACUUUAUUUAGAAAAAAAAAUUAAGCUAGAAGUGCUUUUUAAAAACACUAUUAAAUGGACCAUAAAUCUUAAAAUAAAAUCCCAAAUCACCCCUUGAUUUAAUUAUAAGUAAUUUUAAGAGAAUCAUUUAUUAAAUAUUUAUUUCAAAAAGCACCACAAAUGAUUUUUUAUUUGUUUAAAACUAUUUACUAAAUUUUAUUAAAUACUUAUUUUUGUUCAAAAAUAUUUUUUAAGGAAGAAGUGUUUUUUUAAAAAUAAUAUCAAAUGGACGUGUAAAUCUUAAAAUAAAAUCCCUUGAUUUAAUUAUACUUUUCAAAUCCAUCCAUAAGCCUAGGCAUCCUUGAAAUACCCACCCCUGUUAUAAUACAAAAGCAAACCACCACUAAGGAUAUUUAAACAACAUUUUAAAGACAAUCGGAACCUAUCAAUGAGACUUUGUCUCAUAAUACAAAUUUCGUUAUGUUCACAUGAAGAAAGGGACAAAUAAUACAUAAAAACUAAAAAUCAUAUUGUGGACCCCGUAUUUCGGCUCAAUGCGUUUUUCACUCGAUGGCGAACUCGAUUUUAAUUUGAAAAAUGAUUUUUAUUGAUUAAGAAAAUGACUUGGAGUCGCCACUUAUUUUUGUUUUAUUUUUAAAGGGGUAAACAAAAUAAGAAAGAAAACCCUAAGUGUGACUCCUUAUUUUAGAAAAGGCGGUCUGUGAAAAACCGGAUCGGGCUCGGGGGUCAGGUUACUUAUCGGGAAGGUACGGUACGAACCGUAGCACCCCUCUAAGUCCCUAAAGUCGGGUCUCUACUAAUAAAGUGAAGCUGAUGUGGCAUAACAAUUGAUUAAUUAAGCAUGGAUACCAAACAAUGAUCAAAUGUGUGAAAGUGAGAGAUGAUCAAUAAACACAAUCGGGGUACGGGACGUACCUUAGUCGUAAGCUGAGCGCUAUCAUAAGAGACAAGGUUAGUGCACAAAUACAAAAUAAUCGCAUGCAGAUCAUAGAGUGAGGCAAGCUAAUCAAGUAUGACAAUCAAGCAAUCAAUGAGAAAAUCACAUAUGUUGGGUCCCACCAAAACCCAAUUGAUCCUGCCUGAAUUAAUCUCACGAAUCCCAUUAUUUCGGAAUCAUGAAGAUUCAUCACUCUUGCUUGUGUAAAAAUCAAAAGAAAUAAAACAUUAUUUAAGAAUCGAAGUGGAAUUAAAACUGUUCGAGAGAAAAACUGGGUUUUUGAGAUUUAGUUGGAAAUUGGAGUCUCGAAAAUUAUUUGAAGAUUGGAGUCUUGAUAACUAAAUUUAAGAAUUGGAAUUUCGGAUAUUAAAUUUGAAAGAAAUUAGAAUUUUGGAAAUCGGAAAUUAAGUUCAGGAAUUGGAAUUUUGAAGAAUUGUUUAAAAUGGGAUUUCAAAAUAAAAUACUAAAAUAAUAAUAAUUAAAUAGAUUCAUGUGAGUACUGGAAUUUUGGAAUUAGAAAUUAAAUCGGAAGUCAAAAAUUUUAAUGAAUUAUUUAAAAUGGAAUUUUAAAGUAAAUAAAUAAAAUUAUAACUAAAUAGAUUAAUGCGAAUUUUGGAAUUUUCAGGAAUUAGAAAUUAAAAUCGGGAGUCGGAAAUUUUAAUAAAUUGUUUAAAAUGGAAUUUUAAAGUAAAUAAAUAAAAUAAUAAUUAAAUAGAUUAAUGUGAAUUUUGGAAUUUUCAGGAAUUAGAAAUUAAAAUCGGGAGUCGGAAAUUUUAAUGAAUUGUUUAAAAUGGAAUUUUAAAGUAAAUAAAUAAAAUAAUAAUUAAAUAGAUUAAUAUGAAUGUUGGAAUUUUGGAAUUAGAAAUUAAAACGGAAGUCGGAAAUUUUAAUGAAUUUAUUUAAAAUGGAAUUUUAAAGUAAAUAAAUAAAAUUAUAAUUAAAUAGAUUAAUGUGAAUGUUGGAAUUUUGGAAUUAGAAAUUAAAACGGAAGUCGAAAAUUUUAAUGAAUUUAUUUAAAAUGGAAUUUUAAAGUAAAUAAAUAAAAUUAUAACUAAAUAGAUUAAUGUGAAUUUUGGAAUUUUCAGGAAUUAGAAAUUAAAAUCGGAAUUUUGAGAAGUUAUUUAAAAGUCGAGUUUUUAUUUUUCUUAUUUUUUAUUUUUCUUUAUAUAUAAACAAAUAAGUAAAUAAAUUAAAAUGAUUAUAAUUAAAUAAAUUGAGGUGAGAAUUAAAGUUUCGGAAAUUGGAGUUUUGAGAUUAUUUGAAGAUUGUAUAUAUUGUGAGUAGGAUUGGGGAGUUGGAAUUUAGAAAAUUUAUUGAGGAAUUAGUGCUUUUUAGAAAUGUAAAUUAUAUAUAUAUAAAAGGCAAAUGGGUUAACUUAAAGUGGGUGGGCUUGAAAUAGGCAUGGGCCAAGGUAAAGUGGGUGGACAGAAGCUUGGACUUGGGCUUCAGCUUUAGCCCAUGUCCACUAGCAUGAAGCCCAAGCUUUUAAUCUUUAACAAAAUUUGCCUUCACGCCUGGGUGCCACCUUCCAUCUAGGAACCUCCAUCAUGGACGCCGCAGUUGCCGGAGUUGGGACUGUCCCCGACGUCGGCGACAUGGAGGCCUUCGUCGUGAGUGCGGGUGACGACACGGAAGACGCUGCACUCGCCGUCCGCGAGGAGGGCGCCAUCAGCGCUGGCGUCGCGGGGGCCACGCGUGGCUGUCAUUGGCGCAUUCUGCUGGGAGCUCCGUCAUUUGAGUAGCCUUCACGACCAGCAUUCAUCCCCAGCCCAACUAUCUUGGCUUCCAAGUCCAGUUUUUUAUGCAUGGUGAUUGGUAGGCAUGAAAUGGGUGGAGAGUUUGGAGGGAAAAUGGGUAAAGAUGAUGCAAACAAGAAAAACACUACUACAAGUGUCAAAAGAAAACAGAGCCCAACAGAUCUCAAUAAUAAAAAAAGCCAAAGAAAAGAGAACGAACAUGUUAGGACCCUUUCAAAGCAACCUAAAAAAAAAGGAAAACAUUCAGAAUAGUCGUACGACCCUCUACCCAUUCACAGUCAACCUAAUGCCCGGAAAUGAUCAAUAGAAAACUGAAGAAAAUAACGAAUAGAGGGAAACGAGAUGGUUGCCGCGUUCAUACCUGGAUUUCUCCCGUAAGCCAAAAAAAUGGUUUCCCCCUUCCUUUCUUCUCUAGCUCCGGCAGCUUGCCUUCCCGCCCAAGCUCUCUAAAACUCCCUCCAGAUCCCCUCUCUCAUGGAUCUUCUCUUUUCUUCUUUGCCUUUUUCCCCAGAUCCGGAAAUCUAGCACCUGCUCCCCUGUUCCCUGCUCCCUACAGCCGCCUAAGGAUAGUUCCUUCUCCCUCCUUCCACUUCCAGCCGUCCUCGGGUGGAUAAAGAAAGCAGAAAAGAAGAAGAAAAAAAAUGAAUAAAAAUAAAAACCGGCCCAUGCCCCUAGCUGAGGGGGUCUACACAUAUACAAUAGAAAGCUUGGAAUCAAGAGGGAAGAGAGUAGGAAGUUACGAAGUGGUGGAGCCUUGGUAAAAUAAAAUUAACAACGGCAUUAUCAUGUGCGGGUCUCAGCGCUGGAUGGACCGAAUUUUGCUUCUCCCAAAACUCUUUCAAUAUUAUAAUUAGAGCCCGCUUGAUGCUUAGAAAAAUACAUUUGCAAGUGAUCUCCAUCUGUCAAUCAAUUAAUCUAUACAAUAUUAAAAAUUCACUUCUUGUUGAUUUAGGAAAAUCACUUUGUUGGGGGUGGCCUGUCUCCGAUGUUACUCAAGUUUCAACUCUGGACUUUUCAAAUUAACAAAGUGCAGUGAUUCAUCUUUCUUCUUUGUUCCAUUUUUGGCUGAAUUGUAAUCCUUUUGUCUGUAACUUACGGAAAGCUAUGGAGUUUCUGAGCUCAAUCGUGGGUCUGGUCCCCUGCUUCUAUGAUCACACCUCCAAGCAUACGGUCUACAUUCGUGAUCUGAGAAAAAAUAUCGAAGCCUUGAUGAAAGAAAUGGUGGUUCUGAACAACUUGUAUGAAGAUGUGAAGGCAAGGGUUGAACGUGCAGAGCAACAACAGAUGAAGCGCAGAAAGGAAGUGGGUGGGUGGAUCCGUGAAGUAGAAGACAUGGAGAAAGAAGUUCACGAAAUUCUGCAAAGAGGAGAUCAAGAAAUCCAGAAGAGUUGUCUCGGAUGCUGUCCCAGGAAUUGUUGGUCUAGCUACAGGAUUGGAAAGGCGGCAAGUGAAAAGCUGGUUGCUGUAUCUGGUCAAAUCGGCAAAGGACAUUUCGAUGUUGGUGCCGAGAUGUUGCCUCGUCCUCCAGUUGAUGAACUGCCCAUGGAGGCGACUGUGGGCCCACAAUUGGCGUAUGAAAAGAGCUGUAGGUUUCUCAAAGAUCCACAAGUGGGAAUUAUGGGAUUGUAUGGAAUGGGGGGUGUUGGCAAAACCACCCUCUUGAAGAAAAUCAACAAUGAAUUCCUCACAACAUCCAAUGACUUUGAGGUUGUGACUUGGGCUGUGGUGUCAAAAUCGCCCGACAUUGAAAAAAUUCAACAAGUUAUUUGGAAUAAAUUGGAAAUCCCACGUGAUAAAUGGGAAACUAGAAGCAGUAGGGAGGAGAAGGCUGCAGAAAUAUUGAGAGUUUUGAAAAGAAAAAGGUUCAUCAUGUUGUUGGAUGACAUUUGGGAGGGACUUGAUCUCCUAGAAAUGGGGGUCCCGCGUCCAGAUACUGAAAAUAAGUCCAAGAUAGUUUUGACGACCCGUUCACUGGAUGUCUGCCGCCAAAUGAAAGCUCAGAAGAGUAUAGAAGUGGAAUGUUGGGAGUCAGAAGAUGCCUGGACUUUGUUCCAGAGGGAGGUAGGAGAAGAAAUAUUAAAAUCUCAUCCGCAUAUACUGAUGCUUGCAAAGGAUGUUGCUGAAGAGUGCAAAGGUUUACCUCUCGCUCUUGUCACUCUUGGGCGGGCCAUGGCGGCUGAGAAAGAUCCCUCAAACUGGGACAAGGUAAUACAAGAUCUACGCAAAUCUCCAGCUGAAAUCACAGGUAUGGAAGAUAAAUUGUUUCAUCGAUUGAAACUCAGUUAUGAUAGGUUGCCUGACAAUGCCAGCAAAUCUUGUUUUAUAUAUCAUUCCAUGUUCCGAGAGGACUGGGAGGUUUUUAAUAUUCUUCUUGUAGAACUUUGGAUAGGGGAGGGGUUCUUGGGUGAAGUUCAUGACAUACAUGAAGCACGCGAUCAAGGGGGGAAAAUUAUUAAAACUUUAAAGCAUGCAUGUUUAUUGGAGAGUAGUGGUUCAAAAGAAGGAAGGGUUAAGAUGCACGAUGUGAUCCGGGACAUGGCUUUGUGGUUAUAUGGUGAACAUGGGGUGAAAAAGAACAAAAUUCUAGUAUACAAUAAAGUUGCCAGGCUUGAUGAAGAUCAAGAAACUUCCAAAUUGAGAGAAACAGAGAAGAUAUCAUUAUGGGAUAUGGAUGUUGGGAAGUUCCCAGAAACAUUGGUGUGCCCCAAUCUUAAGACUUUAUUUGUGAAAAAAUGUCAUAAUUUGAAGAAAUUUCCAAGUGGAUUCUUUCAAUUCAUGCUUCUACUAAGAGUUCUGGAUUUGUCAGACAAUGAUAAUUUAAGCGAGUUGCCUACUGGGAUUGGUAAAUUGGGUGCCUUGAGAUAUCUUAAUCUGUCACACACAAGAAUAAGGGAGUUGCCCAUUGAACUAAAGAAUUUGAAAAAUCUGAUGAUUUUGAUUAUGGAUGGUAUGAAAUCCCUUGAAAUUAUUCCACAAGAUAUGAUAUCAAGCCUUAUAUCCUUGAAGUUGUUCUCCAUUUACGAAUCCAAUAUUACAAGUGGAGUUGAAGAAACUGUACUGGAGGAGUUGGAGUCCUUGAAUGACAUCAGUGAGAUAUCAAUCACCAUAUGCAAUGCUCUUUCAUUCAACAAACUAAAGAGUAGUCAUAAAUUACAAAGGUGCAUACGUCAUCUACAUUUACAUAAAGGGGGGGAUGUGAUCUCACUUGACCUAUCAUCUUCAUUUUUUAAAAGAACGGAGCAUUUGAAGCAGCUUUAUAUAAGCCAUUGCAAUAAAUUGAAAGAAGUGAAAAUUAAUGUGGAAAGACAAGGGAUACACAAUGAUUUGACUCUUCCAAACAAAAUUGCAGCAAGGGAGGAAUACUUCCACACCCUUCGUGCUGUGUUUGUAGAACAUUGUUCAAAAUUGUUAGACUUAACAUGGCUUGUUUAUGCUCCAUAUCUUGAAAGACUUUACGUUGAAGAUUGUGAAUUGAUAGAAGAAGUGAUACGUGAUGAUAGUGAAGUCUGUGAAAUUAAGGAAAAAUUGGACAUAUUCUCAAGGCUCAAGUCCCUCAAGCUCAAUAGGUUGCCAAGAUUGAAGAGCAUCUACCAGCAUCCACUACUCUUUCCCUCUCUUGAAAUCAUCAAGGUGUAUGAAUGCAAAGGCUUAAGGAGUCUCCCGUUUGAUUCCAACACUUCAAAUAAUAGUCUGAAGAAAAUUAAAGGAGAGACAAGUUGGUGGAAUCAGUUGAAGUGGAACAAUGAAACUUGCAAGCACUCUUUUACUCCGUAUUUCCAAAUCCAUGAAGCUGAAGCAUAUUCAACUGACACUGAGGAGUCUGAAACUGGCAGCAUAGAUGAUGUGCAAGAACAACCGGUAUCAAAUUAACUUCUAUCAAUCUUUCAGGUAUUAAUUAACUUUUAUACUAUAUUUGGAAAAUCAUUUUCUUUCCUUAAUCCCAUUCUUUUGUGGAAUUUUUUACUCUAUAUAUCUAUGCCAAAGUGCAUCAAAGUCUCAACAUCAUAAUAACUUUCAAUGUUUGAUCUAUCAAGUUUGCCCCCUUUUGAAGUAACUGUUAUAAAGUUUGCCCAGAAGGGACUUUGAAGGAGGUCUUUUAUUUAAACAUCUAAUGACAUUUCCUUUUGGUUACUUGAGAACUUGAAAAUGUGCAGAGUUCUCAACUAUAUUGUUUAUUGUGUCUUAAUUUUUUCGGUUCAUUUCAAUCUAUAAACAGAAAGAGAGAAUACCUAAUUUCAACUUAAUUCCUUAUAUUUCAAGUUGAAACAACAGGUGUUUCACAACAACUGUAGGUAAAGAUAUUCCAUUAAGAAUUCUCGCUUUGUUUAAUGUAUUUACCAGGACCAACUAUAUGUAAUUUCUCUUCUUUUGUUGAGUUGCCUCUAUCUGGUUGACUCUCAGUUGUUCUUUUUUUUCUUUUCUUUUUUCUAUUGCAUUCAGAGUUGGGGCUUGUUCUAGAAGUUCUGACAACAGCUGGGAUUCAAUUAGCUCUAUCUAGUGGAGCCUUGAGGUUUUUGGUUGGAUGCAGAGCAGGGUCUUGUUCUACCCCUUCUUACUCAGUUGGGAUCUGAGCUUCAUCGGCUGCUUCCGUUGUCCUGCUCUUUUUCCUUCUAAUUGGUAUAGACGUGAGCUGGAUUAUGUUUGCUUGCUGGUCUGAGUUUCUGAUAUGUUUUGUGGCGGUGUGCUGAUUCUCAGAGUAUCGUUAUUCAUGGUGCUCAGUCUGCUGGGAAAGUUGGUUAAUGUCCAGAUGCAGGGGCUCAUCUCGGCAGGCUUUGGCUGGGAUCCAUGUGUUUGCUGGAAUUGGAUUCUGUGGGUUGCCUUUGGCUUUUGAUGUAGGCUGGGUUUGUUUUCUUUGUUGAGGUCAGUGGAGUAUGGUGGCUCAGAAGCUGCUAGUAAUCUGCCUGUUGUAUGCCGACGCUGGAAUCUUCAUGGUGGUUGCUCUGGUGGGUCAAUAUGAUAUGGGAAUGCUUUUGCCUUUUUGAGUCCUUGGGCGUCAGCUGGUUGCUUGUGUUUCCUCUGCACUUUAGCUCAUAUACCAGAGUGCAUACUUCCUUGAGUUCCAUAUCCCACUGCCAAGUGUGUUGUCCAUGAUGUAAUGUAAAGCAGUUAAUUUGUAUACCUGGCCUUAAGUUCCUCUCUAGAAAACUUUGAACGCCCUUUAUGAAUGAAAUGUUGUGAGAAAAACUGGAGUUGAUUUUCACAUUUGAGGUCGUUAAUGGUGAUUUUUCUUAAUGUAAUUGUGAUGGAAAAGAAAUUUGAUCAAGGAGUCGAAAUCAUAAGCAGAGUCGAUCUUAUUCAACAUUGCAUUAUAAUUUGGUACCCCUCACAGAUCGCUCUAAAUAGCAUUGAAAAGUACUUUCAUUUUCCUUCAGUGGAGGCUUCUUUUUCUUUGCUGGUUAAUAUUCAUAGCUUCAGUGCUUGAUGAAAUUUCAUUACUUUACAUUGUUCACUCUUGUCCCUCCUGCUCUAAUAAGAAUGAUUUGUUCAAGGAAUUUGAAAAUACUUGAACAAAAAAAGAAAAGAAUAGGAGAGAAAGGAAAAGAAAUUCAGAAAGCAAACACUUGGUAGUUUCCAUUUCAAUUAACCGAUCUUUGAAACUAAGAUGUAAUUCUUGGUACAAUAAAAGAAGACAUGCAACAUCUUAAGAAGAUUCAUCUAAUGGAACACACCAUCCUAUGAUAGGAAACUGAGACUAAACAGUAAUUUUUGGUAGAAUAGAUAUCGCAUGCCAAAAAGAAUGUUUUGUAGCUUUGGAUGCUUCAAAAUUCUUGUACGUAUAGCCCACAGACCUUUCGAGAUCAUACUUGUUUCUUUAGGCCUGUUUGAACAUACGGCUCUCGCGGAAGAUCUUACAAGUUUAAGAGUUCAUAUUGUCCAUGAAAUCACAGGAAAAGAAAAGGAUGUAUAAUCAAGUUCAUGAAAAAUAAAGAGAUGGCUUAUUAAAUUUCACAAGUAUGGGACAUCUAAAACACUUUGAGUUUCCAUUUAUGGGGCAAUUCCCAUCAAGUCCAAUGAUUGACCACCAAUGACUCGAAAAUCGAAACAUAGAAUGUGUUGCAUAUAAUUGAUGUUGCCUAAUUCUAAUAUUUCUCAUUUAUAUUAAUUUAUUCUCAUUCCUAUCCUAAUAAAAUUUUUUAAAUAAAAUAGGAUGGAUAUGAGAAUUUCUCAUACCCGUCUUAUACCAUUUAUUUAUUAAUUUUUAGUUUUUAAAAAAUUGAAAAUAAAUAUAUUUUAUAAAUAAAUAAAUAUUAACCUUGCAUGGUGCCCGCCCGCGAGCCAAGCCAAGGUGGCACGGGGCCUUGCUUGGUGCCCGCCCGCGAGCCAAGCCUAGGUGGCACGGGGCCUAUAAAUUUUGUAACUUAUUUUAUUUAAAAAUAUAUUUAUAAAAUUAUUUUAUAUGUUAAAAAAAGAAGAAUAUGAAAAACCAUAAAUUAAAUUAUUUUUAAAUUUAAUUAUAUGGGUUGGAAAGUGGUGGGUUAGGAGCCUAGGACAAGGCAUAUCUUGAACCUUGCCCCUAACCAACCCUAGUUUUUUUUUUUUAAAAAAAAAAAAAAAAAAUUCUUGAACUUGUAUAUGAUCUAUUUAUCUUCAUUUAAAUCUAUCUUAUUAAAGAUGAGUAUAGGAAAAAACCUGUCUCAUUGUCAUGUUAAUCAUAAAUUAUUUUAAUUUAAAUUUAGACACCAACAAAUAUUUAAAUUAAAUUAAAAAUGCUUAUGCAAUCAAGGGCUUUUUAGUUGCAGAAAAAUUGUGUACCUUCCUUGACAUUCUAGAUCCAGUUCUUGCUGGUUUUGGAGGAUCCAUUUGAGGAACAAUUUAAAUUUAUUCACAAAUACAAUUAUUCAAAAAGGCAUCAUGUUGAACACAAGCAAAAUAAGUAAAAAUAUUAAUAGAAAUGGAUGGAAGCAGAGUGCCUUUGGUGAGGUGGAUCACUAGCAAGCUCCAUUAACUACCAAGGAUUGCUUCACAACCUCUUAGUAUAUUAUUAAGUCAAAAGUAAAAUUAUUAAAGUUGAAUAAAUAGGUGGCAAUUUUGAUAAGCCAGAAUAACACCAUUCGAAAAUUAUAUGAAUUUUAGUAGGUUUGAAUAAGGUGUAAUCAUAUCCGUAUAAUAAUUAUGUCAACUCAUUUGCUAAAUGGACUGUAUUGGAACUUGAUUACUCGACUUAUCUAACUCACUUAACUUGUUUAAAUACAUGUAUGAGAUGUAUUUGCAUUGUCUAAUUAUAGUUCCUAUUGGAGAAUCAACUACUAUCAAUUUCACAGGAUGAAAUUAUAAUUAGUCAAUAUUACUUGAAAGUGAAAUCUCUUAUUCAAAAAUAUCUCAUUAAAUUUGAAAAGCUAAAAUUAUCAAGUAGAAGGUUAAAGGAACCAUUGAGCAUAUUUUAAAAUUCGAAUAUAAUGUAUUUAUUGUUGUAAUUCAAGCCUAAUAUUUAUUAUUUAUUAUUAAAAAUAUAAUUUUAUGUCUAAUUUUUAUAUUUAAGAUAAUUUAGCACAUUUGAACAAUAUUUUGAGAAUAAGAUUGAAGCAUCUAAUUUGACUAAUUGGAUAACAGAUUGGACUAAUCUGAUCUUAUUUUUCAUAUUUAUCCACCUUCCAUUCUGGGAUAAACAUGAACAAAAGUCUUCAUACGAUUAUAACAAUAUAACAAAAUAAUGAGUAUAAUAUUAAAUCUAAAAUAAAAACUUUACACAAAUUGGUAUAAAACCAAGUAUGAUAAUCCUAAACCAACCCCCGUAGAAAAAGACUUAAAUAUAUAAAAGACUACUAAAUAAAUGAGAAAUGAUGUAACAAGAUAUAUAUUAAAAAUAAUAAUAUUUUAAUAUUUUAAUUAUUUUUAUAAUUUUAACUUGUUAUAUUAUUUUAAAUUUGAACAAUAUAUGAACUAGAUAUCCAUGUUGUCAUGCCGAUAUCAUGUUUCAAUCACUUGAAUCAUCAAUUCAAUCAAGAAAUUGUAAUGCAAUAAUUUACCAACUCAAUGACUAAUAAGAUUUUGAGAACAUUGUAUUUGAAAGCUCAUAUGCAUAAAAUGAAUAUAAAAGAUUAUGAACUCUUGCAAAAAAUGAUGUUAUGGAAACCCAAACCUUAAUUUCUUCAAUAAUGCUUAUAAAAAAUCUAAGGUUGUGUAAUUGAGAAUGCUAAUGACCCAAGGUUAGAACCGGUUGCUCCUAACCAGACUUGUUCUUAUUUUUUAAACAUAUUCCCAUCUUCAUCUCAAAUCUAUAGGAAUUUACUUUCCUAUUUUAAGAAAAUUAAUUUUUAUUUUUAUUUUACAUAUAUUGAAAAAGGCAAAAGAAAAAUUAAGGUGAAGUAACAUGAAUCACUAUAAAACUAGAAUGAAUAUAUAUAUUUAUAUAAAAGAAGGCAAUUUAAAAUGUGUGUUUGACCGAUUUUUUUAAGUGUUUUUAAUAGAAGUAUUUUUUCUAAAGGUACUUUUGGAAGAAUUAACUAUCAAAUGUUUUUUUAAGAGACAUUACAAGUGAUUUUUCAUCUAUUUAAAAGUGUUUUUAAAAUUUUAUUAAAUACUUAAUUUUUUUUCAAAAACACUUUUUAAACUAAAAAUACCUUUUUAAAAAUAUUAUCAAAAAUGGAAUCAAAAUCUUAAAACAAAAUCUCAAAUCUACCCUUUAUUUAAUUAUAUUUUUCCAACCCAUCCUAUUGGGCCUAGACAUUACAAGUGAUUGGUCGUGUUUUUUAAAUUUUAUCAAAUGCUUAAUUAUUUUUCAAAAACAUUUUUUAAACUAAAACAUUUUCAAAAAAUAUUUUUUAAAAAUAUUAUCAAAUGGAAUCAAAGUCUUAAAACAAAAUCUCAAAUCUACCCUUGAUUUAAUUAUAUAUAAUACCCACCCCGAUUAUAAUACAAAAGCAAACCACCACCAAAGACAUUUAAACGACAUUUUAAAUACAAUUGAAACCUAUCAAUGAGACUUUGUCUCAUAAUACAAAUUUCGUUAUGUUCACAUGUAGAAAGGGACAUGUAAACAUAUACAACAGAAAGCGUGGAAUCAAGAGGGAAGAGAGUAGAAAGUUACGAAGUGGGAGCCUCGGCUAAAAUUAAUAAUGGCAUUAUAAUGUGCGUGUCUCAUCGCUGGAUGGACCAAAUUUUGCUUCUCCCAAAGAUAUUUGAAUGUUAUAAUUAGAGCCCACUUGAUGCUUAGAAAAAUAUAUUUGCAUGUGGUCUCCAUCUGUCAAUCUAUUAAUCUAUACAAUAUUAAAAAUCCACUUGAUGUUAAUUUAGGAAAAUUAUUUUAUUUUGUUGGUGAUGACCUGUCUCCCAUGUUACUCAAGUUUCAACUCUGGACUUUUCAAAUUCACACAGUGCAGUGCAGUGAUUCAUCUUUCUUCUCUGCUCCAUCUUUGGCUGAAUUCUAAUCCUAUUUUCUGUAACUUCCGGAAAGCUAUGGAGUUCCUGAGCUCAAUCUUGGGUCUUGUUCCAUGCUUAUAUAUGUGAUCACACCUCCAAGCAUACGGUCUACAUUCGUGAUCUGAAGAAAAAUCUCCAAGCCUUGAGCAAGGAAAUGGUGGAUCUCAAGCUGUAAUUCGAGGAAUGACCAAUUCAGUGCUUUCAUGUUCCAAUCUGAAUGAUUUACAGUAUAAUAUAGUGGUGAUGAAGACAAGCAUGAAACCAUGAGGACAGAGUGUGGAGCCAAGGGUCAAGUGGCAUCUAUACGCAUCUUGUUGUGAGAAGGAAGAAAUUAAAGAAAUGGUGGGGCCUAUACAAAAGAUAUGCUCAUAUCUCUUUUCGAAAAGAAAAGACAGAAUAAUUGAGCGACCCAGCUUUACGCAUCAUUCAACCAACUUUCCCCUUUGAAAAAUCUUAUAAUGGCGUAUUGCAUCAGGUUCUUUGAAUUACCAAACCCCUGUCUCUUCUCUCUUCAUUGCAAACCCUCAUCCCUUUUCCUCUUUGGCUAAAUUUUGGUCUCCGCUGGUGGUGGCGUGUCUCCCAUGUUACUCAAGUUUUAGCUCUGGAGUUUUUAAUUAACAAAUGCUGUGAUUCAUCUUUCUUCUUAGUUUGUUCCAUCUUUGGCUGAAUUCUAAUCCUUUUUUCUGUAACUUCCGGAAAGCUAUGGAGUUCGUGAGCUCAAUCGUGGGUUUGGUCCCCUGCUUCUAUGAUCACACCUCCAAGCACACGGUCUACAUUCGUGAUCUGAGAAAAAAUCUCCAAGCCUUGAGCAAAGAAAUGGUGGAUCUGAACAACUUGUAUGAAGAUGUGAAGGAAAGGGUAGAACGUGCAGAGCAACAACAGAUGAAGCGCAGAAAGGAAGUGGGUGGGUGGAUCCGUGAAGUAGAAGCCAUGGAGAAAGAAGUCCACGAAAUUCGGCAAAGAGGAGAUCAAGAAAUCCAGAAGAGUUGUCUCGGAUGCUGUCCCAGGAAUUGUUGGUCUAGCUACAGGAUUGGAAAGGCAGUAAGUGAAAAGCUGGUUGCUGUAUCUGGUCAAAUCGGCAAAGGACAUUUCGAUGUUGUAGCCGAGAUGUUGCCUCGUCCUCCAGUUGAUGAACUGCCAAUGGAGGCGACUGUGGGCCCACAAUUGGCGUAUGAAAAGAGCUGUAGGUUUCUCAAAGAUCCACAAGUGGGAAUUAUGGUAUUGUAUGGAAUGGGGGGUGUUGGCAAAACCACCCUUUUGAAGAAAAUCAACAAUGAAUUCCUUGCAACAUCCAAUGACUUUGAGGUUGUGAUUUGGGCAGUGGUGUCAAAAUCGCCCGACAUUGAAAAAAUUCAGCAAGUUAUUUGGAAUAAAUUGGAAAUCCCACGUGAUAAAUGGGAAACUAGAAGCAGUAGGGAGGAGAAGGCUGCAGAAAUAUUGAGAGUUCUGAAAAGAAAAAGGUUCAUCUUGUUGUUGGAUGACAUUUGGGAGGGACUUGAUCUCCUAGAAAUGGGGGUCCCGCGUCCAGAUACUGAAAAUAAGUCCAAGAUAGUUUUGACGACCCGAUCACAGGAUGUCUGCCACCAAAUGAAAGCUCAGAAGAGUAUAGAAGUGGAAUGUUUGGAGUCAGAAGAUGCCUGGACUUUGUUCCGGAAGGAGGUAGGAGAAGAAAUAUUAAAUUCUCAUCCGGAUAUACCGAUGCUUGCAAAGGUUGUUGCUGAAGAGUGCAGAGGUUUACCUCUCGCUCUUGUCACUCUUGGGCGGGCCAUGGCAGCUGAGAAAGAUCCCUCAAACUGGGACAAGGUAAUACAAGAUCUACGCAAAUCUCCAGCUGAAAUCACAGGUAUGGAAGAUAAAUUGUUUCAUCGAUUGAAACUCAGUUAUGAUAGGUUGCCUGACAAUGCCAGCAAAUCUUGUUUUAUAUAUCAGUCCAUCUUCCGAGAGGACUGGGAGAGUUAUAAUUUUGAACUUAUAGAACUUUGGAUAGGGGAGGGGUUGUUGGGUGAAGUUCAUGACAUACAUGAAGCACGCGAUCAAGGGGAGAAAAUUAUUAAAACUUUAAAGCAUGCAUGUUUAUUGGAGAGUUGUGGUUCAAGAGAAAGAAGGGUUAAGAUGCAUGAUGUGAUCCGGGACAUGGCUUUGUGGUUAUAUGGUGAACAUGGGGUGAAAAAGAACAAAAUUCUAGUAUACAAUAAGGUUGCUAGGCUUGAUGAAGAUCAAGAAACUUCCAAAUUGAAAGAAACAGAGAAGAUAUCAUUAUGGGAUAUGGAUGUUGGGAAGUUCCCAGAAACAUUGGUGUGCCCCAAUCUUAAGACUUUAUUUGUGAAAAACUGUUAUAAUUUGAAGAAAUUUCCAAAUGGAUUCUUUCAAUUCAUGCUUCUACUUAGAGUUUUGGAUUUGUCAGACAAUGAUAAUUUAAGCGAGUUGCCAACUGGGAUUGGUAAAUUGGGUGCCUUGAGGUAUCUUAAUUUGUCAGUCACAAGAAUAAGGGAGUUGCCCAUUGAACUAAAGAAUUUGAAAAAUCUGAUGAUUUUGAUUAUGAAUGGUAUGAAAUCCCUUGAAAUUAUUCCACAAGAUAUGAUAUCAAGCCUUAUAUCCUUGAAGUUGUUCUCCAUUUUCGAAUCCAAUAUUACAAGUGGAGUUGAAGAAACUGUACUGGAGGAGUUGGAGUCCUUGAAUGACAUCAGUGAGAUAUCAAUCACCAUAUGCAAUGCUCUUUCAUUCAACAAACUAAAGAGUAGUCGUAAAUUACAAAGGUGCAUACGUAAUCUAUUUUUACAUAAAUGGGGGGAUGUGAUCUCACUUGAACUAUCAUCUUCAUUUUUUAAAAGAACGGAGCAUUUGAGGGUGCUUUAUAUAAGCCAUUGCGAUAAAUUGAAAGAAGUGAAAAUUAAUGUGGAAAGAGAAGGGAUACACAAUGAUAUGACUCUUCCAAACAAAAUUGCAGCAAGGGAGGAAUAUUUCCACACCCUUCGUAAGGUGCUUAUAGAACAUUGUUCAAAAUUGUUAGACUUAACAUGGCUUGUUUAUGCUCCAUAUCUUGAACAUCUUCGUGUUGAAGAUUGUGAAUCAAUAGAAGAAGUGAUACAUGAUGAUAGUGAAGUCGGUGAAAUGAAGGAAAAAUUGGACAUAUUCUCAAGGCUCAAAUACCUCAAGCUCAAUAGGCUGCCAAGAUUGAAGAGCAUCUAUCAGCAUCUGCUACUCUUUCCCUCUCUUGAAAUCAUCAAGGUGUAUGAAUGCAAAGGCUUAAGGAGUCUCCCAUUUGAUUCCGACACUUCAAAUAAUAGUCUGAAGAAAAUUAAAGGAGAGACAAGUUGGUGGAAUCAGUUGAAGUGGAACAAUGAAACUUGCAAGCACUCUUUUACUCCGUAUUUCCAAAUCCAUGAAGCUGAAGCAUAUUCAACUGACACUGAGGAGUCUGAAACUGGCAGCAUAGAUGAUGUGCAAGAACAACCGGUAUCAAAUUAACUUCUAUCAAUCUUUCAGGUAUUAAUUAACUUUUAUACUAUAUUUGGAAAAUCAUUUUCUUUCCUUAAUCCCAUUCUUUUGUGGAAUUUUUUACUCUAUAUAUCUAUGCCAAAGUGCAUCAAAGUCUCAACAUCAUAAUAACUUUCAAUGUUUGAUCUAUCAAGUUUGCCCCCUUUUGAAGUAACUGUUAUAAAGUUUGCCCAGAAGGGACUUUGAAGGAGGUCUUUUAUUUAAACAUCUAAUGACAUUUCCUUUUGGUUACUUGAGAACUUGAAAAUGUGCAGAGUUCUCAACUAUAUUGUUUAUUGUGUCUUAAUUUUUUCGGUUCAUUUCAAUCUAUAAACAGAAAGAGAGAAUACCUAAUUUCAACUUAAUUCCUUAUAUUUCAAGUUGAAACAACAGGUGUUUCACAACAACUGUAGGUAAAGAUAUUCCAUUAAGAAUUCUCGCUUUGUUUAAUGUAUUUACCAGGACCAACUAUAUGUAAUUUCUCUUCUUUUGUUGAGUUGCCUCUAUCUGGUUGACUCUCAGUUGUUUUUUUUUUCUUUUCUUUUUUCUAUUGCAUUCAGAGUUGGGGCUUGUUCUAGAAGUUCUGAGAACAGCUGGGAUUCAAUUAGCUCUAUCCAGUGGAGCCUUGAGUUUUUUGGUUGGAUGCAGAGCAGGGUCUUGUUCUACCCCUUCUUACUCAGUUGGGAUCUGAGCUUCUUUGGCUGCUUCCGUUUCGUCCUGCUCUUUUUCCUUCUAAUUGGUAUAGACGUGAGCUGGAUUAUGUUUGCUUGCUGGUCUGAGUUUCUGAUAUGCUUAGUGGUGGUGUGCUGAUUCUCAGAGCAUCGCUAUUCAUGGUGCUCAGUCUGCUGGGAAAGUUGCUUAAUGUCCAGAUGCAGGGGCUCAUCUCGGCAGGCUUUGGUUGGGAUCCAUGUGUUUGCUGGAAUUGGAUUCUGUGGGUUGCCCUUGGCUUUUGAUGUAGGCUGGGUUUGUUUUCUUUGUUGAGGCCGGUGGAGUAUGGUGGCUCAGAAGCUGCUAGUAAUCUGUCUGUUGUAUGCUGACGCUGGAAUCUUCAUGGUGGUUGCUCUGGUGGGUCAAUAUGAUAUGGGAAUGCUUUUGCCUUUUUGAGUCCUUGGGCGUCAGCUGGUUGUUUGUGUUUCCUCUGCGCUUUAGUUCAUAUACCAGAGUGCAUACUUCCUUGAGUUCCAUAUCCCACUGCCAAGUGUGUUGUCCAUGAUGUAAUGUAAAGCAGUUAAUUUGUAUACCUGGCCUUAAGUUCCUCUCUAGAAAACUUUGAACGCCCUUUAUGAAUGAAAUGUUGUGAGAAAAACUGGAGUUGAUUUUCACAUUUGAGGUCAUUAAUGGUGAUUUUUCUUAAUGUAAUUGUGAUGGAAAAGAAAUUUGAUCAAGGAGUCGAAACCAUAAGCAGAGUCGAUCUUAUUCAACAUUGCAUUAUAAUUUGGUACCCCUCACAGAUCGCUCCAAAUAGCAUUGAAAAGUACUUUCAUUUUCCUUCAGUGGAGGCUUCUUUUUCUUUGCUGGUUAAUAUUCAUAGCUUCAGUGCUUGAUGAAAUUUCGUUACUUGACAUUGUUCACUAUUGUCCCUCCUGCUCUAAUCACAAACAAAUGCCCCAAUAAAUAAGAAUGAUUUGUUCAAGAAAUUUGAAAAUACUUGAACAAUAAAAGAAAAGAAUAGGAGAGAAAGGAAAAGAAAUUCAGAAAGCAAACACUUGGUAGUUUCCAUUUCAAUUAACCGAUCUUUGAAACUAAAAUGUAAUUCUUGGUAGAAUAAAAGAAGACAUGCAACAUCUUAAGAAGAUUCAUCUAAUGGAACAUACCAUGCUACAAUUGGAAACUGAGACUAAAUAGUUGUUUUGGUAGAAUAGAUAUCGCAUGCCAAAAAGAAAGUCUUGUAGCUUUGACUGCUUCAAAAUUCUUGUACAUAUAGCCCACAAACCUUUCGAGAUCAUACUUGUUUAUUCAAGCCUGUUUGAACAUACGGCUCUAGCGGAAGAUCUUACAACUUUAGGAGUCCAUAGUGUCCAUGAAAUCACAGGAAAAGAAAAGGAUGUAUAGUCAAGUUCAUGAAAAAUAAAGAGAUGGUUUAUUAAAGUUCACGAGUUUGGGACAUCUAAAACACUUUAAUUGUGUUUGGUUGAGUCUCCAUUUAUGGGGCAAUUCCCAUCAAGUCUAAUGAUUGACCACCAAUGACUUGAAAAUUGAAGCAUUGGAUGUGCCGCAUGUAGUUGAUGUUGCAUUAUUGAGGGUGGUUAUAUUAUAAAUUAAAUAGGCAUGCUAAGAGCAUGAGUUACAGAUUACCCGAUCCUGACUUGUCUCAUUUAUAUUAAUCUAUUCUCAUUCCUAUCCUAACAAAAAAUUUUAAAUGAGGAUGGAUGGAUAUGAGAAUUUCUCAUACCCGCCUUAUAUCAUUUAUUUAUUUAUUUUAGUUUUUUAACAAUUAAAAAUAAAAAUAUUUUAUAAAUAAAUAAAUUUUAUAACUUAUUUUAUUUAAAUAUAUAUAUAUAUAUAUAUAUAUAUAAUUAUUUUAUGUGUUCAAAAGAAGAAAAUGAAAACCAAUAAAUUAAAUUAUUUUUAAAUUUAAUUAUACAGCUUGGAAAGUGGUGGGUUAGUACAAGGCAUAUCUUGAACCCUGCCCCUAACCAACCCUAGUUUUAAAACAAAAACAAAAAUGUUGAAUUUGUAUCUAAUCAAUUUAUCUUCAUCUAAACUUGUCUCCCUAAACGUAAGUAUUUGAAAAAAUUUGUCUCAUUAUCAUCUUUAAUCAUAAAUUUUUUUUAAUUUAAAUUUAGAUACCAACAAACAUUUAAAUUAAAUUAAAAAUUCUUAUGCAAACAAGGGCUUUUCAGUUGCAGAAAAAUUGUGUACCUUCCUUGACAUUCUAGAUCCAGUUCUUGCAUUUUUUUGGAGGAUCCACAUAAGGAACAAUUUAAAUUUAUUCACAAAUACAAUUAUUCAAAAAGGCAUCAUACUGAACACAAGCAAAAUAACUACAAAUGUUAAUAGAAAUGGAUGGAAGCAUACAGGUGUAGAGAAUAUAAAAAAAAGAUUAUGAAGCCAAAAAUAAAAUAAAAAUAAAUAAAAAUAAAUAAAAGUAUAUGGUGGUUUAUUAUUGUUCAGGCCUAAUAAUUGAUUGUACAUGUCAAUGGGCCUAAUAUUAUUGCUCCGGCCUUUAUUCUAGAUGUCCAGGCCCUGUCAUUGCCUGAGUGUGAGGUCAUGGCUCGUUCUCUGUAUAGGUAGGUUCAUCCCUUGUCCAUUUGUAUACUUUUGAUCCAUGUGGUCAAGCCAACUUGGCUGUUGGGUACUUCAGGUGCGAUACCUUCUAUCCUACUUCUUACCCAAUUGAGUGAUUUAUCUUAGACGUCAUGGGGUCAUACACCUCUAAAACUUGAGUUGGUGGACUACCUUUCCCAGUUCUGAUCUCUCAGAUUCUUUCAUGGGCUUGAGUUCUAGCAUGAGCUUCUCGUUCUCCCCUACCCUGGUCCUAUAGUACUAUUUAUUUUUCAAACUUGCCCCUAGAUUUUUUUUAGUAUAAAAAGUACUAUUUUGUUGAAUUUAAAAAAACUCAUAGGAACAUAACCUUUCAAUAAGCUUAAACCUCUAUCUCUCAAAACUUUCAAAAUCCUUCUUGAAAGUCUCUUUUGGCUAAACAAAUAUUUGAGACUCACAUUGUAUAUGCUUUAAUAAGGGCUUUGAGGGACUCGCUAAAAAUAUAGGUGACAAUUUUGAUAUGAUACAAUAACACAACUUGAAAAUGUUAUAAAUUUUAAUAGAUUCAGAUUAGGUAUAACAUAUUCAUAUUGUAAUCAUAUCAACUCAUAUGACCCAUUUAAUAAAAAUGUACGAUUAUCCAACCCCAUAUAGCUUGUUUACUAAUUCAUGCCAAACAAACCAAUUUAUCUAAUCGUAUCAAAAUGAUGUUUAACUCAUAUAAAAUUAUUAAUAUUAUAUAUUUCAAAAUUAUAUAAAAAAAAUACUUAUUAGUUAUAAAUAUGAUAUAGUUAAAAAAUGAAGUAACUAAGUAAAAUUUUAUACAUUUCAUUGUAAAUAUUAAAAUUAUUUUAUCAUUAGAACAUUAGAUAGAAUUAUAAACAAGCGUAAAAUUAAAAUUUUAAUGUAUUUUUAUAUUAUAAACAUUUUCUAAUUUAAAUUUUAUAAUUAAAUUAGUUAAAAUUUUAAAAACAUAAAAUGUAUUUCAAAUAAUACAUUUAUAAAUUUUAAAUAGGUUAAACAUGCUAAAAUUGUAUUAACAUGUUAAAGAGUUAUAAUCAUAUUAAUAUGUUAAACGAGUUAAAAUAGGCUAACCAUGUUAGAAUUGUAUUAGUAAGUUACACAAGUUCAAGUUGUGUUAACAUAUUAAACGGAUUAGAAUCAUGUUAAUGGGUUCAACGACUAUUAAUAUGUUUCAUAUGUUAGAAUUGUAAUAACAGGUUAUCUAUGUCAAUUUAUACAAAGAUUAACUUAACCCGUCUAUUAAAUUAGUUUUGUUUGAAUUUGGUCAUUUUAAUACAAUUCUUAAAUAAAUUGUAUUCCUAUUGAGUAAAUUUUCACUAUUUUUUAUCUUAACAUUAUACAAAUCCAACACGUAUGAUAUCACCUAUUGUCACCCCUAACUAAGGAGCAUAUGAGUGUUGCACUGAGGAACCAGAAGAAGAGUGUAAAUACUAUUUAUAAAAAACUUUUGGAAGUGGAAGCAUUCUAUCAAGUAAAGUUGUGUUAACUUUUUUUCAUAGUUAGUGGAUUAUUCAAUGGUCAAGAGACCAACUAUGGUUUUUUACGCCUAAGGAUUUCCAGGUAGGUUCCACAUUAAAUUCUAUAUCUAAUUGUAUAAUUAGAAAGAUCGUGCAUGAGAUUGAUAACAUAUUAAUCAUAAUUGAAUCAUAAUAAAAUAAUUUAACUUUGGGGUUAAUUGAUUGAACUAUGUAUGUAUGGAUAUUUUAUAUUUUUUUAACUUUAAAUUAAUUAUUAUGUUGGGAAAUGGAAUAAGGGAAUAGUUGGCUCCAUUUUCAAUCUUGGUAACAUAAUUUGUUGUUGACAUGUUAUUUUAUCUUAUUUUAUAUAUUUUGUAGGAUAAAAAUAUAUAAUCAAGUGCUCUUGUAUGAUUGAUUUAGAUGUUAGAAAAAGUUACAAAACAUUAAUUCUAUUUGACUGAUGACAAAAACUUUUAAUUGCCAACAAUUUUUUUUAUAAACUUUAAGUUGCUAGCAUUCAUAUGUUAUUCUAAAGUUAUUAAUUAUAAUUUUAUAUAAGUUGAAUCACAAUUCUUGGGUAAAUGAAGAAGUAUUUAUUGACAAGAUACUUGUUUAUAUUGGAAGUUUUUAGUUUGAUUUGUUAUUGAAUUCAAAUUCUUAGUAGCUAGCUUUGAAUAUUAUCUAGUUGCAUUGGUUUUUGUUGUAAGUUCGAUUUUUAUAUUGUUUCCACACAUGAUGUUUAUUAAUUGAGAAUGCUAAUGAUUCGAGGUUAGAAUCGGUCACUCCUUACUAAACUUAUUCUUUUAGGCUAUGUUUGGUUGGCCGAAUAUAAUAUAUAAUAGAAUAAGAGAAAUGAUAUUAUAUCAUAUUCCAUCUUUAGUUGAAGAUGAGAUAUGAUAAAUUAUUUCAUUGCUUAUUAUAUACUAUGUUUAACUAAAUAUGAGAUAUGAUAAGUGAUGAUAUAUUACUCACUUUUUUUUUAAUCUCUUAUACAUGAAAUAUGUUAAUUUUAUGCUAAGAUAUAAGAAAUGCAUAUCUCAUAUAUCAUAAAUUUAUUUUUUAUCAAUUUUUUUAUAUAUUUAUUUUGUAAAAUAAUUUUUUUUUAUUAUAAAAUUAAAUUUAUAGUUAAAAAAGAAAAACUAAAAAAAUAUUUAUAAAUAGCAUUAACAUAUGAUAUAUAGAUUACUUUUUAUGUAUUAAAUAACAUAACAUAACAUAAACAUUUUUUAUUUGUAAAAUUUAAAUAUUUUAAUCAUGACUAUUUUUAAACAUAAAAGAAAUUUCAUUUUUUUUAAAUGGAAAAUAUUGGAAUGUGAUAUAAUUUUUAUUUUAAACAUUGAAAAUAAUAUAUAUAUAUAUAUAUUUAUUAUUUUUAUUCAUUUCAUAAAUUAAAUAUAAAUAUAAUAUAAUAUAUCUAAUUAGAUAUGUCACAUUAGAAUAUCAUAUUCAUAGGAUAUAUAUAUUUAAGGAUAUCAUAUCCUAUUAAAAAUUAUAUUUUAGGAUAUCAUUCUUUUUACCACAAGAGAGCAACAAUUGCUUUUAAUCGGUAAAAUUUGUAUGUGUACUAAAGUUGCACUGCCUAAUGUAAAGUGUUGGCUCCGCCACUGUGUUGCACCUCAAGCCACCACCAAGUCUCCUCAUGAUGCCCUUGUAAGCCUUGAUUAUCACAUUACCUUGGUGUCACAUUCUCCAAGUCAAGGUGUUAAUACUCUUCUAUGUUUACAAACAUAAUUUGGUCACCAUUUAUUAACUUAUAAGUCUCUAUAACCAUAAAAAAAAAUUUAAACAUACUAUUAGAACAAGGCUCUAUAUUUUGGGUUUUGAUAUCCAAUGAAAUAUGAUAUUUUAAGAAAUACAUAUUUUAUUAAGUUCUAUCCCGCCAAUGAAAUGUAACUUUAAAUGUAUUCUCAUUUUUAUUCUGCAUCUUUAUCCGAAAUCCAGGAGUUUACUUUUUUGUUUUAAGGUAAUUCAUUUUUUAUUUUAUUUUAUGUGUAUUAAAAAAAUAAAAGAAAAAAUAAGGAGUAACAUCAAUCAUUAUAAAGCCUGAAUCAAUCCCAAACAUUCAUAAGAAGACAAUUUAAGUCUUAAAAUAAAAUCCCAAAGCUACUUCUGACUAGACUACGCGUUUUGAUGACAUUUCACUUGAAAAUAAUGCAGAGUUUUCACUUAUAUUAUAUACUGUCUGAAUUUUAUUUUUGAUUCAUUUCGAUCUAUAAACAGAAACGGAAUACCCAGUUUUGAAGUAUCAACUUCAUUCCAACUUAUAUUUCAAGUUAAAUAAUAGAUAUUCCAUUCAGAAUUCUUGCAUUGUAUGAUGUGUUUACGAGGGUAAUUUCUCUUCUCUUGUUCAGUUGGCUCUGAUCAGUUUUUCCUUUUGUCCUUUUAUUGCAUUUAGAGUUGGGGCUUGUUCUAGCAGUUCUGGCAACAGCCGGGUUGAUCUUCUUCACAUAGAUUGGGGUACUUCUGUUUUUUCUGAUUGGAGAUGUGCUGCUCUUUCUCCUCGUACUUGGUAUUCGGGUGAGAGGUGGAUUAUGUUUGCUUGCUUGCUGGUCUGAGUUUCUGAUAUGUUUUGUCACGGUGGCAUGAGUGCUGAUUCUCAGAGCAUUGAUAUUUUCAUGGUGCUGAGACUGCUGGGAAGGUUGUAGCAUCCUUUUCGUUUCUGGCUGGAAUUGGAUUCUGUGUGUUGGCUUUGCUCUCUGGUUUCUUCACCUAAUUCAACAGAGCCACAUGCUUUGGUCCAUAUAUCAGACUGCUGCACCUAAUUCAGGGAUGAUGAAGUGAUCUUAUUCAACGUUGCAUUCUAAUUCCUCUCAUUUUCAUAUCUAUUUUCUACCUUGCUAUAUUCAAUAUCCAUUCUGUGAGUUGAAUGACCCAUGUUUUUAUUUUUCUAAGAAAUUCUCUAUCAUUUCAUCAUAACAUCCAGAGGAAACAUAGACAGGAAUUUCUCAUUUUUCAUUCGAGAGCAUUUAGAUCUUCCAACACCAACCUCACUGAACAUGACCGCAAAAUUCCUUCGAUUUUGGACUUAAAAUUAUGUUAGUACCCAUUGGACAAUCCAUUAGGUCACAGUUUGACCUAACUUGAUUCUUUCUUACCCAUGUCUUUUCCUUUGAAUUUUGGGGUGCCCUAUAAUUCAAGUCAAUGAAUUUGGACAAAUCAAAUCAAUUUUUUUCCCAAUUGAUGCCAAGGAAUAUCCAUAUGAUUCAAACAAUAUUUACAUUGUUUGUUUGAAUUUUGCCUAAAGUAUUCAUGAUUGUGUCCAAACAAAAUGCGUAUUAAUGACAUUAGUAAUGACACAAGUGCUUGGUUUUGACAUUUUCAAUAUUUGCAUUCCCAUUACUAAUUUUUGUUUCCCCCUUUCUUUUUCUUUUUUUUCAUUUUUUGUUUGUUUUGAACUGGUGCUUCCUUCCUCAUUCAUUCUACUUUUGUUUUUUGAAAAACAUUUGUCUCUUUUGCACACAUCCUAAAAAGCCCAAAAGCAUUUUUUUUUUAACUUAAGCUUUUUUUUCAAUUUAUCUUAAAAUGAAAAUAAAAAAUACAAUUUUCUUAUUGAAGUGUUAUUUUGAUUUAUAGAUAAAGUUAUUUCAUAUUUUAUAAAUCUUUUACUCUAUUUAUUUUGUUCUUUGCAAAUUAUAAUUUGGCUCACUUCAACUUUGAAACAAAAUCAGAAUAAAAAAAAAUUAUAGCAAAUUAUGUUUUAAUCUGCUUUCCAAGUGGAAAAUACAAAUAAUGCAACCCGUAUCUGCAUAAAAUUAGUGCAUGAAACAUUACUUUUCAAUGGACUUGAAAAAAUAUUUUAAAACCAACAACUCCAAAAGUCAAUGGUCUCAAUAAUGUAGUGCAAUAGGUUUCCAAAAGAUGAAGGGUGUGAAGAUCCCUAAAAUGUUUUUGAGAGUAAGUGUUUCCAAAAGAUAUAAGCAAGUACGAAUUUCUUUAAAAUGUUUUUCAAUUGUUUUUUUACAUGGUUAUUUAAGUUGCCUAAUAAUAAAUCGUUUUCUAAUUUUUGUAUGAAUUAAAUAUUAUUAUUUUUCUAAAAUAAGAAGUAUGUUUAAUAAUUAAUUUAUCUAAGUAAUAAUAAUGACCAACAACCUUUUAGACCUAGUCUUUCAAUCGACUGAUUUAUUUUCUAGGUAUAAAUUAUCGGGAAGUAAAAUACAUGUAUUGAUGGAUUAAUUAAAGGGAGAGUUAAACCUGAGUUUCGACCCAAAAUAGUGUGUUUUAAAAAAAAAUUCCAAAAAAUAAAGUUGUUUUCAAAAUAAUGUCCGAUCUAAUGUGUCUGUGCCACAUAAGCUGUCACAUCAUAAAACCGUAGUUGGUGACUACGGUUUUAUUUUUCUAAAGUGGUUAGAAACCGUAGUUACCAACCACGGUUUUAACUUUAAGUUUAAAGCCGUAGUUGGUGACUACGGCUCUGAUUUUUUUUAAAAAUGGUCAAAGCCGUAGUCACCAACUGCGGUUUUAACUUUAUAUAUAUUUAUAUAUAACUUUAAUUUUUUUAAUAAAAAUAUUAUAUUAUUUUGAUUUUAAAUAUACUUAUUUCAUUAUUUUAAAAAUAAUAAUAUACGAAAUUAAAUAAUUGAUAUUUUUAAUUUGAUAUAAAAAUAUAUUUUUAAAUUUUAUUAAAACGCACUAUAUUUAAUAUAAAUAUAAUUAAUUAAUUAAAAUAAAAUAUAAUAAAUUAUAUUUAUUUAAAAUAAAUAAAUUAUAAAUACCUAUUUAUAAAAAUAAAAAAUAAUAUAAAUUAUUAUAUUAAUUAAUAAUUUUUAUAUAUUAUAUAUAAAUUUUAUAUAAUACCCCCCCACACACACACACACACACACACACACACACACACACACACACACACACACACACACACACACACACACACACACACACACACACACACACACACACACACACAUAUAUAUAUAUAUAUAUAUAUAUUUAAAAGUUUAAUUUAAGUUUAAAAUUUAUCACAUUUUUAUUUAAAUAUAUAAAUAAAUUUUAUUAAAACAAUUGACACUAUAUUUAAUAUAAAUAUAAUUAUUUAAUUAAAAUAAAAUAUAAAUAAAAUAUAAUAAAUUAUGUUUAUUUAAAAUAAAUAAAUUAUAAAUGCCUAUUUGGAGAAAAAAAUAAUAUAAAUUAUUAUAUUAAUUAAUAAUUUUUUUAUAUAUUAUAUGUAAGUAGUAUAUAAUAUCACACACACACACAUAUAUAUAUAUAUAUAUAUAUAAAAGUUUAAUUUAAUUUUAAAAUUUGGCAUAUUUAUUUAAAUAUAUAAAUAAAUUAUUAUCAUAUCGAUAUAAUAUUAUGAACUUAAAUUAAAAUAUGAUAAAUUUUAAACUUAAUUGAACUUAUAUACAUGUGACAUUAUAUACCACUUACAUAUAGUAUAUAAAAAAUUAUUAAUUAAUAUAAUAAUUUAUAUUAUUUGUUUUUUAAUAAGUUUUCAUAAUUUAUUAUAUUUUAUUUAUAUUUAAAUAUAAUUAACUAAAUAUAUUUAUAUUAAAUAUAGAUUAUAUUAUUUUAAUAAAAUUUUAAAAUAUAUUUAUAUCAAAUUAAAAAUAUUAAUUAUUUAAUUUCAUAUAUUAUUAUUAUUAAAAUAAUGAAAUAAGUAUAUUUAAAAUCAAAAUAAUAUAAUAUUUUUAUUAAAAAAAUUAAAAUUAUAUAUAAAUAUAUAAAGUUAAAACCGCAGUUGGUAACUACGGUUUCUAACCACUUUAGAAAAAUAAAACCGUAGUCACCAACUACGGUUUUAUGACGUGGCAGCUUAUGUGGCACAGACACAUUAGAUCGGGCAUUAUUUUGAAAACAACUUUAUUUUUUGGAAUUUUUUUUAAAAACACACUAUUUUGGGUCAAAGCUCGUUAAACCUUCUAAGACACUACCCAUCUCACUUGAGAAUGGAAAAUUGAAAGGCUACAAAUACAUCCUUAUUUCCCUCUUUCUAUAAAAAUGGUCUUCCAUAUCCUCUUAUCAAUUUCACUUCAAUUAUCCUUAAAAAAAUCACUUCACAACUUCAAAGAUUUGUGAGUAAAAUUAUAAAAGUACUAACAUGUCACUUGAGUAAAAAAGACAUGAUUAAUAUCCAAAAAAAUAAAACAUAUACCAUUGUAAACCCUAAAAUUUGUUCUAAUUUUAUUUUUAUAUUAAUUUCGAACCAAAUUUUAUAUUUAGAUUUCAAAUCCCAAUUACAUGUGUUUUUUUUUUCCCACUCAUUAUUUAAUAAUUUUUAUUAUUUUGUAUAUUAUAUUAUUUUAUUUUAUUACUAUUACUUUUAAUUUAAUUUUAUUAUUAUUAUUAUUAUAUUUUGUUUUAUUUUUAUUUAUUUUUAAUUUUCUUUUCUCAUCUCUCCUAUUUCCUCUUUUCUCUCUCCUCUCUUCCUACCCCUCACCACCGGCCACCCCUUUCUCUCUCUCCCAUUUUCUCCUCCAUUUUCCUCUCUCCUCUCUCCUCUCUUCCUACCCCUCACCGUGGGCCCCACCACUCCCCCAUUCUUCUCUCUCUCACCCCCAAUUCUUCCCAUAGGGCCGGCCCCCACCAUUCUUUUUUCUUUUCCCCCCGCUUUUUCCCCCCAUUUUUUUCCCCUUUUUCCCCACUUUUCUUCUUCCCACGGCCGGCCCCUGGAUUUUUUUUUUCUUUCUUCCCCCUUCCCCCUCAUUUCUUUCUCUCACCCCCGCAUUUUUCUUUUCCUGCGGCUCCAUUUCACUCUCUGGCUCCACUUCGCAAAAUGGGCAGCUCGCUCCCCUCCCAAAUUUUUUUUUCUCUCUUCGUUUUUUUCCUUUUUGUUUCUCUCCCGGGGACGCAUUGAUGGCGAUCCAUUUCUUUUCCACCUACAUUUCUUUUCCACCCAUUUUCUCUGCCAAAAAAAAAAACGCCCAUGGCUCCCAGAUUCGUCUAUUUUCUCCAUUUUUUUUUGUUUUGGUAUUAUUAUUAUUAUUAUUAUUAUUAUUAUUAUUAUUAUUAUUAAUUUUUUUUUCAUAAUUUUUCUUAAUUUGAUUUUGAUAGUAAUUAUCGUUGAAAUUGGGUUUGUGUAUUUAUAUUUGCUUGUGGGCUUAUGUUUGGGCUUUGUUAAUUAAUAUGAAAUUUGAGUUAAUUUAUUGUUGAUGGAUUAAUUUGAAAUUUGUUAAUUUGAUUUUAUGGUUAUAUUACAUUAGUAAUUAAUUUGGGAUAUUUGGAUUUAUCAAUUGCAUAUUGUUUAUUUGGAUUUGGGUCUAUUGUUAAUUUGUUAUUUGUUUAAGCUUAUUGGAUUGAGUUUAAAUUUUAUUUCCCUUGACCAUGUAUAUUUUUUUAUGUGGGUCUGUUAAUUGAUAUGAAUUUUGGGGCCUAAAAUAUGGGUGAAAUUUGUUGGAUUAUUUGAAUAUUUGAUAGGAGCCUGACCAAUUUGAAUUAUUUAAUUUGAACAUGGGACAAUUGUGAUGUACAUUAAAUUAGGCUAAGAUUAUGAAAUAUUAAAUUUAGGUCUAGUAGAAUUUAUUUUAAUUUGUCCAAUCUUAGUGUGGACCCGCAUUUUUCACGUGCGUCCCCACUCGACCGGCGAGACUCGCUUUUUUAUUUGUGAGAAAUUGAUUUUUGAAAAAAAGUUGGAGUCGCCACUUAUUUUUAUUUUUAUUUUUGAAGGGAAAAUAAAACAAGAAAUAAAACCCUAAAAAAAUGACUCCAUAAUUUUUGGAAAAGCAUGUCUUUGAAAAACCCGAGUCUAAGUCCGGGGGUCAGGUUACCUAUUAGGAAGGUACCUUUGAAAGGUAGCACCCCUCUAAGCCCUAUAAAGGUCUCUACUGACAAAGUUAAGGGAAGUGUGACCAUUAAUCAGUUAAUUACGGAUACCUAAGUAGACUAGAUGAUUUCAAAAAAAUAACAUGCCGAAUAUGAUCAAAUUGCCAUAAAAGAGAGUUAGGGUGCAUACCUGGACGACUUCUCAAAGCGCUAUCAUAAAACAUGAAAGUUAGUAUUGAGAUGCAUCACACAACAUGCAUUUUAUCAAAGAUAAUCAAACAAUCAUCAAAUGUAUAUCAAGACAAUCAAAUAGGAUAGCACGUAUGGACAUAGUACGCAAUGACAAUCAUAUUCAUAUGGUUUAGAAAGUGGGUAUUAGGGAAUGUACCUGGAUAGCAUAUAUAACUUACAAUGCGCUUCCAUGAAACAUGGUUAGUGAACGAUGAACAAAUAUAAUUAAGCGAAUAUCAAAGAAUAGAGUAAACCAAUCAUGAAGUCAAGUAUGUGGGGCCCCACCCAAAGCCCGUUUAUUUUAGCAUGAAUUAAUUCCAUAAAUUCCAUUAUUCGGAAUUACGGAAUUUAUUCUUUGCUUAUUUUAAAACAUUUUAAAAUCAUGAAAGUUAUGAAAAUUGCAUGCCGAAGAGAUUGACAACAAAUUUUAUUGAAAAAUAGGAUUUUUGAGACCUAAAAAUUCUAAGGAUAAUAAACUAUGAAAUCAAAACAAGAUUUUUAUUUUGAAAAUCAAUUUUUAAAGAUGUGCAUGAUGAUGGGUAUAAAGACUUGCGAGUUUUGAAGAGGGGUAUAAGAAGGUGAGCCUGUAAGUCAAAAUUAGGCAAGAGUGAGAUCUUAAGCUUGGGGUCUUGAGCGGAUCACUGAACCACACCUCUGAAUCUGAAAUUUCUGAUUCUAUCUCCCUUGGGAUUGGCUUUUCAUAGUCUCGGUUAAGCACAGGGGAACCAUACCAUACCAGUGGUCUCUUCCAUAGUACUUCAUCUCAAGUAUUGAAAUGCAUCGAGCGUCUCAUUUAUUUCAAAUGGGUCAAUGUCAGCAACCUCAAGACCAGCAUUUCUUGCAGUAAUUUGGAUUGCAAUAGCUGGACCUACACCAAUGAUGCUAGGCUCCACACCAAAAGAAUCCUUCACGGUAUCGAGAUUUUCAUGAAAACCGGGUUGUCUAAGCCACUGAGAAAGAGUGUACAAAAGUGGUAUCUGACAUUCCUGUCUUUCGAAACAAGAUUAAUUCCCACCAGAUCAGCAAGUUCAUUGAUUCGGCAUUGCCAUGUGACUGUCAUAAAAGUCUUCAGAUGCACAAUGAAAAGACGGAAGGCUAUAGUGGAGUAAGAGCCUAUUCCAAACACGUGGAAUUUCUACCAAAUACCAAACUGUGCAUAGUUUCAGAAAUUUGAUUAGUCUAUCCAGUAAACUUGAAGAUGGGAAAAGCAAAGACACAGAUGGACACCCAACAACCUGCGGUGGCAGACAAAACAGCCUAUAAUCUUUGCAUUUAGCUUCGUCUUGCUGAUUAAACCAAAGGAAAUCUGCAUGGGCACACCGCGGGUUUGACAUUCCUACCAAGCUUGCCAAAUAGACCACAUGAUAAGCAAGUCAACACAUGAGAGGAAUGGUUCAAAUAUUUGCUUCUUCCAGAAUGCUGAUAUUGGAUUAAAGCUGACUAUAAUUCCGAAACUGAAUGCAAACACUGUACAAUGGAGUUCAUGUAUUAGGUGCUCCUCAGAUUGAAACUGGCAUUAUAACCCACAAUUUCCACUCACUACAAGGAAAAAGGUAUAUGGUGACAUUUAUAACGAGUCACCAUAAAUAUAAGAUGUCACUACAACAUAGCGUCACCUUCUCCACUGACACCAUAGAGGGUACCAAUUGGUGACGUAUUUGGAAGUGACACCAAAGUAGAUAAAUGGUGACCCAUUCAGAAGUGACACCCUAUAUUUCUAGUGAUGAUAGGGUGUCACAUUAAAUACAUCAUCUUUGAGUUAUGAUGUCACAUUAAAUGCAUCACCUUUGAGUUAUGGUAUCACAUCAUUGUAAAUUAUUGUGGAAUAUAUGAUUGGUUUUAGUUGUUGAUUUUUGUAAUGCUUAUGAAUUAAUAAGAUUAACCUGUUUAUAUUUUGUCCAUAAAUAUAACAAUCAUAUUAUAUUUAACUCAUUUUUCUGUAAUGUUUCUGGAAUAACUCAUAAUACAUUGAUCAUCUAAUAAUAUUUGUAUAUCAAAUGUUCACAAAAGGAUAGUACGUCCAACAUAUCAAACCCAUCAAAACUAAAAAAGAAGAGUGAAUACAUACCAAAACAUGAUUUAGAAAUGUUAAAGAUCCCAAGAUUNNNNNNNNNNNNNNNNNNNNNNNNNNNNNNNNNNNNNNNNNNNNNNNNNNNNNNNNNNNNNNNNNNNNNNNNNNNNNNNNNNNNNNNNNNNNNNNNNNNNUCACCUUUGAGUUUAUGGUAUCACAUCAUUGUAAAUUAUUGUGGAAUAUAUGAUUGGUUUUAGUUGUUGAUUUUUGUAAUGCUUAUGAAUUAAUAAGAUUAACCUGUUUAUAUUUUGUCCAUAAAUAUAACAAUCAUAUUAUAUUUAACUCAUUUUUCUGUAAUGUUUCUGGAAUAACUCAUAAUACAUUGAUCAUCUAAUAAUAUUUGUAUAUCAAAUGUUCACAAAAGGAUAGUACGUCCAACAUAUCAAACCCAUCAAAACUAAAAAAGAAGAGUGAAUACAUACCAAAACAUGAUUUAGAAAUGUUAAAGAUCCCAAGAUUCAUGUAUACCUCCAUUUCAUAAGCAUAAAACCGGUUAACCAUAAAAUGACAUAGAAGUCCCAUCUAAAAAUCUAAAUUUCUCAAUUGCAAUUAAAGUAACGUUUAUGUCCUACAACGUAUGACAUAAGAGUUGCAUUUAAAAACCCAAAAUCUCGUUGUCUUCUUCUUUCUUUUUAUUCUCCAUUUCACCCUCCCAAGAGUGUAUACCUGCAUUUCAAAAUUUAAUGAGUUUUAGAGAUUUUUAUUGAAGAAAACAAACAUGGAUCUAUGUUAUCAUAAAUGAACAAAUAUAAGAAUUAAUUUUUUUUUUCAAAUAGAAACAUUAUUCAAAGAAUAAGCAUUACUAUACAAUACCUAUGGAAAAAUUCAUGUAGUAGCUAAGGGACUCACCAUGCAUGGUGAUCAUGAUGCAUCAACAUGAUUCAUGAUUAGUUGUAGCACAAAAGUAGCCCAUUCUCCUCUAAUUUCAUCGAAUUCUACUUGAGAAUAUGUUUUUUUUAUUACCAAACUGAAAUCAAAUAAGAAAAUAACAUUAAAAUGCAUAACAUUUGGAAGCCUAAAACUAUGUACAAUUCAUUAAAUAAGUAAUACCUUUGAAGCAAUAAUUGUAGGAUAAAAAAUUAUCUCUUUAAUGAAUCUCAUAACAAAGUAGCCACAUUCGAACCCUCCUUCUUGUCUUGGACACUAAUCGAUCAAUUAUAAAAUAACAUUAGUACUCACAUAUAUAAAUGGUGCAAAUGCAUAAGCUAAUGUGUAAAGAAAAAUUUUUGGAUGUCACCNNNNNNNNNNNNNNNNNNNNNNNNNNNNNNNNNNNNNNNNNNNNNNNNNNNNNNNNNNNNNNNNNNNNNNNNNNNNNNNNNNNNNNNNNNNNNNNNNNNNAAAAUAGAAAUUCCUAAUAAUAAAAAAUAUAAAAUUUCUAUUUCUAUUAACAAAAUAUAAAAACUUUCCAAAACUCAAUUACUUAAAUAUAAAAAUAAAAUCAAAUAAAAUAUCUAGCUAAUUGGAUUUUAGAAACUAAAUAAACUAUAAAUAAACUAAAUAUAAAAACUAAAUAAAAUAUCCAUGCCCAUGAAUUAAUUGAAGAUGAUAGAAAGACACAGAGAGAACAUGGCUAUGGUUAUGAUUUCCAUCUUAUCAUUUCCCGUCAAUACCACACAUGCCCAUUUUAAGGAUGGACACUACUUUUGUUGCUGGACUUGGAAAGGGAACUUCAAAAUUGAAAACAUAAAUAAACCCUUAUGUAAAAAAAAAACAUUAAAAUAUAAUUGAACAUUAAAAUAUUUGCUCUUUUUCAUCACUUUCAUUUGAAUAUUAAUAAUCUCUUAUUGAGAUAGAUACUUACAAUUUAACAAAAUAGAAAUUCCUAAUAAUAAAAAAUAUAAAAAUUUCUAUUUCUAUUAACAAAAUAUAAAAACUUUCCAAAACUCAAAUACUUAAAUAUAAAAAAAAAAUCAAAUAAAAUAUCUAACUAAUUGGAUUUUAGAAACUAAAUAAACUAAAUAUAAAAACUAAAUAAAAUAUCUAUGCCCAUGAAUUAAUUGAAGAGGAUAGAAAGACACAGAGAGAACAUGGCUAUGGUUAUGAUUUCCAUCUUAUCAUCUCCCGUCAAUACCACACAUGCCUUCCUGGAUUGGUCCUUUUGGGGUUGGAUACUCUCAACGAAAUUCUAUAUCUCAUUCCCACUUAGAUACAAACAGAAAAAUGAUUCUUUUUUUUUUUCUCUCUCGUUUUUUAGAAAGGAUGAAAAUUAUGUGAUAGUAUAUCUUAAAAAAAUUAUGUACAUGUCAUUGUCACACAAAUACAUGUUAAAAAUCAUUCAUUUUUUCCUGUUUUUCACUUUUUUUUUAAGGACUUGAUCAUGUGUUUGGUUUAGAUUUAAAAAAUCAAUUAAUCUAUAGUUUUUUCUUCCAUGCUAGAAGAUUAAACCUAAAUUUUUCUUCCCUACAACUCAAGAAAACACAAUUCACAAAAACCAUAAUACAAAGAUGUUGAAACAAUUAAUAUAAUGACAUUAAUAAAAGAAAAAAAAUUGAUAGAUCCAAGAGAUUUUGGGUUACCUGGGAGUCCACAAAGUGAAGAAUGUCGGUUUUGAGCGUGUUGACUAUGGAUGGGUGAGAGAAAAGGUUGAAGAAGAUCAUGAUUUUAUAUAUAGGAUUUAUAUAUUGAGAUUUUUUGGAUUGUGGGUGAGAUAUGGAAACAAUGGGAUUUUUAUAUAGUAUCCAUCAUUAUUAAUUCUAAAAGUGGGCUCAUUAAGUUAUAAUACUUAAAAAAAAUUAUUUUAUAUGAUGUCACUUCCCAAAAAAUGACACUAUAAAUAUAAAAUUAAUAUCAUCUAACUAUCUCAAUUGAAGAUUUUUUAUAUGAUGUGUCACCUUUAUUAAUUAUAAACCCUAUGGUGUCAUUAUUUUAAAAGUGACACCGUAAAUAGUGACACCAUAAACUAUUUUUGUAGUAGUGACUUAAUCAAUAUAAUUCUGACCAUCCAUACUGACAUUACUCAUGUUUCUUGAGCCAAUGCCUAAUUCCAGAGCAGAUCAACAGAGACCUUGGCAUGGUUUUAAACUUCAGCCAAAUGAGAUGCGUGGGACAAUAGCUUGACUUAUGGAUUGUGGCAGGUCAGCAGCCUGACCCAUGGUUUGUGGUGGGACACCACCAUCUGGCAGUCCAAUGGAUUCCAGAGGAAUAAUAGGCUGCUGAGUGGCCUGUGGUGAGGCACCCACAUUGUCACUUAUGGGGCCUUACGCAUCGAUGGCAAGCCCGGUGGCGAUAGUACUGUGCAUCCCCGAAGCUGCCACUGCAAUUCCAUGCAUGGCAGCCAUGCUGAAACUCGCGUAGAUAGCAACGACAAUGGCAAAUAUCGGAAUGAUGUCAGACACGUAUCCCAUUAGGAAUGACUUUGCAUAAUAAUAAUCUGAAGAAGUCAGCUGCGUCGUCCAUCUACCAGUUCGUGAGUGAAGUUUUGCUCAGAAACCCAUUUGCAAUCUUCACAUUUUGCUUCAUCUCUGACGGAACCUUGAUGCUAUCGCUGAAGACGCGGAGACUGAUGACGGUAGACUAGGACUGGUUGGACUGGUCUUGAAGGUGCAUGACGAGUAGAGAGGUUGGGAUAGAUGAACAUGGCUGGAUGAUGUAUGACGAAUAAGGAGUGGUGAAAUGGGUAUGAAAGAGUUUGAAGAGAGAGAAAAGGUGGUAAUGUGGAAUGGGUUUGAUGGGUGCAUGCAUGGGGCAUGAAGAUGAUGGUUAGUAUGGAAGUGGGGGUAUGAUGAGCGAAAGAGAGAGAUGAGAUGGGUGCAUGGUGGUGUAGAAAGAAAGGUGAUCAUACAAAUGGGCAUAGGUAUGGCAGCCAAUGGGUAUCACCAAGUAUGGUGGUGAAGAGAGGGAACGAGUGAGGACAAAUAUGCAUGGAUAUGAGAUGACAUGGGUAUUGUGGUGUGGCGGAAUAGUGAUAAUAUGAGGAAUAGGUUUUAUGGGCAUAGCAGAGAGGUAAUGGCAUGGAGUGAUAAUGGGAACGUGAGUAUGGUUAUAGGAAGUAGUGACGAUACUGCCAUCAUGAAAGGUAAAUAAAAUCCUCUGCAGAGCCAUCUACAGAAGGCUAUUCAGACAAUCUCAUGUAACUCCGCUUUGUCAAUCCUUACCUGGUCUGGUAUACACUUUCCAUGGAGGUUAAAGAAAUCAAUAUGGUGACAUUGCCUUGGUCUUCUCUCUUUCUCAAUACCAAGCACCGAUAGAGACACCCUUAUUUGGAGAAAUUUUGAGGAUCCAGUAGUACAAGGACACGCGCGAGUCAAUUACAGCUUGAGUGCAGCAAACUUUCCAUCUUAAGAAAACCCCUCCUCACAAUUACUUUCUCUUUUGAUGCUGUCAUUACAUCUUAUGUUGUUUUCCCUUAAACUCUCCCAUUUUAAUAUCCGAAGACUGAGAACCAAUCUCCUGUGAUACCCUUCCCCUUCAUACGAAAAUGGAAGAUCUGAUGCCAGAUACGUAUGGAUGCCAAGAACAGGGGAUGAACAAAAAAAAAACAGAGCAAGGAUAAAAGGAAGCAAAAUCAACCCAUCCAAGCCUCAUUUCAUGUAUUUAUCAAUGGGCUCAGAUGCAAGAGUGGGUCAAAACAGUUUUUCUAAUGAGUUUUAAAACCAAAUCAAGACAUAAACACCAAUAUUUCACAUAAAAUCCUAGAGGCAGAGGACACAAAACCAGUAAGAAAAUAAGCAUGGAUCAAGUGAAAAUCCUCACCAAACACAUUCAGACACCAAGAUAGAAAACCCGUUAAUAUUCAGAUAACCCAAACAAAAAAAAACAUGAACGUGAAAGAGACCAAAACUUAUGAAAAUGAUACCUGAACCUUCCUCUUUUCAGUUAGCCUCUCUUCUCUCCAAGAGCUACUCUCUGUAUAGCUUGUAGAAAAAUCUCCUUGACUACGGCAAUGGAGACUUUUUUUUCCUUCUAGCUUCUCCCAAAACUCUUAUCUCAAUUACCUUUCAUGUCUUCCUCUCUUCCAUCCCAAAAAGAAUCAAAAUCCCUUCUUCUUUCGGUGUAGCUGCCUUUUCCCUCCAGAGAAUCCUUUCCUUCUCAAUGGUCCCGUUGACUCUACCAACAUGGAAAGACAACUCACCAGCCCGGAGAGCCUCAAUCAUCCACGUCAGUCAAGCAUCAUCAGGACUCUCCCUCCUGAACAUAGUCUUCAUUCCGUCCAAAUACCCAUUGAACCUUUCCUUUUUCCAUGCCAAAAUAGCUUUGGUAAUUUUCUUUCUUCAUUCAUUUCCUUCCAUCAGAAGCACAAUCAGCACAUGCAUGGGUGCAUACUUGCUUUCUUUCUCAGUUCAUUUCCUUCCAUACGUCCUCUCCUCUUCCAACCUUCUUGGAUCUAUCCUUCAACACAUGCAUAUCUUUGCCAAUACAUGUUUUCAACCUUCCCUUUUCUCUCCAGUGAUGAUUCCUUUGGUGAAUUUCUCCACAAAAAUAUAAAGAAAAUUAGACUUAAUGAAUGAAUCCCAAGGUGUUUUAGAAAAUUAUAAAAUAAACAAACAAAUUAAAUUAACAAAAUAAUUAAGUAAAUAAUGAUAAUAAUAAUAAUAAUAAUAAUAAUAAUAAUAAUAAUAAUAAUAAUAAGAACUCAUUUCAUGCAAUUAUAAAAUAAAAUAAAUAAACAAAAAUACAAAUAAUAAUAAUGAUGAAAUAGUAUAAAUAUAUCAAAAACUCACUUAAUCUUAAAAGCAAUCAAUAAAAUAAAUAAAUAAAUAAAACAAGAAAACAAAUCUAAGUGAAACUAAACCUUGAAAAGUGUUUAAGUGGGCCUAAGGCGGUACCUAAUGGGCCAAGUGUGUCUAAUGGGCCUAAGGUGCACUAAGUGAACCUAAAGUGAUGCCUAAUGGGCCUAAGGUGCACUAAGUGAACCUAAGGUGUCUAAAUGGACCUAGGGCGAUGCCUAAUGGGCCAAGUGUACCUAAAUAAGCCUAAAGUGUCUAAAUGGGCCUAGGAUGGUGCCUAAUGGGCUUAAAGGGCCUAAGUGGGCCUAUGGUGGUGCUUAAGUGUAUCUAAGUCUAAAUGGGCUACCAGGAGUUGCAAUAGAGUUCGAUAAAUCCCUCAACCAUAGUCCCCAAGGUGGCUUAGAGUAGAUAGGCUACACGAGUAUUAAUGGGCCACCAGGGAAUUGCUGUAAACGACAUGUGCGAGGAAGACAAAAUAGAGGGUCUACACUUAGGUUUGGUUGAUUGUAUUUGUAUUUUUUGUUAUUAAUUUGGAUGUUCUAGUUUAAGACCUAUAGUAAUUUGGGCUCAUUUUAAUUGGCGAAAUUUAUGGGACUAAUUUUUUGAUAAGUGAACACAAAUAUAUUAAACGAGGCAAAAAGCCACAAGGCAUACAGGACGUAUACACAGUAGCCAAACCAACAACCAACACGCACCACCCCUUAGGGAGCGGCGAGCCAUUCCAAAAAUCCUAUAAGCGAAGAGGACUCCUCUCCCAUAUACACCCUAGCCCAGCUCCACAAGUUACAAACAAAAGAAUUCUUUAGCUUCUGAAUAGCUAGAGAGCCCCCUCUGAAAGCUAAUCUAUUUCUCUCCUUCCAAACCGUCCAAAAAAUACACAGCGGAAUGGAAGUCCAAAUCCUUUUCCUCUUUCUCCCCACAAAAGGGCCCCUCCAACUGACUAACAUAUCUUUGACUUUCUCUGGGAACACCCAAUUAGCCCCAAACAAGGCCAAGACUAUCUCCCAGAGAGCCCUUACAACUGUACAGUGUAAAAGUAUAUGAUUUACAUUUUCCUCUUCACAACCACAUAAAAAACACCUGUUAGGAAACUGCCAUCCCCGUCUUUGAAGCUUGUCCAAAGUUAAAACUUGCUCCCAAGACACCUCCCAAGCAAAAAAAGCAACUUUGGUUGGGACCUUGUCCACCCAAAUGCUCUUUUUCGGGAAGGUAAUGACAUUAGACCCUGACAAGAGCUUGUAGGCAUCUCUAAUCCGAAAAAGGCCGUGACUAUCUCCUUUCCAAAUCACUGCGUCCUCUUCAAGAGAAGUCCUCAAAUCCCUCAACAAAUGCAGCAGCUCACCUAAAGCGUCCAGCUCCCAAUCAUUAAAGUUUCUAAAGAGUCUUAUAUUCCAACCUCCUUGGUCGAGGCUAGAAUCCCACAUUUCAUUUACCGAGGCGUUCCUUUGGACAGCCAAUUCAAACAACUGAGGAAAACUUUGGGCCAGCACCUCAUUAUCACACCAAUGGUCAGUCCAGAAACUCAUCUUAGUCCCCUUUCCCACUUUGAACUUAAUAUUAUCCCAACACCAAGACGACUCCUUCAAGAUAUCCCUCCAAACCCCCACCCCAAACGUUCCGCGGGCCUCCUUUGUUCUCCAACCAAAACCCAAUUGACCAUACUUCACCCCAACCACCUGUCUCCAGAAAACAUCUUCCUCAAUGGCGAACCGCCAAAUCCAUUUCCCCAACAGAGCCUUAUUCAAAAAAUCAAUCUUCCGAAUACCUAGGCCCCCACUCUCCUUUUAGGUACACACCACCGCCCAAUUGAUUAGAUGAAUCUUUCUUUCCAUCCUUCCCCUUCCCCAAAGAAAGUCCCUUUGAAGCUUUUCAAGCCUUUUAACAACUAGCUUAGGCAUGCGGAAAAGAGACAAUUGGUAAAUCGGCAUGCUGGCCAAAGUGCUUUUGAUGAGGGUAAUCCUCCCACCCUUUGACAAAUAUUGUCUUUUCCACAGUGCAAGCCUUCUUCUCAUUCUUGCUUCAACCCCAUCCCACAUAGCCAUGGCCUUAUGCUUGGCUCCCAACGGCAGCCCCAAAUAAACCGAAGGGAGGGUCCCCACUUUACACCCUAACUCCACCGCCAACAUCUCAAUGUCUUCCACCUCUCCAACCGGGAUUACUUCACUUUUAGCAAGAUUUAUUCUAAGACCAGAGGCUGCCUCAAACCACACCAAAAUCCAGCUUAGGUAAGUAAUGUGAUCUUGCCUCGCUUCACAAAAUAUAAUCGUAUCAUCAGCAAAGAGUAAAUGGGACACAUUUAUCUCCAUCCCCCCCCUCCCUUGGAUGCUACAACCUGAAGUGAAGCCCCCAUCAACAGCCCUUCUCAACAUAGCGCUUAGAACUUCCAUGCCCAGCACAAAAAGGUAGGGGGAGAGUGGAUCACCUUGGCGUAACCCCCUAGAGUUGGAGAAAUAACCAGCCGGCACCCCAUUGACCAGAAUAGAAAAGCUUGCCGUUGAAAUACACCACCAAAUCCAUUUCAACCACCGGUCCCCAAAGCCCAUUUUCCGCAUGACCUUCAUGAGGAAAUUCCAAUUAAUACUAUCAUAGGUUUUUUCAAUAUCCAGUUUACAUAUCACCCCUUUCUCCUUGCGUUUAAGCCAAUAGUCAAUUACCUCAUUGGCUAUGAGUGAAGCAUCUAAAAUCUGUCUUCCCUUCACAAAGGCAUUUUGGUCCGGCGAAACCACCUUGUCUAACACCUCCUUAAUUCUAUUGGACAGCACUUUGGCCAAGAGCUUAUACACACCCCCAAGCAGGCUGAUUGGUCUGAAAUCCCCCAAGUCCUCAGCCCCCCCUUUCUUAGGAAUAAGGACAAGAAAAGUAGAGUUAAGACUCUUGGCAAACGACUUGUCUUCAUAAAACUCAUUGAACACGUCCACAAUUUCCUCUUUCACGAACUCCCAACAGAACUGCCAAAAGGCCACUGUGAACCCAUCCGGGCCUGGGGCCUUAUCACCAUUCAUCCCCAUCAGAGCCAAGUGAAUCUCUGCCUCAGUAAAAAGCUGCUCCAAACCUUCAGCUUCAGCAUGGUUUAANNNNNNNNNNNNNNNNNNNNNNNNNNNNNNNNNNNNNNNNNNNNNNNNNNNNNNNNNNNNNNNNNNNNNNNNNNNNNNNNNNNNNNNNNNNNNNNNNNNNNNNNNNNNNNNNNNNNNNNNNNNNNNNNNNNNNNNNNNNNNNNNNNNNNNNNNNNNNNNNNNNNNNNNNNNNNNNNNNNNNNNNNNNNNNNNNNNNNNNNNNNNNNNNNNNNNNNNNNNNNNNNNNNNNNNNNNNNNNNNNNNNNNNNNNNNNNNNNNNNNNNNNNNNNNNNNNNNNNNNNNNNNNNNNNNNNNNNNNNNNNNNNNNNNNNNNNNNNNNNNNNNNNNNNNNNNNNNNNNNNNNNNNNNNNNNNNNNNNNNNNNNNNNNNNNNNNNNNNNNNNNNNNNNNNNNNNNNNNNNNNNNNNNNNNNNNNNNNNNNNNNNNNNNNNNNNNNNNNNNNNNNNNNNNNNNNNNNNNNNNNNNNNNNNNNNNNNNNNNNNNNNNNNNNNNNNNNNNNNNNNNNNNNNNNNNNNNNNNNNNNNNNNNNNNNNNNNNNNNNNNNNNNNNNNNNNNNNNNNNNNNNNNNNNNNNNNNNNNNNNNNNNNNNNNNNNNNNNNNNNNNNNNNNNNNNNNNNNNNNNNNNNNNNNNNNNNNNNNNNNNNNNNNNNNNNNNNNNNNNNNNNNNNNNNNNNNNNNNNNNNNNNNNNNNNNNNNNNNNNNNNNNNNNNNNNNNNNNNNNNNNNNNNNNNNNNNNNNNNNNNNNNNNNNNNNNNNNNNNNNNNNNNNNNNNNNNNNNNNNNNNNNNNNNNNNNNNNNNNNNNNNNNNNNNNNNNNNNNNNNNNNNNNNNNNNNNNNNNNNNNNNNNNNNNNNNNNNNNNNNNNNNNNNNNNNNNNNNNNNNNNNNNNNNNNNNNNNNNNNNNNNNNNNNNNNNNNNNNNNNNNNNNNNNNNNNNNNNNNNNNNNNNNNNNNNNNNNNNNNNNNNNNNNNNNNNNNNNNNNNNNNNNNNNNNNNNNNNNNNNNNNNNNNNNNNNNNNNNNNNNNNNNNNNNNNNNNNNNNNNNNNNNNNNNNNNNNNNNNNNNNNNNNNNNNNNNNNNNNNNNNNNNNNNNNNNNNNNNNNNNNNNNNNNNNNNNNNNNNNNNNNNNNNNNNNNNNNNNNNNNNNNNNNNNNNNNNNNNNNNNNNNNNNNNNNNNNNNNNNNNNNNNNNNNNNNNNNNNNNNNNNNNNNNNNNNNNNNNNNNNNNNNNNNNNNNNNNNNNNNNNNNNNNNNNNNNNNNNNNNNNNNNNNNNNNNNNNNNNNNNNNNNNNNNNNNNNNNNNNNNNNNNNNNNNNNNNNNNNNNNNNNNNNNNNNNNNNNNNNNNNNNNNNNNNNNNNNNNNNNNNNNNNNNNNNNNNNNNNNNNNNNNNNNNNNNNNNNNNNNNNNNNNNNNNNNNNNNNNNNNNNNNNNNNNNNNNNNNNNNNNNNNNNNNNNNNNNNNNNNNNNNNNNNNNNNNNNNNNNNNNNNNNNNNNNNNNNNNNNNNNNNNNNNNNNNNNNNNNNNNNNNNNNNNNNNNNNNNNNNNNNNNNNNNNNNNNNNNNNNNNNNNNNNNNNNNNNNNNNNNNNNNNNNNNNNNNNNNNNNNNNNNNNNNNNNNNNNNNNNNNNNNNNNNNNNNNNNAAUGUGAUCUUGCCUCGCUUCACAAAAUAUGAUCGUAUCAUCAGCAAAAAGUAAAUGGGACACAUUUAUCUCCAUUCCCCCCUCCCUUGGAUGUUACAACCUGAAGUGAAGCCCCCAUCAACAGACUUUCUCAACAUAGCGCUUAGAACUUCCAUACCCAGCACAAAGAGGUAGGGGGAGAGUGGAUCUCCUUGGCGUAACCCCCUAGAGUUGGAGAAAUAACCAGCCGGCACCCCAUUGACCAAAAUAGAAAAGCUUGCCGUUGAGAUACACCACCAAAUCCAUUUCAUCCACCGGUCCCCAAAGCCCAUCUUCCGCAUGACCUUCAUGAGGAAGUUCCAAUUAAUACUAUCAUAGGCUUUUUCGAUAUCCAGUUUACAUAUCAUCCCUUUCUCCUUGCGUUUAAGCCAAUAGUCAAUUACCUCAUUGGCUAUGAGUGAGGCAUCUAAAAUCUGUCUUCCCUUCACAAAGGCAUUUUGGUUCGGCGAAACCACCUUGUCUAGCACCUCCUUAAUUCUGUUGGACAGCACUUUAGCCAAGAGCUUAUACACACCCCCAAGCAGGCUGAUGGGUCUGAAAUCCCCCAAGUCCUCAACCCCCCCUUUCUUAGGAAUGAGGACAAGAAAAGUAGAGUUAAGGCUCUUGGCAAACGACUUGUCUUCAUAAAACUCCUUGAACACGUCCACAAUUUCCUCUUUCACGAACUCCCAACAGAACUACCAAAAGGCCACUGUGAACCCAUCCGGGCCUGGGGCCUUAUCACCAUUCAUCCCCAUUAGAGCCAAAUGAAUCUCUGCCUCAGUAAAUGGCUGCUCCAAACCUUCAGCUUCAGCAUGGUUUAAACUUUUAAGCUACAACCCUUCUAUAUCAGAUUUCCAAGAUUGGUCCUCUAACAACAACUGUUGAAAGGCAUUCACAACCCCCUCUCUCACCUCCCUCUCCUCCUCCAGCCACCUCCCAUUGAUUUUAAUCUUGUCCAUAGAGUUAUUUCUUCUAUGAGCAUUAGCCAUCCGGUGAAAGAAACCCGUAUUCUUAUCACCUUCCCUCAGCCACAACUCCCUAGAAGAUUGUCUCCAAUGCGUUUCUUCCAUAAGAACCCAAUUUUUGAAGGCCUCCUUAGCCUCUGUUUUCAGCUCUGACUCCCUUUCAGUUAGACUCCUGUCACUCUCCACCAUAUCCCAAAAUGCUACUUGUUGCAAGGCUAGAUUUUUGUUGACUUCCAACCUACCAAACACAUCCCUGUUCCAAGAUUUGAUUUUAUCCUUCAGAAACUUCAAUUUUGAAGCCACUCUGAAACUAGCCCUCCCCCUCCCCCCCGCCUCCUGCCACCAUCCCCGAAGGAGAUCCUUAAAUCCCUCAACUUUGAGCCACAUGUUUUCAAACCUAAAAGGGGAGGGGCCCUUUCUUAAUCCCCCACCUUUCAGUAAAAUGGGGAAAUGGUCAAAAACGGGUCUGGGCAGCCUGCACUGAAGGACCCCACUGAAACAGUCCAGCCAAUCUUGGGUCACUAAAAACCGGUCCAGUCUAGCCCAAGCUUGGUUAUUCUUUCCCCUACUCCAGGAAGCCACCCCCCCAUGCAAAGGCAUAUCCAAAAGCUCUAACUCAUCCGUCACCUGGGCAAAUCUUCUCAUGGCGCCAGUCAGCCUCCCCUGAUUACUCCUUUCCCCAAGGUUUAGAGUGACGUUAAAAUCACCCCCAACACACCAAAGGUCAUCCCAGAUUCCCCUAAUCGCCCCAAGCUCCCCCCAUAAGGUGUCCUUGUCUUCUUUGGAAAACGGCCCAUACACACCCAUAAAAAUCCAGGUCUUCCCAUCCUCAACAUUCCUAAUUCUGCAAGAAAUUGUGAAUUGACCCAUUUCCAUCUCAAGGAUUUCCAAGGUUCUUUUGUCCUAGCAAAUUAGAAUCCCUCCUGCGGCUCCCUGAGCAUCCAAAGCACCCCAAUCCAGGAACCUCCCUGACCCCAAACUCCUCACCAUACCCUCAUUCAUGGAUUGAAUUUUCGUUUCCUGGAUACAAAACAAAUCAACUUUCUACUUUCUAAUCAAAGCUUUAAUCACUUUCCUCUUGGAGCUAUCAUUGACCUCGCGUACAUUCCAGCUCAAGAGCCUUAUUUUCAUUGGACUUCCAUAAUUUGGCACCCUCUUCCUUGCACAGUACCCUUUCUCUUCUUUCCCCCCUCAUAGUUGACUGAGCAUUCAAGUCUUCUCAAUUCUCUUUCAAAUUUCGAUUUCUCCAACAUAGCUUUGCUGUGAAUUCUUUCUCUUCUCUUCCUCAUUUUAACCAUGAACUCCAGAAUGUCUUUCUCUAAUCCCUCUGUCGAGAAUCCCAGGAAUUGACUGAACCUAGUCAAAUCACUUUCUUCCCAUCUUUCUUCCACCCAUGCACCCUCUUCUUGAGAAAUAGGUCGGGCUAGGCACAGAGCCUUUCUAUCAUCCUCCAUGCUAUCGUUACUGAUCUUUACCAAGUCCCAACACUUCCCCACUAACUGCUCUGAAUGCCCAAUUUCCUUGCAACAACAAUCCCCCUUGGUUGACUCCACAAAAAGCCCAGAACGGUCGAAAGACUCCUUUCUUGGAGUCCGACCAAAAGAAGAAAAGAAAGGAGAAGAAGGGUCCAGAGCCACCAUUCCAGAGGGGGACGGAACAUUAACAUACCUUGCGUCUUCCUCCAACAAAGCACUAUCGGUCCUGGAGAUCCCCCCCCACUGUGUCUCAACUCCACGUCGUAGCCCCCACUGAUCAUCCUUCCCCCAACAAUUAGAGAUAUCCACGUCUGGGCCCCUCAACGGGCUUCGAAUGCGCUCCACAGCAGAGGAACCCUUCUCCGUCUGGGCCUUAGAAGAACCAGGAGGAGAUGGACUUUGAGAUGCAGGCCCAUCCCCUCUAAGCAAACACAAAGGCCCGACCUUUUCCUUGGGCUUCCCAUUCCCAUUCCCAUAAAACACCAGCCCAGGCGGACUUGGCCCAGUGGAAAUAUAAGCCUUAGGCCCUCUAGAAGAUGUUGCUUGGCCUAACAAUCCCAGCCCACCCGAUGCAUGGGGUCCGCCUGGAGGCCCGUCUUCGCUCCGCUUUGGAUCCGAGGACUGACCCGACCCACUGGACUGACGUUGCGUCCCAUCCGCAAUCAGCAGGCAGUCCCCGAGCCUUGAGUCCUCCAUCACCCCCAACACGCGCACCCCCGCGCGUGCACUCACGUCACCCCCUUCCUUCGCAACUGUCACGAUGACCUUCCCUCUCUUUUCAGUCGCCGGAAAUUUGAUGACUGGCCUGAUUUCCCACCAUAAGUUUACCGCAUAACAAAACCCAUCAACCCAAACCUCCACUAGGCUGGGAGGAGACUCGCCGUUCCGCUUCACCAAGAGGCGUGCCCACUGUAAUUCCUCCAUGUUUUCCGUUUGCUGAUCAAUCGCAAGGAGACCCCCACACGCCUCCCCAAUCUUCCUCAGAAUAUCCCAUUCCCACAAGGAUACAGGUAGCCCUACUACCCGUACCCAAGCUUCAUUGCUCCUUUCUCCUUUCAAGCAACCCGUCUCCGGACUCCACUUCUCUAAACGGAGAGCUACCCCCCCCCCCCCCCCCCCCCAAAAAAAAGGCUCCCCAAUUUAAAGGGUGGGUAGCCUCUGGGGGGGGUUUAAAAACAAUUUAAAACUUUACCCUUUUCUUUUUUAGACGGCCCAAAUUUCCUUUUUAACCCCAAAAUUUUGGCAAAUGGGGAACCCCACCCCUGGAAAUGGUCCCCUUUCCUGGAUUUGGGUUUCAAAUUCCAAAAAAAAAAGGGGGCAAUUUGGGAAAAUUUCUCCCCCCCCNNNNNNNNNNNNNNNNNNNNNNNNNNNNNNNNNNNNNNNNNNNNNNNNNNNNNNNNNNNNNNNNNNNNNNNNNNNNNNNNNNNNNNNNNNNNNNNNNNNNCCCCCCCCAAGCAAAAUGCUUCCCAUCUUAGAGGCUUGCUCAGCCUCUGCCGGGAUCUCAAACUCCAUUAAAACCUUACCCCUCUCCAUUUUAGCCAGCCCUAAAUUCCCUUUUAACCUCCAGAUUCUCGCUAACUGGGAUCCCCACCCUCUGAGAUCGUCCCCCUUCGCUGCAUUGUGAUUCCAAGUCCCAACAAUACAGUGGCCAAGUUUGGAUAAAUUCCUCCCCACCUCCUCCUUGGUAACAUCUACCCUAACUGCUUCUCUCUCCUUUUCCUUCGCCACUUUGGUCGCUUCCACAUAUGACUUCACCAUAUUCGGCUUCGACCGAGACACAUCUACCUUCUGGUUAUUAGGGUAACUUUCUUCGCAACCCAAGCUCCGCAAUAUGUCCACCAUUGAAGCCCAUCCGCCCUUUACUCCUCUUCCUUUGGGAAUAAAGACGCUAAACCUCUUUCUCUCCAAAUCCGCAACCCCCAAACGGAGAAAGCAGCCCCCUCUGUUGUAGUCGCGCUACAGAGAGUACAUCCUCCCAUUCUCCUUCCACUCUCUUACCCACUUACCCAUUCUUCCGUCCUCAAUACUCAGAUUCANNNNNNNNNNNNNNNNNNNNNNNNNNNNNNNNNNNNNNNNNNNNNNNNNNNNNNNNNNNNNNNNNNNNNNNNNNNNNNNNNNNNNNNNNNNNNNNNNNNNACCCAUUCUUCCGUCCUCAAUACUCAGAUUCAGACAUUCAAAGACUAUCCCGAGGCUCACCGGACCUAGUCUGACCCAUGACGAGAUCCCACCUUUCCUUUCCACAAUCGUGGCAUGCAAUCUGCCUCUCCUCUCCUCCACCUCGACCUCGAACCUUUUCGAUUCCACGCCGAAACCACCCCUCUUAACAUUCUUCCCAGACCUCACAUGGCUCUCGCCUUCUACAAUUUCCGUCGAACCCUCAUCGCCACCGCUCUCUCUCUCGCGAUCUUUCUCUCUCUAACCCUCUCUCUCUCCUCCAUUAUAUGAAAUUUAAAUAAUUUAUGGGACUAAUUUGAAAUUGGAAUUUGGGUUUAAAUAUUUGUUUGGGAUUUUGCACAUCUUUGGAUAUUUACAUUUGUACUAUCUUUGUUUUUUUCAUAGACCCAUUCUGCAAUUUUGUUGACUGGGUACGAAUUGAUGAUACGUGGAGCUUGUGGGACCCAUUCUACAAUCUUGUUGGCUGGGUACGAACUGAUGACACGUGGAGUUUGUGGUAAGUUUAUUUUGACACAUAUUUUAUUUCUCACUUUUAUUUGGUUUUAUUUUUAUUAGUUCUUGUAAAUAUUUGUUUGUAUAUAUUUAUCGACUGUGUACAGAAUUGAACAUCGAACAAACUAUAAAUUUUGUUUAAGUGAGAGGAAGAAUUCAGUAAAUGUGUUUUGAUAAAACAAUAAUUUUAAAAUAUUAUUUUUAAUAAAAGAAAGUUUUUUUAUUGUUAUUUAUAAAAAUUCAGAAAAAUCCAAAAGAAUUGUUUUUAAUAGAAUUUGAAAAAUUGUUUUUAAUAACAUUGUCCAAAAAUUUAUUUGCUUAAUAAAAAUUGUUCAAAAAUUGUUUUGUAAUUAAAGUUGUCCCAGAAAUUAAUUUUUAAUAAAAUUGUCCAAAAAUAUUCUUUUAAAUGAAUUCCUUUUCCUUAAUUAAAAUGAGAUUAAAAGUAUUUUGAGAAAUAGAGGAUUUAAUUUUUUGUAUUUUGUUUAUUUAUUUAUUUAAAUGAAAAUGAAUCAAGAUACUUUUGUAAAUAAAAUUGUAAAAAUUCAUUAUUAAUCUUUGUGCCCAAAUUGAAAUUUUGUAAUAAAUUUUAUUGAUACCAUAAAUGUAAAUAACUUUUCUUGAAAGUUAAAUACAAAUCAAAUCAAAUCAAAUCAAAUCACUUGAAGAAAAUGUUUUUGCAAAUAAAUAAAUUGAAAUCAUCCAUUCAAAAUUGUUUUUUUAAAUAAAAUCCUUCGAAAUUUUCAGACAGUUAAUUUUAUUUAUUUAUUUAUUAUUAUUAUUAUUAUUAUUAUUUUAAUAUUUUUUUAUUAGUUCAAUAAAUCAAUUUGCAUAAUUCUAUUAUCAUUUGUUUUGUACAUUCUUGUCAUUUUAUUUUGUUAUCACCUUUGUGUAUAUUGAUUUAUGUUAUUAAUUUCGGCAUCCAUGAUUAAUUAGUUAAUUGUCAUAAUUCCCUCAAUUAGUUUAGUAGAAACCGUAUGUAUAUGGGCUUAGAAGGGUGCUACGGCUCACCACCGUACCUUCCCAAUAGGUAACCUGACCCCCGAACCCAAACUCAAUUUUCUACAGACCUGUUCUUUUUUCCUUCAAGAGUUACACUUAGGGGGUGUUUGGUACACGGGAAUAGGGAGUGGGAAUAGACAUCUCAUUCCUUUUCUCCCUUAUUCCUAUGUUUGGAUAAAUGUUAAGAAAGGCGGAAAUGAAAUAAAAAAUUAUUCUGGCAGAAAUCAAAUCCAACUUAUGAGUCGGAUUUGCAUUCAUUAAAAGUAGGUGGUAUUCUGAUUCAUUAAACCUAUUUGAUAAUAUAAAAUAACUUAAAUUACUAUUUUACCCUCUUAUCUUGUUCUUCAAACCCGAUGUUUAUCUUCUUUGUAAAGGUAGAGAUCCAUUCAUCAUCCACUUCUUAUCUUCUUUGCAAAGCUAGAGACCCACUCAUCAUCCAAUUCUCUGCAACAAGUGAUUCUUCCAAAUUGAAUCAAUUAAACCUUCCAUAAUAUUUGAAAAAAAAAAAUCAAUUUCUAAUUUAUAGGGUUUUGGAUGUUCAUUUUGAUUGUUGGAUCUAGGAUUCGUCAUUGUUUGCUGCAACUAGGUUCUGAAAACUCCCUUCUACAUCUUCGAUCAGGUUUACCUUAUUUUCUCUUUCUUAUUCUACUUCUUUAUAUGUGUUUCUUCUUCUCUAUAAAUCGAUUAAUUUUUUUUUAUUAAUUUACGUUUGGAAUCUUUGAUGUUUCUUUAUCUUGUAUUAAUGGAAACUAGAGAGAAAAAUUGAAAUGGUUGGAAAAAGAUUUUUUGAUUCCACGUGUUUACAAUAUUGAAAAUUUUUAAUGGUUAGGAAAAAAAUAAAAAGAAAAAAACAAGCAAAAACAAAACUUUUGGUUUUUUUUUUCCCCUUUGUUUAUUAUUAUCGGCGUCUUCCUUUCCUAGUUAAAUAAAAAGAUUCUAUAGCUUUUUUUGCAUGACAAAUUAUUUAAAAUUUUGAUAAAAAAAUACAAUAUUUAAAAUAUUUUAAGGUUAUGGAUUUUAUCAGAUAUGAUACUUGUUGAAAAUUAUAAUAAAUUUGAAUUCUUUUAUUUCCUCUUUUGAAAAUAGGAAAAACAUUUGCUAGCUUUGAGAAUUUAAAUAUUAUAAUAAAUAAUUUUUUUUUGAAAAAUAUAAUUUUAUAACUACUUAAGCAUGACAAAUUAUUCAAUUUUUUAAUAAAAAUAAUAAUUGAAUAUUUGUGCAUUAGGGUUAUACGAUUUUUUAUGGUUAAUUUUUUAUUUAUUGAGUAUAUAUAUAUUUUUUAGUCUUAUUAUUUAAUAACAAAAAACCUCUCAAAUUUUAUUUUUUUAAAAUAAAAGUAAAAAUAAAAAAAUAUUUUAAAUUAUAUGUAAGGAUAUUAUUGUAAAUUUAUUUCUUUUUCAUUUCCAUUCCUAUUAUUAUCAAACAUUGGAAUGGAAACAAAUAAUCAUUCUAAUCUUGCAUUCCUAAGUUCAUCCAAAUACUAGAAAUAGAAUCAUCAAAUUCAUUCCAUUCCACUAAGAAAUAGGAAAGGAAACAAAAUAUUAUUUCUAUUCCCUAUUCCGACGUACCAAACACCCCCUUAGGGUUUUUAUUUCUUAUUUUGUUUUUCCCUUUUAAAAAAAAGAAUAAAAUAAGUGGCGACUCCAAGUCUUUUUCUAAAAAUCAAAUUUUCACUAAACAAAAAAAAAAAAAAAGCGAGUCACGUCGUCGAGUGGGAACGCACGUGAAAAUGCGGGGUCCAUAACCAUAUUUAUCAUCUAAAUUAUGUGCUUCUUGAAUAGUAAUUACAUGUUACACAAGAUAGAAUCAUGUUAACAUAUUAAACGGAUUAGAAUCAUGCUAUCUGGUUUAACGAAUGUUAAUAAGUAUAAUAGGUUAGAAUCGAAUUAACGGGGGUUACCUAUGUUAAUUCAUAUAAAGGUCAACUUAGCCUAUUUAUUAAAUUAGUUAUGUUUAUAUCAAGUUAUUUUAACAUGAUGUUUAAACAAACCAUAUUCCAUUUGAGUAAAUUUUCACUAGUUUUUAUCUUGACAUAAUACAAAUCCAACAUAAUAUGACCCAUUAUCACCCUAAUUAAGGAGCAUAUGAGUGUUGCAUUAAGGAAGUGGAAGAAGAGCAUAGAUACUAAUGAUAUCAAAUUUUAGGGAGUGGAAGCAUUUAAUCAAGUAAUGUUGUGCAACUUUUUUUUCAUAAGUAGUGGAUUAUUCAAUUGUCAAGAGACCAACCAUAAUUUUUUUUACACCUAGGGAUUUCUAGGUGGUUUCCACAUUAAAUUCUAUGUUGAAUUGUGUAAUUGGAAAUCUCAUGCAUGAGAUUGAUAAGAUAUUGAUGAUAAUUGAGUUGGAAUAAAAUAAUUUAACUUUGAGGGGUUAAUUGCUUGGACUACCUAUUUACCCCUCCUGUAAGAAGUUCCAUAUCAACAAAAAAGUUCUUUCAAUAUGUAUAUAGAUAUUUUAUAUUUUCUAAUUUUAAAUUUAUUUUUAAAUUGGGAAAUUGAGUGGGGAAAUAGUUGGCUCAAUUUUCAAGUUUGGAAACAAAAUUUGUUGUUAACAUGUUAUUUUACCUUAUUUUAUACAUUUUUUUUAAUAAAAAUAUAUAAUCAAGUGCUCUUGUAUGAUUGAUUUAGAUGUUAGCAAAGGUUACAAUCAUUAAUUCUAUUAAUUGACCAACAAUUUUUUAUAAACUUUAAGUUGCUAGCAUUCAUAUAUCAUCCUAAAAUUAUUAAUUAUAAUUUUAUUUAAGUUGAACCACAAAUCUUGGGUAAAUGAAGAAAAAUUCGUUAACAAGAUACUUGUUUAUAUUGGAAGUUUUUAGUUUGAUUUGUUGUUGUUGAAUUCAAAUUCUUAGAAGAUAGCUUUGAGGACUAGCUAGUUGCCUUGGUUUUUGUUAUAUGUUUGAUUUUUAUAUUGUUUUCAGACAUGAUGUGUAAAAUGGAUUAAUGGUAAUGAUGUUGAAACAUGGCUAAUACUAUUAGACCAAUGUUGAAGAGAGUGCCUUUGGCGGGCUGCAUCUGGAGCAAGCUCCAUGACAAGCUCCAUUUACUACAAAGUAUUGCUUCACAACCUAUUUGUAUAUUAUAAAGUUGUGAGUACAAUUAUUAAAGUUGUAUAAACAAGUGGCAAUCUUGAUAUGUCAGAAUGACACCAUUCGAAAAUUAUAUAAAUUUUAGUAGGUUCAAGUAAGGUGUAAUUAUAUCAUAGUAAUAAUCAUGUUAACUUGCAUAACUCAUUUAAAUUAUUGAAAUGCAUUUAUGAGAGGCAUUUGCAUUGCCUAAUUAUAGUUCUUAUUAGAGAAUGAGUUAUUAUCAAUUUCAUGGAACAAAACUUUCAUUAGUCAGUAUAAUUUGAAAGUGAAAUCUUACUCAUAAAAUUUUUCAAUUAAAUUUAAAAGUUAAAAUUAUAAAGUAGAGAGUUAAAAGAACCAUUGAGCAUAGUUUAAAAUUUGAAUAUAAUGUGUUUAUUGUUGUAAUUCAAGCCCAAUAUUUAUUAUUUAUUAUUAAAAAUAUAAUUUUAUAUCUAAUUUUUAUAUUUAAGAUAAUUUAGCACAUUUGAACAAUGCUUUGAGAAUAAGAUUGGAGCAUCUAAUUUGACUAAUUUGAUAGCAAAUCAAACUAAUCCAAUCUUAUUUUUCAUAUUUAUCCACCUUCAAUUCUAAGAUAAACAUGAACAAAAGUCUUUAUAUGAUUAUAACAAAAUAAACACUAAAAUAAUGAGUUUAACAUUAAAUAAUAAAAAUUUUAUUUCAGUCUUCAACAUAUUGUUAUAUAAGUUAUAUAUAUGUUAGUAAAAUAAGAAAUGUUAAUAUAUUUAAAAUAUUAAAUAAUAAAAUCACAAUUUUUUGUUAUUAUUAAUAUUUAAUUAAUAAAUUCUAAUUAAAUCUAAAAUAAAAACUUUACACAAAUUAGUAUAAAACCAAAUAUGAUCACCAUAAACCAACCCCUAUAAAAAGAAUUAAAUAUAUAAAAGUCAAAGUAAAUAAAUGAGAAUUAAUGUUAAAAGAUAUAAACAAGAAAAAAAAAUUCAUUGUCUAGUAGUUUAAUUAUUUAUAUAAUUUUAACUUCAUGUAUUAUUUUAAAUUUUAAUAAUAUAUGAAUUAUAUAUGCAUAUUGUCAUGUUGAUAUCAUGUUUCAAUUACUUGAACCAUCAUUUCAAUUAAGAAAGUCUAAUGCAAUAAUUUUUCAAUUCAAUAACUAAUUAAUAAGAUUUUCAAAAUAUUGUAUUUGAAAACUCAUCACAAAAAAUGAAUAUAAAAGAUCAUGAAGUUCUUGCAAAGAAAAUUGACUUCACUUAAAUAUGAAACCCCAAACCUUAAUUUCUUCAAUAAUACUAAUCAAAAUUCUUAUGUUUAAGCAUAUUAGGAGAGAACCAAUAAUCUCAUCCGCAAAUCAAGCAUAGUCAAUAAUCAAUUCUUAUGUUUAGGAGUAAUAUAUAUAUAUAUACCUUGUGUAGUUGAUGUAUCUUUUGAAAAGUCAUGUAUAUAUUUAAAUGUUGUAAUAUAUAUCUUGAAUAAUAUACUUUUGACCAUUCAUUCAUUCAUCCAUUCAUCUUAUACUCUUGUAAAUAAAAGUGACUUCAUGAAAAUAUAUAUGAAAACCUCAAACCUUAACUUCUUCGAUAAUGCCUAUUAAAAUUUUUGCAAUUGAAGGUUGUGUAACUGAGAAUGAUAAUGAUGUAAGGUUUAGAACUGGUCACUCCUAACCAAACUUAUUCUUAUACAAAUUCCCAUCUUCAUCUAAGUCUAGGAGUUAACUUUUCUAUUUUAAGAAAAUUAAUUAUUUUUAUUUUACAUGUAUUAAAAAAGGUAAAAUAAAAAAAAAAAAACAUUAAGAUUGAGCUAUAUGAUCAAUCUCUGUCAAACCUGAAUCAAUCACAAUAUAUAUGUAAGAAGAUAAUUUAAAAAUGUGUUUGAUAAUGUUUUAUUUUGAAGUGUUUUUAAUUUUAAUGAAAGAAUUUUUUAAAAAAAAUUAACUUUAAGAGAAGCAUUUAUUAAAUAUUUUUUUUUUCAAAAAGCACCAUAAAUGAUUUUUUUAUUUGUUUAAAACUAUUUAUUAAAUUUUAUUAAAUACUUAAUUUUUCUUUAAAAAUAUUUUUUAAGGUAGAAGUGCUUUUUUAAAAACAAUAUCAAAUGGACGUAAGUCUUAACAUAAAAUCCCAAAUCUACCCUUGAUUUAAUUAUACUUUUCAAAUCCAUCCUAUGAGCCUAGGCAUCCUUGAAAUACCCACCCCUAUUAUAAUACAAAAGCAAACCACCACUAAAGAUAUUUAAACAACAUUUUAAGGACAAUCGGAACAUAUCAAUGAGUCUUUGUCUCAUAAUACAAAUUUCGUUAUGUUCACAUGUAGAAACGGACAAAUGAUACGUAAAAACUAAAAAUCAUAUACAAUAGAAAGCUUGGAAUCAGGGAAGAGAGUAGAAAGUUACGAAGUGGUGGAGCCUUGGUAAAAUAAAAUUAACGGCAUUAUCAUGUGCGUGUCCCAUCGUUGGAUGGACCAAAUUUUGCUUCUCCCAAAGCUCUUUAAAUAUUAUAAUUAGAGUCCACUUGAUGCUUAGAAAAAUACAUUUGCAAGUGAUCUCCAUCUGUCAAUCAAUUAAUCUAUACAAUAUUAAAAAUUCACUUGUAGUUGAUUUAAGAAAAUCACUUUGUUGGUGGUGGCCUGUCUCCGAUGUUACCCAAGUUUCAACUCUGGACUUUUCAAAUUAACAAAGUGCAGUGAUUCAUCUUUCUUCUUUGUUCCAUCUUUGGCUGAAUUGUAAUCCUUUUGUCUGUAACUUACGGAAAGCUAUGGAGUUCCUGAGCUCAAUCGUGGGUCUGGUCCCCUGCUUCUAUGAUCACACCUCUAAGCAUACCGUCUACAUUCGUGAUCUGAAGAAAAAUCUCCAAGCCUUGAGCAAGGAAAUGGUGGAUCUCAACAACUUGUAUGAAGAUGUGAAGGAAAGGGUUGAAGGUGCAGAGCAACGACAGAUGAAGCGCAGAAAGGAAGUGGGUGGUGUUGAUGCCUCGCGUCCCUGACGAUCCACGCAGUUGCUGAAUGGAUGGACACGCGAUCUCAACCCACAAAGGUUCUUGAUUCAGUCGUUAUACCUGCAAAAGACAUCCGGACAGGGUGUCCGGACGCACCCUCCGAUGGUUUUGUUAGCCAUGGUUAGAGAGGGAGAUAUAAAUCAGUUGGCCUUUUACUAGGUAUCAGGAGAUUACCUUCCUCUUCGUGUGAAGGUUUAUAUAUAGUGUCAGGAGUACUGUUCCUCACAUUAAUGGUGAGGAGAUAUUUUAUGUUUGUCAUGAUGACAUUCGGAGGCAGCAUGGUCAUCGCCACCCUACUGGCGGCUGUCAGAAACCGUGGUAGGUGAUGCGGCUGUCAGAGAUCGUGGGAAGUGAUCAUGUAGAAUGAUCGUGGGAAGUGACUUGUUGUCACCUCAACCCGUCCUUUCACUCUGCAGGUGAUGGGACGUGGGCCAUGGAUGGUUGUCGUGAUAGCAUGUAAGACUCGCUAUACUUUAGUCAAUGAUCCGGACAAUCAUAUCCGGAUAGCCCAUGUUGGUUAUCCGGAUGUAUUCUGGAGCGGACGCAUUGAUGGAAGACGUCCGGAUGUCUAUGUUUUGUAAGCGUCGUUUGCCCUCCCUUGAGGCAGUCCGGAUGGGAAAAGCGCGUCAUGUGUGCUUUAUAGGAAGAUCUGGAUGAGGGUGACCCGGAUGACAAUGUGUGCCACGUGUCACUGUAAGAUGCGUGCCACGUGUCACUGCAAGAUGCGUGCCAUGUGUUCUCGGAGGGAGGGGUCCCUACAAUGCCCCACUUUUUAACUUGCCUAUUUUGCCUUAGAAAAAAUGGGCGGGUUAAAAAAUAAUUGGUUUUUGAAACCGAAGUCGACUUUUGGUCUGGUUGGGCCACGUGGCGAGUGGGGGUGCGGGAGCCAAAAAGGCAUUUAUGAUGAGCCGCAGACUCUGGGUAUUCCCAGGCAACAUGUCAUUUCAAUGAUGGCGUUGUUUGGGCGUUUGGUUUUCCGAGGGGCUGUCCCCCUAUAAAUAGCAGACUGUGCCUUCUGUUUGUAUUUUUCCUACUGCGUUUCUUCUGAGAGUUUUUGCUUCUUCUUCCUUCUGUGCUUUCCUUUGCUUUUCUGAGUACAAAACCCUGGAGUUUUUUUCUGCCGGUGAUUUUGUGUCGCGACAGCAACCUUUCUUCUCCACAUUUCCAUUUGGUAUGUGCAUUUUGCUCUUAUUUUCCCUUUGUUGUGCUUGUUUGUUCAUUGGCUUGAUUUCUGACUUGCUUUGGGCAAAUCACUUGCAACUGUGUGUUGAAUGUUGGUGUUUGUUGAUUUUCUGGAUUGCUGUGUGUAACUGUUGCGCUUUUUUGUAUGUAGGUUUCGGUAAAACUUGGGCUAAAAAAUGUCUUCGAAGCAAAAAGCUACUUCAUCUGUCCGCGCCGGCGACGCUUAUGGGAAAUCUACAGACAAACUGAGCGUAAAGGAGUUCCGGGAUCGAUUCUGCAUUCCAAAUGGCGUAAUUGUGGAAUUUUUGAAUGGGGAGGAUGUCGUACCUACUGAGAAAGUUGAACAAGGUACCGUCAUCUUCUCCAAGGAACAAUUCAACGCGGGGCUCCGGUUCCCUCUGCCGGCGUUGUUCAAGGAAUUCCUCCAUUUCACCCAGAUUCCACCCGUCUUCAUUCAUCCCAAUAUCGUCCGGGUGCUGAUGGGAUGCAGCAUCAUAAACAUGCUGUACAACCUCGACCUCACGGUGCUGGAGGUGUUUUUUGUCUAUUCGCUGAAGAAGGUGAAAACUGACAUCUUCAGCAUGUCCGCGCACCUGCCCUCCCUUCAAUUGGUGACGGAACUGCCAGACUCGACGAAGGGAGGGGCGAAGGGACACGUGGCGGUCCAGGGUGCAUGGGCGGGGUCAUCAGGGCGUCCGGGGAGGCCCUUCUCUCCAAACUACUCUUUAGCGAUUCCGGGUAAGUUUGCUUUGCGACUUUUGUCCGGAUUUUUACCUUGUUGUCUUUUUGUUGAUCUUUUCGGAUGGUAUUCUCAACCUUUGUUGCUGUCAAUGUAGGUCCGGAAAAAAGGGGCCACCUUGUGGACUGGGUGGAGAAGGAGUCCUUUGCCUGUCUCAGUAAGUUAUUUGAGAUAGACGCCAAGGAGAGGCACUACAAGACGCUGCUUACUGCGCAGAACCUGAUGGCGGUCGUCCGGGUGUGGUUCGGUAGGCCCAUAGGACGCCGGGUAGCUCCUCGACCCACUUCCCUUUGGCUUGUUCAAGCCUUUUCUUUAGGGCGGUGAUUAGGGUCUUGUUGGUGGCUUCUGCUUGCCCAUUACUUUGAGGAUAUCGCGGCGUGGAGUAUGAAUUCCGGAUGUUCAGUUCCGAACAGAAUUUCCUGAAGAUGAUGCUGUCAAAUUGUGGACCAUUGUCAGCUAUGAUGGUUUGGGGGAUUCCAAAACGGCAAACAAUGUUUUUCCAUACGAACUUGGUGACAUUUUUGUCUUUGAUGCUAGCAUAUGCUUCAGCUUCCACCCAUUUACUGAAAUAGUCUGUGGCAACGAGCAAAAAUUUCUUUUGGGCAGGUACAGCUGGGAGAGGUCCCACUAUGUCCAUGCCCCAUUGUGCGAAGGGCCAUGGGCCUGAGAUUGAUUUUAAUGUUGCUGAUGGCAUAUGUGGAAUGGGAGCAUACCUUUGACAUUUAUCACAUUUUUUGACAUAGGCUGCCCCAUCCUUCUUCAUUGUUGGCCAAUAAUAUCCUUGUGAAUGGGCUCGAUGUGCCAGAGAUCGUCCUCCUGAAUGAUUCCCGCAUAUUCCCUUAUGCAACUCAGUUAACACAUACUGGGCCUCUGAAUGCCCUAGGCACCGAAGGUAAGGUCCUGUGAAGGACCGCUUGUACAGGUGCCCCCCAAUCAGGGUGAAACGGGCAACUUGCACCCGGCCUUUGUGUGCCUGUUUGAGAUCUCCGGGUAGAGUGCCUGUCCGGAUAUAUUCUGCGAUGUCAUACGUCCAUUCUUGGUCGUCCGCUUGGGAUGCCUCAAUGGUACUGCAGGUGGAAAUUUCUGCGAUAGAGGGGUUGGGUUGCACAUGUAUAGGCAAUAGAAUAGCUUCUUUGAUGGGAAGGGAAGCAGCUAUUCCAGCUAAGGCGUCAGCGCGCCCAUUAUCAGUUCGCUUAAUUUUUUCUAUUGUCCAUUCAGUGAAUUGCUGCAAGGUGUCCCUUACUUUAGCUAAGUAUCGCGCCAUGCGUGCGUCUUUAGCCUCGUACUCCUUCUGGACAUGCCUUACCACGAGUUGUGAGUCACUGUAGAUCCAGAGUUUGGAGACGGAUAGAGCAAGGGCGAGGUCCAAUCCGGACAAGAUGACCUCAUAUUCUGUUUCGUUGUUAGAGGCAGAGAAUCCCAGCCGGAUGGCUUACUCCGAAUGUUCCCCAGUUGGGGAUUGUAGUAGGAGCCCAACUCCAGAGCCUGAUAAGCGUGAGGCUCCGUCAACUCGCAGAGUCCACCAUUCUUGUUUACUUGAUCCGUGGUGUUGGCUGGGUCUUCGGGAAUAUUCUAGCACGAAGUCAGCCAUUACUUGGCCUUUCAUGGACAAUCUGGGUUGGAAUUCGAUUCCAAACUCGCUCAAUUCAAUGACCCAUUGUAGCAUUCUCCCAGUUAAAUCUGGCUUGUGCAGAAUGUUGCGAAGGGGCUGGUCAGUUAGUACGAUUACUGGAUGAGCUUGGAAAUAAGGGCGGAGCUUCUGAGCAGCGCUUCGAAGGGCUAAGGUUGUUAGCUCCAUUUUUGAAUAUCUGGUUUCUACGUCUGCCAAUGCCCUGCUGACGUAGUAGAUAGGUUUCUGCUCCUUGGGUGAGGGGCAGCGGAAUAGAACGGCGCCGAUUGCCCAUUCUGAUACCGCCAGAUACAUGUACAAUUUUUCCUUCGGGAUGGGGCUGCUCAAGAUGAGUGGUUGCAUAAGACAAUGCUUAAUCUUUUCGAAAGCGUUUUGGCAACUGUCCGUCCAUCCGUGUGCUCCAGCUUUUCGUAUUGCCAAGAAGAAGGGUCGCAAUUCAUCAGUGAAGCGGGCUAUAAAACGCCCUAGUGCGACGAGUUUGCCUGUGAGCCGUUGUAGCUCCUUCUUGUUCCUGGGAGGGGGUAUUUCCAUGACUGCCUUGACUUGAUCCGGACUGACUUCUAUGCCCCUUUGGCUGACCAUAAAUCCCAGAAAUUUUCCAGCACUUACGCCAAAGGCGCAUUUAGAAGGAUUUAGCUUCAUGCCAUACUUUCGUAAGAGGUGAAAAACUUCUUGUAAGUGAAGGACAUGCUGCUCUCGGGUUUUGCUUUUAACCACGAUAUCAUCAAUAUAUACCUCUACUGUGUGGCCUAUCAGAGGUUUGAAGAUCUUUGUCAUCAGUCUCUGAUAAGUGGCGCCAACGUUUUUGAGUCCGAACGGCAUGACUUUGUAGCAAUAGAGUCCGUGUGGCGUUAUGAAUGCUGUCUUUUCCUCGUCAUCCGGGGACAUGGGAAUCUGGUGAUAUCCGGAGAAGGCAUCCAAGAAAGAGAGCAUCCCUUACCCGGAAGUGGAAUCCACAAUUUGAUCUAUUCGUGGCAAGGGAAAACUGUCUUUUGGACAUGCAUUGUUGAGAUUGGUGUAAUCUACACAAACUCGCCAUUUUCCUUCUUUUUUGGGUACCACCACUACGUUUGCCAACCAAUCCGGAUAAGAUACUUCUCUGAUGAAUCCGGCUUCGAGCAAUUUGUCAAUCUCAUUCCGGAUGACUUUUUGUCUAUCCGGGUGAAAGCGCCUAGUUUUCUGCCGGACAGGUUUGGCAGUUGAAAAGACGUUAAGUCUGUGAGAUGCAAUAGAGGGAUGAAUUCCCUUCAUAUCAGAAUGUGCCCAUGCGAAGAUGUCAUGAUUCUGUCUGAGAAUGUUUUGCAUGCUCUAAGUUUCUUCGGUUGUCAUGAGGGAACUGAUGUUCGUGAGGUGAGUGUUUUCCUCCGAAAUUUGGAUUGUUUGUAAGGGAUCUGCUGCCGGGGGAUCUUUGUCCGUCGGACCCAAUAAUUGCUAUUGGUCAUGUGUAUGGCUGGGUUCAGGGGGAGAUGCAUCCUCCUCGUUGGCCCUUGCUUCUCGUGCUAUCUGAUAGCAUUGGCGAGCGGCCAGCUGGCUACCAUAUAGGUCAAUUUGCCCUUCGUUGGUGAGAAAACUCACCAUUUGAUGAUAUGUGGAGGGGAUGGCUUUCAUGUAAUGUAGCCAUGUGCGCCCCAAGAUGAUAUUGAAGGGUGAUAACUCUUGUACCACCGAGAAUUGUACGUUGAGAGUGACUGGGCCAGCUUGGACCGGCAGUACAAUGUCUCCCGAGGACGUAGUUGAUGACCCGUUAAAUCCAGAUAGGAUUCGUCCAGGGUUUUCGAGGCCUGUAAGACUGUGUCCCAUGUGGCCAACGACUGAUGUUUGCACAAGAUCGGCCGAACUGCCUGGGUCAACCAAGAUACGUCGCACAUCGAAGUCCCCAAUUUCCAGGGACAAGAUGAGGGCGUCGCGAUGUGGUUGCAGUGUCCGGGUGGGAUCUACUGGUGGGAAAAUGAUUGUCCCAUCUAUGGGGCGAGGGCCCCCCCCAGUUAGCCCAGGCCGGAUGGAAUUGAUACGUUCGCAUAUUGAUGCGGCUCGCAACAAUUUUUGCCUCUUUCACCUAGAGUCGUACUCCUCGUCAGAUGGACCUCCGUUAAUAUAGUUUAUAACGGCCUUGGGGGCGGCUGGGGCCCUGGGGGCUCCAGGAUUGUGAUGUUGAGAUGCGUCCCUUCCUUCAUUAUCUGAUCGGAGGUAUUGCUUCAAAUGCCCUGUUUUUAUGAGCCUCUUGACCAGAUACUGGAAAGCUCGGCAUGUCUCUGUUGUAUGGCCAUGAUCCUUGUGGAAGGCACAUCUCCUACUACGAUCUCUUGUGGAUGGGUCCGUUCCAAUGGGUCUAGGCCACUUGAAGUCGGACAAGCCCUGGAUUAUUGGGAGAAGUUUCUCAUACGAUAUGGAAAGGGGUGUGAGAGGCGGCCUUUCCGGGCAACUUGGCCCUUCCUGCCUCCGGUCGGAUGGCUUUGGCCGGUCCGGAGGUUUAGCAUUUCUCUCUGCGUCACCUCUAGAUGGUCGUCCGACAACCAAAACUUGUUGGGUGGCUGCACGCACGUCAUCUUCAAGCAUUGAAUAUUUGUUGGCACGCCUGAAUAAGUCAUCCAUCGUUGUGGGAGGCUUUUUUGCCAGUGAUUCGAAAAAUGGAGUGCCUAGACAGAUGCUUCGCUUGAAGAUCUGUAGGACAGCAUCCAUACUGCAAGCCUCUACUUGAAGCACGGCUUGGCCAAACCACUUCACGAAUUCCCUCAAGGAUUCGUUAUCUUGCAUUUUUAUGUUCUGCAGGGUGCUGAUAUUUUGCUUGUGUCGAGCGGGGCACAAGUAUUGUCCCACAAAAGCUUCGGACAGGUCCCUGAAAUUGCCAACAGAGUUGGGAGGUAGGCGAUGAAACCAUGAGAGGGCCUGUCCUUGUAGGCUGGCGGGAAAUACUUUGCAUAGUAGUGCAUCGUUGCCAAUAUCGAGCGUCAUGCACUGUCGAUAAUGCAUGAUGUGAUCGAAAGGAUCGUUGGUUCCAUCGUAUGUGGAAAAUUUUGGUACGAGGAAUCCCCUUGGGGGCUCGUAAUGGAUGAUAUGAGAGCAGAAGGGCGUGGAGAGCAUGUCAUCCAGCCUUCUGCUGAUGGAGCCAAUGGGUGGCUCGUUUGGGAGGUUUCCCCCAGCCUGCUGUACCGCUGGGUGCGAAUGAACGUUCCGCAUCACGGGGGUGACUAUGGGGUCACGAUGCGGGUGUACGUUCUGCACCAUGGGGGUGGUCAUGGGGUCAGGGCGUGGUGCCCAAGUUGUGGCCAUUGGUGGCCUUGAUCUUCCAGGCUCUUGUGGGCUUAGUCUUGCGCGCAUCGAAUUUGACAACUGAGGUCUUCUAUCGCAUUGCCUUUUCGUUGAAAAAUGAGUAGAGUCUGAACUUUCCUCACGGGGAGCUCGGGGCAUAGGCGUGUGUGGCUCAUGAGGCCUCACGUUGCAUGCUCCUGGGAUAGCUCCUGUUGUUCCGGGAUAUAUUGAUUCUGGUUCUUGUUGAGGCCUUGAGUUUGCUACUUGGCCCCUUGAACGCUGACGUCGAGGAGGCCCUGAUGUUGAAGCCUGGAUGCGUAACACAGCGUUUUCCUCUCUCAAUCUUUCUGUCUCCUAGAUGAGAGCUUUUAGUUGUCGUUCGCUUGCCAACUGUCUCCUUUCGAUGGUUUGACGCCAUUCAAAAUUAUCAUCCCCUCCCCUACCAGAUGAACGGCUUCGGGAAGGUGUGGCCAUCUUUGCCAGUGACUGAAUCAAAAUGAAAAAGUAGUUCCCACAGACGGCGCCAAUGUUGAUGCCUCGCGUCCCUGACGAUCCACGCAGUUGCUGAAUGGAUGGACACGCGAUCUCAACCCACAAAGGUUCUUGAUUCAGUCGUUAUACCUGCAAAAGACAUCCGGACAGGGUGUCCGGACGCACCCUUCGAUGGUUUUGUUAGUCAUGGUUAGAGAGGGAGAUAUAAAUCAGUUGGCCUUUUACUAGGUAUCAGGAGAUUACCUUCCUCUUCGUGUGAAGGUUUAUAUAUAGUGCCAGGAGUACUGUUCCUCACAUUAAUGGUGAGGAGAUAUUUUAUGUUUGUCAUGAUGACAUUCGGAGGCAGCAUGGUCAUCGCCACCCUACUGGCGUCUGUCAGAAACCGUGGUAGGUGAUGCGGCUGUCAGAGAUCGUGGGAAGUGAUCAUGUAGAAUGAUUGUGGGAAGUGACUUGUUGUCACCUCAACCCGUCCUUUCACUCUGCAGGUGAUGGGACGUGGGCCAUGGCUGGUUGUCGUGAUAGCGUGUAAGACUCGCUAUACUUUAGUCAAUGAUCCGGACAAUCAUAUCCGGAUAGCCCAUGUUGGUUAUCCGGAUGUAUUCUGGAGCGGACGCAUUGAUGGAAGACGUCCGGAUGUCUAUGUUUUGUAAGCGUCGUUUGCCCUCCCUUGAGGCAGUCCGGAUGGGAAAAGCGCGUCAUGUGUGCUUUAUAGGAAGAUCCGGAUGAGGGUGACCCGGAUGACAAUGUGUGCCACGUGUCACUGUAAGAUGCGUGCCACGUGUCACUGCAAGAUGCGUGCCACGUGUUCUCGGAGGGAGGGGUCCCUAUAGGUGGGUGGAUCCGUGAAGUAAAAGACAUGGAGAAAGAAGUUCACGAAAUUCUGUAAAGAGGAGAUCAAGAAAUCCAGAAGAGUUGUCUCGGAUGCUGUCCCAGGAAUUGUUGGUCUAGCUACAGGAUUGGAAAGGCAGUAAGUGAAAAGCUGGUUGCUGUAUCUCGUCAAAUCGGCAAAGGACAUUUCGAUGUUGUAGCCGAGAUGUUGCCUCGUCCUCCAGUUGAUGAACUGCCAAUGGAGGCGACUGUGGGCCCACAAUUGGCGUAUGAAAAGAGCUGUAGGUUUCUCAAAGAUCCACAAGUGGGAAUUAUGGGAUUGUAUGGAAUGGGGGGUGUUGGCAAAACCACCCUCUUGAAGAAAAUCAACAAUGAAUUCCUCACAACAUCCAAUGACUUUGAGGUUGUGAUUUGGGCUGUGGUGUCAAAAUCGCCCGACAUUGAAAAAAUUCAGCAACUUAUUUGGAAUAAAUUGGAAAUCCCACGUGAUAAAUGGGAAACUAGAAGCAGUAGGGAGGAGAAGGCUGCAGAAAUAUUGAGAGUUCUAAAAAGAAAAAGGUUCAUCUUGUUGUUGGAUGACAUUUGGGAGGGACUUGAUCUCCUAGAAAUGGGGGUCCUGCGUCCAGAUACUGAAAAUAAGUCCAAGAUAGUUUUGACGACCCGAUCACAGGAUGUCUGCCACAAAAUGAAAGCUCAGAAGAGUAUAGAAGUGGAAUGUUUGGAGUUAGAAGAUGCCUGGACUUUGUUCCGGAAGGAGGUAGGAGAAGAGAUAUUAAAUUCUCAUCCGGAUAUACCGAUGCUUGCAAAGGUUGUUGCUGAAGAGUGCAGAGGUUUACCUCUCGCUCUUGUCACUCUUGGGCGGGCCAUGGCAGCUGAGAAAGAUCCCUCAAACUGGGACAAGGUAAUACAAGAUCUACGCAAAUCUCCAGCUGAAAUCACAGGUAUGGAAGAUAAAUUGUUUCAUCGAUUGAAACUCAGUUAUGAUAGGUUGCCUGACAAUGCUAGCAAAUCUUGUUUUAUAUAUCAUUCCAUGUUCCGAGAGGACUGGGAGAUUUAUAAUUUUCAACUUAUAGAACUUUGGAUAGGGGGGGGGGGGGGGGGGGGUUCUGGGGGAAAAUUCUGGAUUUAAUUGAACCCCCCCUCCUGGGGAAAAAAAUUUUUAAAAUUUUAAAACUUGCUGGUUUUUUAAAAAGUCUGGGUUCAAAAAAAAAAAGGGUAAAAAANNNNNNNNNNNNNNNNNNNNNNNNNNNNNNNNNNNNNNNNNNNNNNNNNNNNNNNNNNNNNNNNNNNNNNNNNNNNNNNNNNNNNNNNNNNNNNNNNNNNUUAUAAUUUUCAAUUUAUAGAAUUUUGGAUAGGGGGGGGGGGGGGGGGGGUUCAUGGGUGAAGUUCAUGACUUACAUGAAGCACGCAAUCAAGGGAAGAAAAUUAUUAAAACUUUAAAACAUGCAUGUUUAUUAGAGAGCUGUGGUUCGAGAGAAAAUAGGGUUAAGAUACAUGAUGUGCUCCGCGACAUGGCUUUAUUGUUAUAUGGUGAACAUGGGGUGAAAAAGAACAAAAUUCUAGUAUACAAUAAGGUUACUAGGCUUGAUGAAGAUCAAGAAACUUCCAAAUUGAAAGAAACAGAGAAGAUAUCAUUAUGGGAUAUGGACGUUGGGAAGUUCCCAGAAACAUUGGUGUGCCCCAAUCUUAAGACUUUAUUUGUGAAAAAAUGUCAUAAUUUGAAGAAAUUUCCAAGUGGAUUCUUUCAAUUCAUGCUUCUACUAAGAGUUUUGGAUUUGUCAGACAAUGAUAAUUUAAGCGAGUUGCCUACUGGGAUUGGUAAAUUGGGUGCCUUGAGAUAUCUUAGUCUGUCACACACAAGAAUAAGGGAGUUGCCCAUUGAACUAAAGAAUUUGAAAAAUCUGAUGAUUUUGCUUAUGGAUGAUAUGAAAUCCCUUGAAAUUAUUCCACAAGAUGUGAUAUCAAGCCUUAUAUCCUUGAAGUUGUUCUCCAUUUACGAAUCCAAUAUUUCAAGUGGAGUUGACGAAACUGUACUGGAGGAGUUGGAGUCCUUGAAUGACAUCAGUGAGAUAUCAACCACCAUAUCCAAUGCUCUUUCAUUCAACAAACUAAAGAGUAGUCACAAAUUACAAAGGUGCAUUAGUUAUCUACAUUUACAUAAAUGGGGGGAUGUGAUCUCACUUGAGCUAUCAUCUUCAUUUUUUAAAAGAGUGGAGCAUUUGCGGGGGCUUCAUAUAAGCCAUUGCAAUAAAUUGGAAGACGUGAAAAUUAAUGUGGAAAGAGAAGGCACACACAAUGAUAUGACUCUUCCAAACAAAAUUGCAGCAAGGGAGGAAUACUUCCACACCCUUCGUAAUGUGCUUAUAGAACAUUGUUCAAAAUUGUUAGACUUAACAUGGCUUGUUUAUGCUCCAUAUCUUGAAAAACUUCACGUUGAAGAUUGUGAAUCGAUAGAAGAAGUGAUAUGUGAUGAUAGUGAAGUCUGUGAAAUGAAGGAAAAAUUGAACAUAUUCUCAAGGCUCAAAUACCUCACGCUCAAUAGGCUGCCAAGAUUGAAGAGCAUCUAUCAGCAUCCGCUACUCUUUCCCUCUCUUGAAACCAUCAAGGUGUGUGAAUGCAAAAGCUUAAGGAGCCUCUCGUUUGAUUCCAACACUUCAAAUAAUAGUCUGAAGAAAAUUAAAGGAGAGACAAGUUGGUGGAAUCAGUUGAAGUGGAACGAUGAAACUAUCAAACACUCUUUUACUCCCUAUUUCCAAAUCCACGAAGCUGAAGCAUAUUUAACGGACUCUGAGGAGUCUGAAACUGGCAGCAUAGAUGAUAUUCAGGAAUGACCGAUAUCAAAUUAAUUUCUAUCAAUCUUUCAGGUAUUUAUUAACUUUUAUACUAUAUUUGGAAAAUCAUUUUCUUUCCUUAAUCCCAUUCUUUUGUGGAAAUUUUUACUCUAUCUAAGCCAAAGUGCAUCAAGUCUCAACAUCAUAAUAACUCAGUGUUUGAUCUAUCAAGUUUGCCCCUUUUGAAGUAACCGUAAUAAAAUUUGCCCAGAAGGGAGUUUGAAGGAGGUCUUUUAUUUAAACAUCUAAUGACAUUUCCGUUUGGUUACUUGAAAAGUUAAAAACAUGCAGAGUUCCCAACUAUUUUAUUUAUCUUGUCUUAAUUUUUUCAAUUCAUUUCAAUCUAUAAACAGAAAGAGAAUUCCUAAUUUCAACUUAAUUCCUUAUAUUUCAAGUUGAAACAACAGCUGUUUCACAACAACUGUAGGUAAAGAUAUUCCAUUAAGAAUUCUCGCUUUGUUUAAUGUAUUUACCAGGACCAACUAUAUGUAAUUUCCCUUCUUUUGUUCAGUUGCCUCUAUCUGGUUGACUCUCAGUUGUUUUUUUUAUUUUCUUUUCUUUUCUUUUUUCUACUGCAUUCAGAGUUGGGGCUUGUUCUAGAAGUUCUGACAACAGCUGAGAUUCAAUUAGCUCUAUGUAGUGGGGCCUUGAGUUUUUUGGUUGGAUGCAGAGUAGGGUCUUGUUCUACCCGUUCUUACUCAGUUGGGAUCUGAGCUUCUUCGGCUGCUUCCGUUUCGUCCUGCUCUGAGCUGGAUUAUGUUUGCUUGCUGGUCUGAGUUUCUGAUAUGUUUUGUGGCGGUGUGCUGAUUCUCAGAGUAUCGUUAUUCAUGGUGCUCAGUCUGUUGGGAAAGUUGGUUAAUGUCCAGAUGCAGGGGCUCAUCUCGGCAGGCUUUGGUUGGGAUCCAUGUGUUUGCUGGAAUUGGAUUCUGUGGGUUGCCUUUGGCUUUUGAUGUAGGCUGGGUUUGUUUUCUUUGUUGAGGCCGGUGGAGUAUGGUGGCUCAGAAGCUGCUAGUAAUCUGUCUGUUGUAUGCUGAGGCUGGAAUCUUCAUGGUGGUUGCUCUGGUGGGUCAAUAUGAUAUGGGAAUGCUUUUGCCUUUUUCAGUCCUUGGGCGUCAGCUGGUUGCUUGUGUUUCCUCUGCGCUUUAGUUCAUAUACCAGAGUGCAUACUUCCUUGAGUUCCAUAUCCCACUGCCAAGUGUGUUGUCCAUGAUGUAAUGUAAAGCAGUUAAUUUGUAUACCUGGCCUUCAGUUCCUCUCUAGAAAACUUUGAACGCCCUUUAUGAAUGAAAUGUUGUGAGAAAAACUGGAGUUGAUUUUCACAUUUGAGGUCGUUAAUGGUGAUUUUCCUUAAUGUAAUUGUGAUCGAAAAGAAAUUUGAUCAAGGAGUC
RNAcentral lists this long non-coding RNA (113701 nucleotides) under Vitis vinifera (wine grape). Its description in RNAcentral is "long non-coding RNA (VVIN_LNC002772)". Lineage: Eukaryota; Viridiplantae; Streptophyta; Magnoliopsida; Vitales; Vitaceae. The record is from RNAcentral.